This 102242-nucleotide long non-coding RNA is filed under the name Gossypium barbadense (sea-island cotton). RNAcentral describes it as "long non-coding RNA (GBAR_LNC021312)". The record is from RNAcentral. Lineage: Eukaryota; Viridiplantae; Streptophyta; Magnoliopsida; Malvales; Malvaceae.
GCCUGUAAACUGCUUGUAAAAUUGCGCAGCCGUCAACGAAGAACAUCCAAGCCAGUUUCUCGUUAUCGUUGCUAUACUUCUCUAAUCCCUUUGGAUCAUAGCAUUUCUUUAAGUCAUCAAUCUCUUUCUUCAUGUUGUUGUACAACGUAUCCUUAUCGACGCCAAUUUUUUUGACGAAAAGUGCUGCUAAUUUGAGCUUGAGCUUCUCGGAUUUCCGGAGGGUGGGAUCAUCGUGGUGGAGUGGGCCGAUUGAGAUCACUUUCGGCUUGAAAUACUUCCUGAAAUCUUGGUGACGACCAAGGGUUGAUGGGACUCUUUGUAUCAAUGGUUUGGCACCGAGGUUGAUUUCGUCGCCGUCGAAAGCUUCGUCUAAUGACCGGAGAUUCGCUACUUCUCCAUCUCUAAGAGGGACGUCCAUAUCAAUGCUCACGGAAUCGUUGUUGUCGGUGAUUGCUUGAUCAGUGGAAACUGCUCCGACGGCGCCGCCUCCUUCCUCCGUGGAGAACAUUUUCAGGCUGAGCGGUUGGAAGUAAUAAAGAAGGUGAUUUUGUAAACUGCUUUUGGGUGAGUGAGUGAUGUUGGAGAAAAGGUGGCAAAGUGGAUACGAUGAUGGGAAAUAUUUUAUAGCUUACACGAUACACAUAUAUAUAUGGGAAAUACUUACACCGUGUUUGGUUUAGUGUAAUAGCUAAUCCAUUACGCCCCGAUUACGUGCCUAUUACAUUACUGAUCUAUUCCGGCGUUUGGUUCGCUGUAAUAGGUAUUACGCGCCUAUUACAAUACCGACCUAAGCCCCAAAUUCUCUGCUUUUCUAUUCCCUUCCCAAAUCCCAGAUUACCUAUUACGUCCGGCUUCCCUUCCCAAGUCUCUGUUUUACCCUCCCUCCCUACCCGAAAUCGACCUCCACCCUCUCCUUUUUCUGUCCUCAUCAUUUCUCCUCCCAUUUCACACUGCUUCAUUUUUUUCUCUCGGAGCACGUUUGGUUUUUGAAUAUUGAGGUAUGAAUCAACGUUUGGUUAAAAUGUUUAUGAUUUACUUGUUUAAAGUUUUCUAGAUCUUUUUCUAUAUCUAUAGUUUCUGCUAGUUCUAUUUCUUUGUUUUUCUUUUUGGUGCUAAAUACUCGCUCGAAUUAUUUUUUGAUUUGGAAUUAGGGUGUUUUCCGAUUAUAAUCUUACUAUUCUGAAAUCUUACUAAUGCUAUAUCGGUUACCCACAAUUUGUUCGUAACGAAAAACAUGGUUGGUAUUUUUUCCAGAUUUUCUGUUGGCAGGUCUGCCCAUCGACGCUCCAAGAGUGCCUUUGUAAGUUUCUAUAGCUUACAUAAAGAGGCGAAUAUAAGGGAAUGUAAAAUUGUUAUUUAGGCCCUUAACUUUAUUAAAAUUUCAAAUUAGUAAAGGUAAAAUUAUACUUUGGCCUCAUAAAAUUAUAAAAAUUCAAUUUAAUCUUUUAAAAAUUAUAAAGAUAUAGACUACAAAAAAUUAAAAUUUCAUUCUAUCCACCCUAAAAAAUUAUUCGGGCUUUGCUGCUACUUACAUAAUAAACAUAUGGAAAAUACUUUUGGUGUAAUUCAAAUUUACCCCUUAUAGUCAAUUUAAUUUUCAUUUUUUUUAAUUUAAUUUUCUAUCUUUUGGAAGAGUCGAACUUAACUAUCAAUUUAAAUUUAUGUUUUUUUAACGAAAAUAGUGACUAAAAUAUUAAAAUGUUAAACAUGACAACUCAAACGGCAAUCCACAUCUAUAUUUUUAUAUUCAUUUCUUAUUUUUUAAAUUAUUUAUUGACGUGACAUAUAAUAAAAGUAUUGUUAUGUUAGCAUGAAGUACACAUGAAUUGCCACACUAGUUGUGACACCAAUAUCGUUAAAAAAUUAAUAUUUCAGUUAGCAUAUUUGUUAAAGAAAAGUAAAUUGGUUCUUUUUUGAAAGGUUAAUGGUUAAAUUUAGCUCAAAUGAAAAAAAAUAAAGGCCAAUUUGAUAAAAAAAGGUAAAUGUCAAAAGUUAAGUUUAUCAUUUAUACAAGUAUAAAUAUAUGUCUGGAUUAAUCUAGAAAGAACCAGACAAACUCUACACGUGAUAUUCAAAUGUGACGAGAGGGAAAUCUACACAUCACAAUUGAGAAUAAUAUUAUAGAAAUACUCAAAAACCUAAAACCUUCCCCUUAACCAAGAAGCUAAGACGCUAUGGAUAAUUUUAUAUCUACAACACUUCAUGAAUUUCAUAUGCUUAAUAAGAGUUCUUUAAAUAUAUUCGAUUUUUAUUUUAUUAUUUAUAUUAUUUUGACUCAGUAUUUAAAUUAUCAUUAUGUUACAUGAUUUAUUUCAAAUAUUUUAUAUAUUUUUAUAACGAAAUUUGAAUUAAAAAAAUAUCAAUUUUAUUAUUAAAUUAUAAUUUGAUAUAUUUUGAGAUAAUGCAAUUUUAAGUAUUUCAAUUUAUUUAAUCAUUAUUUUUAAACUCGUUUUUUGUUUUGUUAGUAUUGCAUAAUUUUAACGUGUAUAUAUAUAUAUAUAUUUAAAGUUCUACUUAUUUUUAAGUUAUGUCAAAUAAUUGACAACUUUAUUAAAGUAUGCAUUUGAAUUUAUAAAUUUUUUUAGGUUGAAAUUAAAUUGUAUACUUUUACGAUAGUAAAAAUAUAAUUUUAUCAUUUUAAUUGCCUAUAUCGUUAUAAAUUUUAAAAUAUUAAAUCAAAUUUAUAUCAUUUUUGGAGGGUAAAGUAUAAUUUUAUCAUUACUAAUUUAAAAUUUUAUAAAUUAUAAAGGGGUCUAAAUAAUUUUUUUUUCAUUUUAAAGGAGACCAAGACUCUACAACCCUUGAAUUCGCCUCUAUCCAUAUAUUAUAUUUUAUUAAUCGAUUAUACAUGUAAACAUAUUUGUUUUUACUAAUACAUUUUAUUAAUCAAAUGGCUUUUUUUUUUUUACUGUUAAGUUAUCUUUUUUUAACUCCAUACAACAAAAUUUAUUUGCUCACAGUUUAACAUAUUUUUUUAUUAUUUCAGCAAUAAUAUUUUAUACUUAUCUAUAUAUCAAAUAUCAUGAUUCUCUAACAUUAUUAAGAUUAAAUAAAUAAAAUAUGUAUAUAUAUAAAUAAUGUUUUUUUACAAAAUUUUAAUUGUUUAAUCUCAAUAAUUUUCUUUUGCAACAUUAAAUCAUAUAAUACAUUUAGAAUAUUAAAAAUGUAUCAGAUUUUUAUUAAUAUAUACAUACAAUAAAUUUGUGUAUAGCAUGAGUAAACAAAUUAAUUAUUAAACUAUAAUUUGGCUCAAACUAAGUUAACCUUAACUUAAAAUUAGGUUAAAGUACUUGGGAUUUGGGACUUGGGAGGUUGGACUGGAUUAAAUUAGUCCUUCUGUUAUUAAAUGGAUCGAUUUAGUCCUUAUAUUAUUAAAAAGAAUCAAAUAAGUUCAAACUGAAAUAGAGUUAACAUUUACUGUAUAAAAAAUGUCUCGGCAAUUGCAAUUCAAUUCCAAACAGAAUGGUUCAUGUAUAUAACCAUAAGAACUUUUUAAAUAUUCACUUGUUAGACAAUAAUAGUAUAGGACUAAAUUGAUCCAUAUAUAUAUUAUUAAUAGAAAUGAGAAUUGUGCUUGGCCAAGUUUCUAAGUUUGGUAUUUGUUCUUACUUUCCUUCUUCAACCGUAGGAGCCACUCUCAUGACUUUUAUUUACUUUGCCAAGUUACUAAGUCAUGACUUUAGUAAAAGAUUUAGUUCCAUUUGUCGCUCCAACAUAACUUUUUUUUAACGAAGAUUCCAGUUAUAUCGAUAGGUAUACAUUGUUUCAAUAAUAAUUCGAAACAAUCAAUUUUAUUUUUUGCACAACGGUGGCGGGAGGUGGCAAGCAGGGGUAAAUGUAUAAGAUUAUAAAUUUCAAAGGUAAGAUUGUAAUUUGGCCCCAAAAAAUCAUAAGGCUUUAAUUUAGUUCUUUAAAAAAUUAUAAUGGUAUUAGCUAAUACAAUGAUGAAACUGUGUUUUAACCCUUAUCGAAAUUUAUAAUUUAAUUUCGGUCCCUCAAAUAAAAUUUUUGACUUCGUCCUUAUUUCCGCACUAGUAAAAAUUCUAAUCUAUAUCAUCUGCAACGGCCAAUACUAUAACAGUCUGAUUUUCAAUGGUAUCGGAAAAGAUGGUUUUGAAACCCCAUUUUCAUUGUCUGAGUCCAUAAAUAUUAAUAUUUAAUAUUUACAAGGCUAGUAUAAAAGUUUAUUGCAGUUUGGUCCAGCAAUUUUGUCUAAUUGAUAGUUAAAUAAGGUACAUGAACUAAAUUAUAAAAGUCCAAUCAAUAUAGGUUUUUAAUUAGCAAAGGACCAAAAGGGCUAUUAAACCAUCUUUUAUUAUAUGAUAGUGGAUAUAAACAAAUAUUAAAUUUAGUUAAUUAAACUUGAUUAUGAUUAAUUAAUCCAGUUUAAUUAAAUUCUAAUUAGACAAUAUAUACAAAUUAAGUGGAAAAAAUGAAAACAUUUUUCAUCUUCAUCAUCUUUGCUGAAUUUGAGAGACAGAAAAACCUAGAAAGCUUUCAUACAUUCGGUCCUCAAUUUCUAAGGCGAUUUAAGUUUUUUUCUUGUAACUUUUAUAUAUUUGAGGUUAUGGACGCUUCAUUUAUUUAGCUCAUGUAAUAAUUUGUAAAAUUGUUAAAGUUUUUGAAAGUUGCCGUUUUUAGUUUCUUGAAUAAAUAAAUAUUAAAUUAAUAGAUUUUAAGGUUAGAUGUGAAAAAGAAUUAAAUUAUAAAAUUUAAAUUGAUAAUUUUAAGCAAAAGGAUAAAAUUGUAUAAAUUGAAAAUUUGACGCUAGUUUUUUUAUAGUUUUAGAUAAUAGAGAGUUCUAAAAGAAUGUGAUUGAAAUUGAUUUCUGAUUUAGAGAUUAAAUUAAAUAAAAUAUGAAAUUUUAAAAAUAUCAUAAAAAUAAAAUUUAACUGACUCAUGCAUGCAUAUAACAAAAACUAAAAUUUUAAGGACACACCUUCAUGCAUUUCACUUCAUUAAUAACGAAAGAAGCAUGGCUACCUAGCUUUCUGCUUCAUCCAAAAUUGUUGAACUUUGGCCUAUAAUGCAAUAGUAGAGAAGCAAUGAAGCUCAACCAGUACAACAGCAACAUUUUGUUCAUAUGCAACUAGCUUUAGUUCUUUUGUAAUUUGUAUUUAAAGUUAGUAAGAUUAGUUGAUGAUUUGAAUAAUGUCUAAUGUGAUGUAAUAGUUGAUAUGCCAACUACAUUUUGUGUGUAAUUUAAGCUUUGUUUUAGUCAAGUUAUUAGUGGGAGCAGUUGUGUAUUAGGAAACUCUCAUGUAACUUAUAUGUUUAUCUUAAUGAAAAAUGCAUAUGAAAUUAGUUUUCAAGUUUCAUUUUUGUUCAAUUCUCUUUGUAUUCGUUUCUUGCUACUUUUCUCCUUUGUUUUCUAUCAAAACAUCAACAAAUGGUAUACAGAGCCUGUCAUUUUUGAGGGACUUUAUUGUUGGUAGUUGUUUUUGUGAGAAACCUUGAAGAAAAAGAAACUGAGGUUGUUGUUUUUAUUGUUGCUGCAAAAUGAGUUUUACACCACCACCACUACCACCUCUUUUUGCUGGUGAAAACUACCACAUUUGGGUAGUAAAGAUGAAGACUUACCUGCAAGCACAUGACUUGUGGAAUGUGGUUGAGAAUGACACAGAACCAGCUCCAUUGAGGGCCAAUCCCACUAUUGUAGAAAUUAGACAACAUUGUGUAAAGUGUGCUAAGAAGCACAAAUCUAUGUCAUGCUUAAAAAAUAGUGUCUGAUGUGAUCUUCACUCGAAUAAUGGCUUGUGACACUCCAAAGUAAGCCUCAGAGAAGCUGAAGGAAGAGUUUCUCGGGCCAGACAAGACUAGGCAGUAGCAGUUGAUCAACCUUAGGAAGGACUUUAAGAACUUGAAGAUGAGAGAGUCUAAAACAAUCAAGCAGUACUCUGAUAGGAUAAUGGCCACAGUCAACAACAUCAGGCUCCUUAGAGAUGAAUUCAGUGAGAGUAGAAUUGUUAAGAAAGUCAUUACAACCCUUCUUGAAAAAUUUAAAGCAAAAAUCUCCUCAUUAGAAGACUCGAGAGAUUUAUCAACCAUCUCACUAUCUGAGUUGAUAAAUGCUCUAUAUGCAUUAGAGCAAAGAAGGGCCAAUAGGAUGGAAGAGCAUCCUGAAGGAGCUUUCCAACUAGAAACCAAGGAAAGCUCAGGUUCAAGCUAUAAAGGAAAGAAACCAUGGCUUAACAAAAGGGAGAAACCAAAGAGGGAUGCAGGGAAGAAAAUGUUCCCACCAUGUAUUCACUGCAAAAGGUCCACACACUUGGAGAGGUAUUGCUGGUACAGACCUGAUAUUCAGUGUAAGAGCUGCAAGUAGUUUGGUCACAUUGAAAAGGUUUGCAAGAACAAAGGAACGACAUAAGCUCAACAGCAAAAUCAAGCUCAAGCUGCUGAGGAUAUUCAAGCUCAAGAGGAGCAUGUUUUCACUGCAUCCUAUUUUGCAACCUCAAGAAAAUUCAGAAGAGACUAGUUAGUAAACAGUGGCUGCACUCAUCAUAUGGCAUCUGAUGAAGGGUUAUUCAGAGAUCUUAACAAAAGAUUUGUUUCCAAAGUUAAGAUUGGAAAUAGAAACCUUAUUGAGGCCAGAGGCAAAAGCAAUGUUGUGAUCAACACACAUUCAGGUAACAAAAUAAUUUCAGAUGUUCUUUUUGUACUUGACAUAGACCAAAAUCUGCUUAGUGUUGGUCAAUUAAUAUAAAAGGGUUAUUCACUCAAUUUUAAGAACAACUCCUGUGUUAUUGGAGAUUCACUUGGUGAAGAAUUAGUUACAGUUGCUAUGACUGAGAGAUGCUUUAUGUUGGAUGUGAACCAGUUUGAAAUGAAGGCCUAUACUAGUCUUGCUGAUAAAGCUAGUUUAUGGCAUAAAAGGUUAGGCCAUGUCAAUUAUAAAUCACUCAGUUUGUUGCACAAACUCAAUUUGGUUGAAGACAUGUCCAAGGUUGAAGUCAAAGACAAAGUUUGUAAAAUUUGUCAGCUUGGGAAGCAAGUGAGAUUGCCUUUUCCAGUUAACAAGGCAUGGAGAGCUCGAGACAAGCUUCAAUUGGCCCAUACUGACAUUUGUGGACCAAUGAAGACCUUUUCUUUGAAUGAUAGCAGAUACUUUGUGCUAUUCAUAAAUGAUUAUACAAGGUUCUACUGGGUAAUUUUCUAAGACAAAAGUCAAAAGUACCUGAAGUAUUCAGCAAGUUCAAAGCCUUAGCUGAGAAUUAAUGAGGCUGUAAGCUUAAGGCCUUGAGAUUCAGUAAUUUGAUGAGGAAAAUGUAUGGAACUGGAAUGUUACAGAUGCAAACUUGAGUGAGGAAGGUCAACAAGAUAAUAAUCUGUAACCAGCUGAAGAAGAAGAGCCAAUUGCUGAUGAUUUUGAUGAUGUACCUGUGAAAGACACAAGAACCAUUACUGACAUCUAUCAAAGAUGUGAUGUUGCAAUACUGGACCUACAAAUUUGAUGAGGCUGCCAGAGAAUAGUGUUGGAAAAGGGCCAUGGAAGUUGAAAUGGAGAUGAUACACAAGAACAACAUUGGGAACUGGUUGACAGACCAGACCAAAAGAGAGUUAUUGGUCUGAAGUGGGUGUUUAUGGUUAAGUACAAUAUUGAUGGGUCUCUAAACAAACACAAGGCAAGACUUGUGGUGAAGGGAUACAGCCAACAGUAUGGCAUCGAUUUCAUAGAAACAUUUGCUCCAGUUGCAAGGUUAGUUACUAUAAGGCACUUGUUUUCCUUAGCUGCUCAAAAGAAAUGGAGAGUGAAUCAAUUGGAUGUUAAGUCUGCUUUUCUGAAUGGCUUCCUUAAGGAAGAAAUCUUCAUUGAACAACCAUAUGGGUUCAAGAUUCCUCAUGAAGAGAAUAAGGUCUACAAGCUGAAAAAGGCUUUGUAUGGUUUGAAGCAAGCACUAAGGGCCUGGUAUGACAGAGUUGGUGCAUAUCUGUCUAGGCUCAGUUUUGAGAAGAGUAUCAGUGAGCCUACUCUCUAUGUGAAGAAAUCAAAAAAUGAAACCCUGUUGAUUAUGUCACUUUAUGUAGAUGAUCUACUAGUAAUUGGAAGCGAGGGGAAGCUGAUUGAAGAGUUUAAAAUAUAGAUGCAAGAUGUCUUUGAAAUGAGUGACUUGGGGGAAAUGACUUACUUUCUUGGCAUGAAAGUGAAUCAGUUUGAUCAUGCCAUCUUCAUAAGUUAGCAAGCUUUUGCCAUAAAUAUUUUAAACAAAUUUUGCAUGUCAAAAUACAAAAUUUUUAGCACACCAGUGGCUCAAGGUGAAAAAGUAACCAACCUUGGCAACCAUGAAAGAGUUGAUGAGAAGGUGUAUAGAAGCCUUGUAGGUUGUCUACUCUACUUGACAGCUACAAGGCUUGAUAUCAUGUUUGUUGUUAGCCUUCUGUCCAGAUUCAUCCAUUGUCGCAAUGUUGUUCAUUUUAAGGCAGCCAAAAGAGUUCUUAGAUAUGUGAAAGGGACUUUGGAUUAUUGAGUGAAAUUUGGGAAGACAAACGAACUCAAGUUGAUAGGGUAUUCUGAUAGUGAUUGGGCAGGUCCAUUGAUGACAUGAAGAGCACAUCUGACUAUUUCUUCACUCUUGGCUAAGGUGUUUUUUGUUGGAGUUCAAAGAAACAACAAAUAGUUGCUUAAUCAAUAGCAGAAGCAGAGUGCAUUGCAGCUGCUGUAGCUGUUAAUCAAGCCAUUGGUUUAGGAAGCUCUUAUGUAAUUUGAAUGAAGAUCAAGUUGAAGCUACUAAUAUUAGAGUUGACAAUAAGUCAGCUGUUGCCAUAGCAAAAAAUUCAGUAUUUCAUGGCAAAACUAAGCAUUUUAAGAUUAAAUUUUAUUUUGUUAGAGAGGUUGAACAAUCAAAAGAAGUUAAUUCAAUUCAUUGCAGCUCAAAAAACCAGCUUGCCGAUAUUCUAACUAAGUCUCUCGGUGCUAUAAGAUUUGAGAACUUAAGAAGAAGUAUUGGUGUUUGUUGCAUAUAGUCCAAGGAGGAGUGUUGAACUUUGGCCUGCAAUGCAACAGCAGAGAAGCAUUGAAGCUCAACCAGCACAGCAGCAACAUUUUGUUCAUAUGCAACUAGCUUUAGUUCUUUUGUAAUUUGUAUUUAAAGUUAGUAAGAUUAGCAGAACUGGAUAUUGUCGUAUUUGAUUAUAAAAAGGUGUCGGCUGGAAUUUAAUUCUCAUUGAGUGUUUUUUUAUAAAAUAACUUGAAAAUUUUUAUUAAUUAUAAAAAUGAUAUUUUUUAUUAGGUAAUAAAUAAUAAAACUGAGUGAAAUUAAAGAGAUUAGUGCCACAUCAACCAAUCAUUAACUGUUAAAAUUAAAAAAAUUAUUUUUUGAAUGAAGCCAACCCAUAUCGCAUCAUUGCGGCAGAAAGCAAUAAAGUAUGCACUAAUCAAUUGUUUUUAAUUGCUAAUAUUUAGUGAUAAAAUAAUAUUUAAUUAUCGAAAUUUGAUAAUAGUAACGAAGUUGAAAAAGGUUUUACAAUUUAGUUUUGAAAUAUAUAUUUUUAUUGAAGUUAAACUGUAAUUUAAUUAUAUUGAUUUGUAAUUUUACAUUGUUUAAAGGGACUAGAUCAAUUUUUUAUUAUUUUGGAGGUCAAUAUGCAAUUUAACAUGUAAAAUUUCAACUUUCAAGGAGACUCAAAGCAUAAAUUAACAUUUUAGGGGACCAAGGUCUUGCCUACCCCUUGUCGCCACCCCUCAUUGGUAAUUUAACUACUUCGGCCUUUGAAUUUUUUUGUCUAAAUUUAUCCUGAAAUUUGAUAGUUUUUCCUAAUGUAGUCCUUGAACAUUGGUCUAUGCUACAUCUUAGAUUUUUUUUAAAAAAUUUUUUAAAUGAUGACAUGGUUUUUUAAUAGAAUUUAAGUUCAAGAAUUAAAUUUAAAAAAUUGUUAAGUUCAAAGGCUAAAUAUUACAUUAUCCUUAAUAUUUGUUACCCGGUUUUAGAAGUCCAUUGAAUUUCUUGCCUGUUUACUUUUGUUAUUAACCAUUGCUUUGUUCUUCUUUGUUUAAUUUUAGGUCCCAUAAUUGAAAAAAGAAUGGAUGAGAAAUUUCUAAAAUCAUUAGAAACAAGAAAAUAUGAUCUCAAAUCCAAUGAAGCAUUGAAGCUCAACUAGUACAGCAGCAACAUUUUGUUCAUAUGCAACUAGCUUUAGUUCUUUUGUAAUUUGUAUUUAAAGUUGGUAAGAUUAUUUGAUGAUGUGAAUGAUGUCCAAUGUGAUGUAAUAGCUGAUAUGUCAGCUACAUUUUUUGUGUAAUUUAAGCUUUGUUUUAGUCAAGUUAUUAGUGGGAGAAGUUGUGUAUUAAGAAACUGUCAUGUAACUUCUAUGUUUAUCUUAUUGAAAAAUGUAAAUGAAAUCAGUUUUCAGGUUUCAUUUUUGUUCAAUUCUCUUUGGAUCCGUUUCUUGCUUCUUUUCUCCUUUGUUUUCUGUCAAAACACCAACAAAAAUUCACAUGUAUACAAAUUAGGACAACGUAAGUGGUCACUGAACAGCCCUAUUUAAAGAAGAAUAUACCAAAAUAAGACAAACCUAAGACCUGAACACUGACCUCAUGUGCUGCAAAGCUAUAAGAUGUUCUGAAAUUACGAAAAUCUUGUUAACAUUAAUGGAAGACAAUUAAUAAUGGUUGCCAUUAACAUUAAUGGGAGACAAUCAAUAAUGACAACCACCAACUUUGGAAAAGUGGCAAGGGAUAAUUUUUUUUGGUCCUUGAGAUAAUGGGCUAUUUAUUGUUUGGUCCUUGAACCUCAACUAUAAAUAGGUCUUCUCAUUUCUCAUUUCAAUUCAUCCCAACCAAUCUUUCUCUCUUAGUUUUCUCUCUUCUCCCAUUUGAGAAUUCUUAAGGAAUUCUAUUUGUUUGUAAUACUUUGAAGAUAGUAAAGUUAUCAUCUGGUGUUAGUGCCCGAGGACGUAGGUAUAAUUUACCGAACCUCGUUAAAACUCUUGUGUUCUUUAUUGUCCUAUUUUUCUUUCAAUAUUUGAGGGUAUAAUAGUAGUAUUUAAUUGUGCUAUUAAAUUACUAUAGAAGGGAUAUUCUGUCUAAGGAAAGACUUGGUAUUUAAGAGAUCCAUGUGAUCCACCUCUCUUCCCUGGGAAUUGAACUUUGUGUGAUUUUUAGUACAAUAAUUUAUACGCUUCCAACCCUAUUGGAACUACAAGUGGUAUCAAGAGCCGAAGGUUAAUCGUAGUAUGCUCUGUGGUUGCAGUUUAAACUGAUCUUCCACAUCAGAAAAGAUUUCCUUAGGUAUAUUGAAAGAUUAUGGAGAAAACGGUCGGUGUAGGAGCUUCAACAUCGUCCAUGUGGACAAGACCGACAAUUGCAAAUGCAAGAUUGGCCGUAGAGAUCUUUGAUGGCACGGGCCAUUUUGGUAUGUGGCAAAGUGAGGUUCUAGAUGCCCUUUUUCAGCAGGGUCUAGACAUUGCCAUUGAUGAAGAGAAACCAGAUGAUGUACAGGAGAAAGAUUGGAAAGCGAUCAAUCGGUUGGCAUGUGGCACAAUUCGAUCAUGCCUUUCUCGAGAGCAGAGGUAUGCUUUUUCAAAAGAGACUUCUGUAAAUAAGUUGUGGGUGGCACUUGAAGAUAAUUUUUUGAAGAAAAACAGUCAAAAUAAGCUCCACUUGAAGAAAAGACUGUUUCGCUUCACAUACGUCCCAAGUACCACAAUGAAUGAUCACAUCACCAAAUUUAAUCAGUUAGUCACUGAUUUGCUGAAAAUGGAUGAGACAUUCAAAGAUGAAGAUUUGGCUUUGAUGCUGUUGGGGUCACUUCCUGAGGAGUUUGAGUUCCUAGAAACUACUCUACUUCAUGGCAGGAGUGAUAUAUCUCUGAGCGAAGUCUGUGCGGCCUUAUACAGUUACGAACAGAGAAAGAAGGACAAACAGAAAAACUCAAUCAGAGAUACAGAAGCUUUAGUAGUCCGAGGUCGUUCAUACACUCGGAAGAAAACUCAAAAUGGGAGAUCAAAGUUAAAGUCCAGACUCGGGAAAGAUGAAUGUGCUUUUUGUCAUGAGAAAGGCCACUGGAAGAAAAAUUGUCCAAAGCUGAAGAAUAAGGGAGAAGCUGCUGUAGAUGCUUGUGUUGCUAAGCAUGAUACUAGUGACUCUGAACUAUCACUGGUUGCAUCAUCAUCGUCAUUCCAUUCAGAUGAGUGGAUAUUGGAUUCGGGUUGUACCUAUCAUAUGUCCCCUAACCGGGAGUGGUUCUCUGAUUUAGUAGAACUAAAUGGAGGAGUUAUUUAUAUGAGCAAUGACAAUGCCUGUAAAACUGUUGGGAUAGGUUCAAUCCAAUUAAAGAAUCAAGAUGGAUCAACCAGAGUUCUGACUGAUGUUCGGUACGUUCCCAGUUUGAAGAAAAAUCUCAUCUCAUUGGGAGCCUUGGAAUCCAAUGGUUCAGUUGUUACUAUGAGAGAUGGGAUUUUGAAAGUGACAUCUGGCGCACUUGUGAUAUUGAAGGGCAUCAGGAAAAAUAACUUGUAUUACUACCAAGGUAGUACAGUUAUUGGAGCAGUCGCUACAGCUUCCGGUAACAAAGAAUUGGACUCAAUGCAGUUGUGGCAUAUGAAGUUGGGACAUGCCAGCAAAAAAUCCUUGCAAAUUCUGGCAAAGCAAGGAUUGUUGAAAGGUGCAAAGGCUUGCAAAUUAAAAUUUUGCGAGCAUUGUGUUCUGGGAAAGCAAAAGAGAGUGAAAUUCGGUACUGCUAUCCAUAAUACAAAAGGUAUUUUGGAAUAUGUUCACUCAGAUGUGUGGGGGCCUUCCAAGACACCUUCAUUGGGAGGAAAACACUACUUUGUUACUUUUGUUGAUGACUUUUCCAGAAGAGUUUGGGUGUAUACCAUGAGAACUAAGGAUGAAGUGCUUAGAGUUUUUUCUUAAAUGGAAAACUAUGAUCGAAAACCAGACUGGCAAGAAAAUCAAGCGGCUUAGGACGGACAAUGGAGGGGAAUAUAAAAGUGAUUCGUUCUUCGAUGUGUGCCAAGAGUAUAGUAUUGUUCGACACUUCACAGUUAGGGAUACACCACAACAGAAUGGAUUGGCAGAGCGUAUGAAUCGAACAUUGCUAGAGAAAGUUCGAUGUAUGUUGUCCAAUGCUGGGUUGGGCAAGCAAUUUUGGGCUGAGGCUGUGACAUACGCUGGCCAUCUUGUUAAUCGUUUGCCAUCAUCUGCAUUAGAAAGAAAAACUCCUAUAGAGGUAUGGUCUGGAAAACCGGCUACAGAUUAUGAUUCCUUACAUGUGUUUGGAACCACUGCAUAUUACCAUGUGAAGGAGUCAAAGUUAGAUCCGAGGGUAAAGAAAGCUCUCUUUAUGGGAAUCACUUCUAGAGUGAAGGGAUUUCGUCUUUGGUGCUUAAGCACAAAGAAAAUGAUCUGUAGCAGAGAUUUUACCUUUGAUGAAUCUGCCACAUUGAAAAAGGUAGCAGAUAAAGAUAUUCAGACGAGCAAUACUCCACAGCAGGUGGAGUGUACUCCAAAACAGGUGGAGUUUGAGCAGAUGAGGAUUUGCCCAGUUAAUAAGUCUAAUUCUCCAGCCACAAUAGAGGAAUUAGAGGUUGAAGAGGUUCUGACCCAAGAACCACUAAGUACACCAGAACCAGUUGCAGUUGCAAGGCCACGGAGAGAAAUUCGUAAACCUGCUCGAUUUACUGAUAUGGUGGCCUACGCCCUUCCCGUUGUUGAUGAUAUUCCUAUCACUUAUCAAGAAGCAAUGCAAAGCUUAGAAAGUGAUAAAUGGAAAAGCGCCAUGGAUGAAGAAAUGCAGUCUCUCCGAAAGAACAAUACUUGGGAGUUGGCGCAAUUACCGAAAGGUAAAAGGGCAAUCGGAUGCAAGUGGGUAUUCGCAAAGAGAGAUGGAUCUCCUAGCAAGAAGGAUAUUCGCUACAAGGCAAGAUUGGUAGCUAAAGGCUACGCUCAGAAGGAGGGAAUUGACUACAAUGAUGUAUUUUCCCCUGUUGUGAAGCAUUCCUCCAUUAGAAUUUUGUUGGCCUUGGUAGCACAGUUGAAUUUGGAGCUAGCUCAACUUGAUGUUAAGACGGCUUUCUUGCAUGGUGAGUUAGAAGAGGAGAUCUAUAUGACUCAGCCCGAAGGAUACACAGAUGCUGGUGGUAGAAAUUGGGUUUGUAAGCUUAACAAAUCGCUAUAUGGAUUGAAGCAAUCCCCGAGGCAGUGGUACAAGCGAUUUAAUAGCUUUAUGAGAAGGCAAAAGUACACAAGAAGCAAAUAUGACAAUUGUGUGUAUUUGCAGAAGCUGCAUGACGGAUCUUUCAUUUAUCUACUCUUGUAUGUUGAUGAUAUGUUAAUCGCUUCGAAGAGCCAAAAAGAGAUAGAUAAGCUGAAGGCUCAGUUGAAUCAAGAGUUCGAGAUGAAAGAUCUAGGUGAGGCCAAGAAGAUUCUCGGCAUGGAGAUAAGUAGAGAUAGACAGAGAGGCAAGCUUUGUUUGAAUCAGAAGCAAUAUCUGAAAAAGGUAUUACAAUGUUUUGGUGUAAAUGAAAACACAAAACAUGUAAGUACCCCACUUGUUUCUCAUUUGAAACUUAGUGCUCAAUUAUCUCCGAAAACUGAAGAAGAAAGAGAAUAUAUGGCAAAAGUCCCAUAUGCUAAUGCAGUUGGGAGUUUGAUGUAUGCGAUGGUGUGUACGCGGCCUGACAUUUCACAAGUUGUUGGAGUUGUGAGCAGGUAUAUGCAUGAUCCUGGAAAAGGACAUUGGCAAGCUGUGAAAUGGAUUCUACGGUAUCUUCGAAAAACCGUAGAUGUUGGUUUAAUUUUUGAACAGGAUGAAGCACUUGGUCAGUUUGUAGUUGGAUAUGUUGAUUUCGACUUUGCUGGUGAUUUAGAUAAACGUCGUUCAACUACGGGGUAUCUGUUUACUCUUGCGAAAGCCCUAGUGAGUUGGAAGUCUACCUUACAGUCUACAGUAGCUGUGUCUACUACAGAGGCAGAAUAUAUGGCAGUUACAGAAGCUGUUAAGGAGGCUAUUUGGCUUAAUGGAUUGUUGAAAGACUUAGGAGUUGUUCAAAGUCACAUAAGUUUAUAUUGUGACAGUCAGAGCGCUAUUCAUUUAGCGAAAAAUCAAGUCUAUCAUUCAAGAACCAAGCAUAUCGACGUAAGAUAUCACUUUGUGCGGAAAGUCUUUGAAAAAGGAAAAAUUCUACUUCAGAAGAUUCCGACAGCAGAUAAUCCCGCAGAUAUGAUGACCAAGGUGGUAACAACAAUCAAGUUUAAUCAUUGUUUGAACUUGAUUAACAUCCUGAGAAUUUGAGCACCUUCAGGUGUAUGGCGCUCGAGAGCGCAUUUGUAGGCACUACAAAAGAUAGCUUUAUCGAAUUUGGGGAGUUGAAGGAAGUGUGUGAAGAUGUGAUUAUCCUAAUCAAAUCUUCAAGGUGGAGAUUGUUAACAUUAAUGGAAGACAAUUAAUAAUGGUUGCCAUUAACAUUAAUGGGAGACAAUCAAUAAUGACAACCACCAACUUUGGAAAAGUGGCAAGGGAUAAUUUUUUUUGGUCCUUGAGAUAAUGGGCUAUUUAUUGUUUGGUCCUUGAACCUCAACUAUAAAUAGGCCUUCUCAUUUCUCAUUUCAAUUCAUCCCAACCAAUCUUUCUCUCUUAGUUUUCUCUCUUCUCCCAUUUGAGAAUUCUUAAGGAAUUCUAUUUGUUUGUAAUACUUUGAAGAUAGUAAAGUUAUCAUCUGGUGUUAGUGCCCGAGGACGUAGGUAUAAUUUACCGAACCUCGUUAAAACUCUUGUGUUCUUUCUUGUCCUAUUUUUCUUUCAAUAUUUGAGGGUAUAAUAGUAGUAUUUAAUUGUGCUAUUAAAUUACUAUAGAAGGGAUAUUCUGUCUAAGGAAAGACUUGGUAUUUAAGAGAUCCAUGUGAUCCACCUCUCUUCCCUGGGAAUUGAACUUUGUGUGAUUUUUAGUACAAUAAUUUACAUGCUUCCGACCCUAUUGGAACUACAAAUCUUUGUUCUUUCAUUGGGUUUCUUAUCUUCCUUUUACACAAUUAAAAACCCAUAUAUAAUUUUAAAAAUACUUUCAGGCUUCUUUGUCUUGCUAAUUUCUGUAGAAAAUUACUGGUCUAUCACUGCCCCAAAGGUUCCAGCAUUUGAAGCACAAGAUAUUGGCACAUCAUAUAAGUUCUAAAUUUGUCACCAACAACUGACAAAACUGAGUAGAAUUACAUUAAUUAUGCUUAACAUUACACUUCAGGCAUACAUGCAAUUAAAAGUAAAAUCGAAAUAACACUAAACAUACUCGGAGUCGGAGGUGAAGAGGCGGUUGAAAGAGCGCGGAUUAAAGAGAAGAGGACUGGCGAGGUGGCGGGUAUUGAGGGCAAUGGAUGAGUGUUUUGAGGUGGGUUUUGAAAGAGCGUCUGAGGGAAAGCGAUAGAAACAUGGUGGAAGAAAGGAAGAGUUAAUGGAAGGAAAAUUUUAGGGUUUUGUUCUUUGUAUGAGAUCAUUUCAUAGAAUUGAUUAAGAAAGGAAGCAUCUAAGGAAGGAAAGGAGCUUAUUAGUGUUGUUUUCCGGUUUGGAUGUUUGGUUUAUUUUAUUAUUCAAAAUUAAUUUUUUUAAAACAAUGAAACAAGUUAUUUGAACCAGAUGGGUUUGAGACUAGGUUUGAUUUUUCUUUCUAGAGUCAGAACAUAGGCUUGAUGUAUGAAUACUUUUAAUUACAAUUGUAUUUGAGCUGUGAUGAUAUUCAACUAAAGCCCUCUCAAUAAUAAUAACUCUAAAUUUAAACUUAAAAAUAACUUUGAGCUAAUCUUGAUCGAUUACUCCAAUCACACAACACGAAUAACUAAAGCUUCCUCAACCUCAACAAAUGUUAUAGUGUCAAGAUUGAACAAACUGUCUCCUAGUACCCUAUUGAUUAGGCAACUUUGAUGUUGAACAUCCCACAAAAACAUGAAAAAAAGAAAAGAAAAAGAAUCACAAUUAUAUUUAACUCAUGCAACAAGUUUCACCUUUUUUUUUGUGAGAAAAAGAUCAAGCCACUAUUAGGGAGUCUUGGGCUUCUAGUUGAAGCCUGUGAAUCAUUAGAAUAAGAAAAUUCAUGUAAUGCUUAUUGCCAAAUCACAAUCUCGUCAGAAUUGAGGUUUUUCAAAAACAAAACAAUUAACAAAUAUUUAUGGCCUGAAACCUUAACCUACCCUAAUAGAAAGGUAAAAGAACAAUGUGCUCAAUGGAUUUCACUUCUUCCCCACACCUCGGUCAAUGAGGAUCCACCUCCUUAAACAUUUUGGCAAUGUUUUGUUUAGUAGUAACACAUUGUGGCAAGACCUCCUAAGGAGAUUUUUGAUAUUUAUUAUCACAUUAAGCUCUCAUGAAUGAUUUAAACCUUUCUAAGACAAAUCAUUGUUAGCAUUUUAUCCGUUUGGGGCCGCAUAUGAGAGAGGUAGAGAAAAGAGUCACUCGUACCCAUAUCAAAUGUUGUAAGAUUCAUCUUCCGAAAAAUGCCACACAAAUUUAUCUCGCUUAGUAGGGGACCUAAUAAGGAUUUUCUCAAUAACCUUAUGUUUAUUUUGGCUAAAACAUUGUUGUAGUAAAUCGCUCUUCCAAAUCCACAAGUCCAGAUCAAUCAGGUCCUUAAACAAAAUAAGGCUUAUCUCAAAGGAGGAAAGGAUGGAAUAUAUUCAAAAAGAUUACAAGUCGAGGACCCAUUGAUCAUGUGAAACCAUAAUGUCCUAGUCACUUUUGAAUUCAAUUUGGUUGCAAGAUUUUUAGUUAAAUUAAUAAUUCAAAAUUUUAGUAGGUAUCUUUCAUGUCUGAUGUACGAUUUUUGAAGACUAAUCUUUUUAGGAUUCGUGGUUACCCCUUCCAACGAUAUUAUUAUAUCUAAGGUUUAAAUAUGAAUUUUUUUCUUAGGAAUACAAUAUGCCUCCCCUUCUCAAUUUUUGUUCAUUGUUAAUUGAUCAUUUAAAUAGGAAUGCAUUUGUUUUAAACCUUGGUAAUUAGUUGGGUCUAGUGAACUUUAGGAGCUUAUUCUAUGCAUGUAACUCCCAACAUCCAUUCUUAAGAAUUCGAUGAUUGAAAUAUUUGGUUUCAAAAUUACUUCAAUUGUAAUUAUUACUUGAUUGUGGUACAAAAUUUUUGUUACAAUGUUUAGAACUAUUUACAACUCCUCCUUAACAUUUAAUAAAAGGAUAAAGGCACUUUAGCACGCUUCAACCCACAUAUCCUUCUAUACUAACAACAAUGUUGAUACUAAAUUAAAACUCAAUUUAACAAUUGUACAUAUUUUUAGGUUAAAUAAAUUUUAAGUACACAUAUUGCUGUUGUGAUGUAAGUAUUUAGGAUAAAUCACUGCAUUGUUAGACAAAUUGACCCAGACUAUAAAUUGUAUAUACAAACAAAAUUAAAGAGCAUUGGUAAAAUGUACAAAAAAAAUUGAGUAACAUUCAAUAUUUAUAAUAAAUAAAACACAAAUAUAAUAUACAAAGCUUUGAUGCCUUGAAUCUUUAGGGCUCUUCAAGCAGCCUUUAAUUUUUGUGAUUGGAUGAGUCUUGGCUGCCGCAAAUUGAAGAAGAAAAAUAUAUAAAAGCAUUUCAGAACAAAUACACACAAAAUAAGCUUCUGCAUGUAAGAAACUUAUAUAAGUUCGUUUCGGGUUUCACAAGUUUAAUCUUUUUAAGUUUGAGAUUUUAAUUUUUGAAUUGCAUCAUUACUAAUAAAAUUAUUUUAAGUAUAAAUUAUUCAGAUUAUUUUGAAUUCAAAUAAAUGUUUUGUUUGAAUCAAUUUAUAUUUGGGCCAAUAAUAAAUGGGUUUAAAUAGCUGAUUUUUUAUGGUCAAAGUGAGUUAAUUAGUUAAAUUUUCGGAUUCAUGUUAGAAUUGACACAUUUAAUUAAAAAUAUUUAAGCAUUAAAAUAAUCAAAAAGUCCCUAAGUUCAACUUACGGACGAAAAUUUAUAUUUUUACUUAGACUUCCCGAUUUUUUCAAAUUCUUAAUUAAGCCUCACAAUAAGUAUUGAAAUUUUCAAAAUUUUCAAAAUUUUCAAAACUUGCCUUUAAUUUUCUCAAAAUUCUUGAUUAAAUCUCUUAAAUUUUAUUUUCGAAAAAAGAAUUUCAUUAAACACAAAAAAUUAAAUAGAUUGAAUCCAACAUCUAGGAGUUACAAAAUUCUCAUAAAUAACAAGAGUUUACAAAAAGACUAGUAAACAAAACUUACUUUUGUUGAUGUAUAGCAUAAUAAGUCUGCAAAGCACCAAGCAAAAGUGCAGUAAUGGCACCCACAAAUGCCAAAAACGUCCAAGGACUCCUAAAAUAAGUAUGAUAACCUUGAGCUGCAUGCUUAAUCCACGUAGUCUUACAAUGAUCAUGUAUUUUCCGUUUAACCCCACUGUAAAUCGGACUAGGAACCAAAUCAGUGUUCAUCUUAUUGAAAAGCUUAGCCACUUCUUCAUCACUCCCCAAUCUAUUGUAUAGUAUGCCGGCGUCUCUCAGGUCUUUAACAUCUUCGGCUUCAUCAAUCAAUAAAUCAAGGAAACACAUAUAUGAAGUGACGGUGAAAUCGUUGUCGAAAUCCGGACACAUUUCGUAAGCUAUUAAGUUCAUGGUUGAAUCAUCGACGGAGAUCGGCGGUAAACAUAAUUUUCCGACGAAUAAGAUACGGUUGAAACUGAUGUCGGUUAAACAACUUGUUUCGCUGGCUUUUAACGAUAUCCCGACUUUUUUAAGCUCUUUUACGUUAUGAAUGGUGUGUGAAUGGCACCAUUUUGUUCCUUCUUCUUUUCUACGUUCUUGUUCAUUUGAACACGGAAAACCCCACCGCCGUGGUUUUUCUUUUUUGAAAAGGAGUCUUACUCGUAGUAGAUGCAAUAAGUGAAUUCGCUCUCCUUGCUUCUACUUCCGCCACCAUUCAUCGGAGCAAAAUCUGUAUCAGUCGAAGCAAACCUAUAAAUUUUUUUGGGGUAAAUUACACUAACAGUCACUCAACUUUGGGGUAGCUAACAAAACAGUCACUCAAGUUUCAGUUCAGUCACUGAACUUCUAAAAAAUAACAAAAUAGACACUAAUGUUAUUGAAAAGUGAUAAAUCAGUCACUCAUUAACAAUUGUCAUCACAGGCUUAAUGUGGUCAAUUAACUAGUUGAUGUGACUAGUUAACUUGCCAUGUUGGACAAGUAGUCAAAGGGUCAAAAAGAAAAAAAGAUGAUUAGUUAAGGGUAAAAAGAAAAAUAAGAGAAAUGGAGAAGAAGAAGAAAAGGAGGAAGAAGGGAAAAUGGAAGUCAAAGGGUCAAAAAGAAAAGAAAAGAUGAUUGGUUAAGGGUAAAAAGGAAAAUAAGAGAAAUGGAAAAGAAGAAGAAAAGAAGAACAGGGUAGGAAGAAGGGAAAAUGGAAGGAGCUUCCAAGCUUCAUACCAACGAUUCCCAAGGGUCAAAAUCUGGGAAUUUGGAUUUUGAUCCUUGGGAAUUACUGUUACGAAGUCCUUCCAUUUUCUCCUCUUCUUCUUUUCUUCUUUUUCUCCAUUUCUUCUCUUAUUCUUCUUCUUUUUUUUGUUCUUCUACUGCCCAAACUUCUUAAAUGGGUUUGUUUAAAUGACAGCUAGCCUACCCUUAAAUGUCAUGUCACUUUUUCGUUACGUCUGUAACGAAAAAUGGUUAAAAAGACUGUUUUGUCAGCUACCCCAAAGUUGAGUGAUUAUUGCUAUAAUUUACCCUAUUUCUUAUUUGAAAUUGUAAAUUUUUAACCAGCUAAAUUUAAGGUUUUCAAAACCCAACUCGUUAAGUUAUCGAUUUAUAAUUCUAAUUGGUCUAAUGAAUUCAUCCGAUUAAUUAAAUUAAUUAUUAAAAAUUUUCCAUUUGAUUGCCCAAUUCAAUUAAUUUUUUUUGGUUCAACCUGUUCAUAUAGAUUCUCAAAUCAAUUGGUCCAAUGACUUCCUUCAGACUAAUACCUUAAUUAAUUUCCAAUCCAAAUCGAUUCAAAUAAUAUUGGCUAAAAUACAAUUUUUAUUAUUUUAUUAAUGCAAAAAUUUUACCAUUUUAAAGAUAUUAAAAUAUAAAAUUUCUAUUUUAAAAAGUUGGAUUUGAAAUCAUAAUUUUUUUUCUAAAGAAAUGUACACUCAACAGGACCAAAGGAAUUGGCAGGGAAAUUUUGUUUUAUGGACCGUUUUCAUCACAAAUGAUCUUAUCAAAUUAAAAGAGGAUAGAUCAUCUUUUUUUUCAUAUCAUAUAUACAUUGGGACUAAACUUCCAAAUAAAAAAUAAUGUGUCUUUUUUUAAUUGAGUGGGACCAUAGAUGAUGUGGUGAAAAUGGUCCAUUAAAUAAUUUAUCACAAGCAAGAGUAAUUCCAAAAAUAGAAAAUUACAUUUUAAUUCUUUAAAAAUUAUUAAAUUAUAAAUUUAUAUAUAAUAAAAUUACACUUUGACCCUCAAAAUGGAAAAAAUAUUUUGUUCAGUCUUUUUAAAAAAAUAUGAACUUAUAAAUCAAUACAUGAAAAAAUUUAAGGAUUCGACAAAACUUAUCGGUCAGGCUAGUUGUUGAGAAAAUUGAACAAGGUAUUGAUCCAGAAUAAGAGAUUAGAUUAGAUGAAUUGAGUCAUCGAAUGGAUUUUCUUUAUAUGUUUAAUAUAUCUUUAAUAUUUUCAAAAACUUAUAUAACUGAAUCGAAUAAACUAAUCAAUCAAAAUUAAGAGUAAUCAAUGUAAAAACCUUUUAACAUUUAUAACCUCGACAAAAUGAUUUUUUUAUUUAUUUUUAAAUUCCUUAAAUUACCUGUCCUCGGCUGGGGUGAUAACAGUGUCGUCGAUGAACCUUAUGAUUGCAUUCAUGAACUGUUCGCCAUCACUCGAGCUAGUAAGCAAUUCAAGAACACGAAAAGGUAUUUGGUUCUCCAACAAUAACAGAUCCGAGUACACAAAUGUAAGCAAAUCGUUUUUAAUAAACUGGCCAUAAAUUUUACAAAUAUCAUCACCGUAACGCAUAUAAACUGCUUGUAAAAUUGCGCAGCCGUCAACGAAGAACAUCCAAGCCAGUUUCUCGUCAUCGUCGCUAUACUUCUCUAAUUCCUGUGGAUCAUAGCAUUUCUUUAAGUCAUCGAUCGCUUUUUUCAUGUUGCUGUACAAGGAAUCCUUAUCGACCUUAAUGUUUUUGACGAAAUGUGCUGCUAAUUUGAGCUUGAGCUCCUUGGAUUCCUGGAGGGUGCGAUCAUCGUGGUGGAGUGGGCCGAUUGAGAUCACUUUCGGCCAGAAAUACUUCUUGAAAUCUUUGUUACGGCGAAGGGUUGAUGGGACUUUUCGGAUCAAUAGAUUGGAUUUGAAUUUGGGUUGGCCGCCCUCGAAAGCUUCGUCUAAUUUUUCGAGAUUCGCUAAUUCGCCACUGCUGAGUUGGACGUCGCCACUGCUGAGAGGGACGUCCGUGCACCGCAUAUCAAUGCUCACGGAAUCGUUGUUGGUGUUGUUGUUGAUGGUUGUUUGAUCAGUGGAAACUGCUCCGACGGCGCCGCCUCCUUCCUCCGUGGACGACAUUUUCAGGGUGAGCGGUUGGAAGUAAUAAACAAGGUGAUUUUGUAAACUGUUCUUGGCUGAGUGAGUGAUGUCGGAGAAAAGGUGGCAAAAUGGCUACGAUGAUGACAAAUAUUUUAUAGCUUACAUAAUAAACAAAUAUGGGAAAUACUUGAGGUGUAAUUUAAAUUUACCCCUUAGUGUUUAUAUUUUUACUAAUAUAAUUUUUAACUUUUAAUUUUUUAAUUAAAUUUAAUUUUCUUUUGAAAGAGUCAAUCUUAAAAAAGAAAAGUUAAAUUAAUGUUUUUUUAACAAAAAUAGUGACAAAUAUAAUAAUUGUCCUUAAGAAGCUAAGACCCUAUGAUUGGGACAUUUACAACACUUAAUAAAUUUCAUACACUUAAAAAUAGCUCCAUGCUUCUUUACAUAUAAUAAUUGCAUUUGUUAUUCUACCUAACUCUUGAAAAAUCUCAAAUUUGCAACCACAUAUUAUUCACAUGCCAACCAACCAAUUUAUUACCCACAUGCCAACCAUUUUUUUUAUUGAAGUUAUUGUACUUAUAACCUUUCACAUAUAACUAUGCUUCUUUAGAUAUGCUAAUUGCAUUUAUUGUUGUACCUCACUCGUGAAAAAUCUCAAACUUGCAACAAAAUAUUAUUCACAUGCCAACCAACCACUUUUUUUAUUGAAGUUAUUAUACUUAUAAGCUUUAUGCUUAUUGUAACACUCUAUGUUUGAUUCGAUCUACAGGACACUAUAGUUAUUGUCAGAGCAACUACAGUCAGAAUUACGAAAAGAUAAUUUGUAUUUAACAUCAAUCAUGAUGCAAUUACAGUAACACAUCAAUUAUGAGCUUUAAUCGAGCUUACGAAAGCUUUUUUGGCAGUUCGAGCAAGAAUUAGGACCAAACAGUAAAGAUUUGAAAAGUUUGGAGCGACUUCGUGACUUCAGCUUUUUCUCAUCGCAACAUGACCAUCUCAGUGUGUCACAUCAUAACGAAAAGCCUAUGCUCAUCACAACGAGACUCUCUGACUUGACAAUGUCACAAUGUCAAGAUUUGUAGUCGUGACGUGGACCCUAUAUUUGGCAAAAAUAUACAAUUUGGUACCUAAUUCAAUGCUCCAACUAAAAUCAUGCAAGAAAAAUACAUUACAUGCCAUUUCUAAAUAACUUAAAACUUACCUAAAACAUGCUAAGUAAGUUCAAACAUAUCAUUUCAAUUCCAUAGCAAUUCAUAUUACCAUUUCAUCAUUUAUAUUCAACUUUUCAAUAACUUACACUAAAUAUCAACAAGUUAUACAAACAUCUACCAUUACCUUUAUCAUGCCAUAAUGAAUCAUUCCAUUUCAAACAAUCAUCACAUUAGUUCUUUUAUUUUUCUUUUUUAGUCAACAUAUGAAAACCAACUUAGAUAGAUCACAUUCCAACUUUCCAAAUGCAUCAAAUAUUUCAUAUUCAUGUACUAACAAAGAUCAUGCCAAGAACCCACAUGCAAAGUCAUUAUAUACCACAUUUAACUCAACAAGACUUUUACACAACCAAAGAUUACUCCAAACGUUUAUAUGCAUGUCGCAAUCCUUGACUCAAAGAUAAUAAAAAAAACCGAAUUGACAAUAGAAUAGUGUAAGCUUCAAACGAUCCAACCGACAUGUUCCACAAUGUAACAACCUAAAAGGAAAAAGAAAACAAUGGGGUAAGCAUAUAAGAUGCUUAGUAACUCAUAUGUAAUCUAAACCUUACCUAGAUUAAUUGAACAUAAACAAUUACUCAAUAAGCUAUCAAAUUUAUUUUUCCAUGGCACUUAGAUAUCGUACAUGUAACAAUAUUUCAAGUCGAAAAUGUUAAAUACAAUGUUGAAUCAUUAUGUCUUCUUUUCGUAAGUUUCACUUAUAGAAAUACAAUAUAGGUUCAAGUACAAAUAUAUGUCUCGAUUAAUCUAGAAAGAACUAGACAAAAUCCACACAUGAUAAACGCAUAUAAUGAGUGUGAGACUCACACAUCACAAUUGAGAAUAAUAUUAUAGAACCAAAAUACUCAACAACCCAAAACCUUUGCGUUAACCAAGAAGCUAAGACCCUAUCAGAGGGAGAAUUUUAUAUCUACAACACUUAUUAAAUUUCAUUAGCUUAAUAAUAUAUAUUCAAAUAUUUAACAUUGUAACCAUGCUUCUUUUCAUAUAGUAAUUGCAUUUGUUAUUCUACCCAACUUAUGAAAAAUCUCAAAUAUAUAUUUUCAUUUUAUUACUUAAAUUAUUAUUACUUACUUUAAUAUUUAAAUUAUCAUUAUAUUACAUGAUUUGUUCCAAAUAUUUAACAUUGUAACGAUGCUUCUUUAAAUAUAGUAAUUGCAUUUGUUAUUCUACCUAACUCAUGAAAAAUCUCAAAUUUGCAACAUGUUAUUCACAUGCCAACCAACCAAUUUAUUAUUCACAUUCCAACUUUCUAAAUGCAUCAAAUAUUUCAUAUUCAUGUACUAACAAAGAUCAUGCCAAGAACCCACAUGCAGAGUCAUUAUAUACCACAUUUAACUCAACAAGACUUUUACACAACCAAAGAUUACUCCAAACGUUUAUAUGCAUGUCGCAAUCCUUGACUCAAAUGAUAAAAAAAACACCAAAUUGACAAUAAAAUAGUGUAAGCUUUGAACGAUCCAAUCGACAUGUUCCACAAUGUAACACCUAAAAGGAAAAAGAAAACAAUGGGGUAAGCAUAUAAGAUGCUUAGUAAACUCAUAUGUAAUCUAAAACUUACCUAGAUUAAUUGAACAUAAACAAUUACUCAAUAAGCUAUCAAAUUUAUUUUUCCAUGGCACGUAGAUAUCGUAUAUGUAACAACAUUUCAAGUCGAAAAUGUUAAAUACAAUGUUGAAUCAUUAUGUCUUCUUUUCUUAAGUUUCACUUAUAGAAAUACAAUAUAGGUUCAAGUACAAAUAUAUGUCUCGAUUAAUCUAGAAAGAACUAGACAAAAUUCACAUAUGAUAUAGGCAUAUAAUGAGUGUGAGACUCACACAUCACAAUUGAGAAUAAUGUUAUAGAAAACCUUUGCGUUAAGCAAGAAGCUAAGACCCUAUCGGAGGGAGAAUUUUAUAUCUACAACACUUCUUAAAUUUCAUUAGCUUAAUAAUAGCUAUUCAAAUAUUUAACAUUGUAACCAUGCUUCUUUUCAUAUAGUAAUUGCAUUUGUUAUUCUACCCAACUUAUGAAAAAUCUCAAAUUUGCAAUUUAUUAUUCACAUGCCAAACAACCAAUUUAUUAUUCCAACCAACCAAUUUAUUAUUCACGUGCCAACCAAUUUGUUUUAUCGAAGUUAUUAUACUUAUAAGCUUUCACAUAUAACCAUGCUUCUUUACAUAUAUUAAUUGCAUUUAUUGUUGUACCUCAUGAAAAUUUUCAAAUUUGCAACAACAUAUUAUUCGCAUGCCAACCAACCACUUUUUUUUAUUGAAGUUAUUAUACUUAUAAGCAUUCACAUUUAACCAUGCUUCUUGUAACACUUUUCAUUGGAUCCAAUCGUUGGGUCCGAUCUACAAGACGCUAUAGUCAUUGUCAAAGCAACUACAGUCGAAAUUACGAUAAGAUAAUUUUCAUUUAAACAUUAAGCAAGAUUCAACUACAGUAAUACAUUAAUUAUGAGUUUUAAUCGAGCUUACAAAAGCUUUUUUGGUAGUUCGAACAAGAAUUAGGACCAAACUAUAAAGAUUUGAAAAGUUUGGAGCGACGUCACAACUUCAGCUUUUCCUCAUCGCAACAUGACCAUCUCAGUAUGUCACAUCAUAUCGAAAAGCCUAUGCUCGUCGUGGCGAGACUCUUUGACUUGGCAAUGUCGCAAUGUCAAAAUUUGUAGCCGUUAUGUAAACCCUAUAUUUGACAAAAAUAUACAAUUUGGUACCUAAAUCAAAGCUCCAACUAAAAUCAUGCAAGAAAAAUACAUUACAUGCCAUUUCUAAAUGACUUAAAACUUACCUAAAACAUGCUAAGUAAGUUCAAACAUAUCAUUUCAAUUCCAUAGAAAUUCAUAAAACUUACCUAAAACAUGCUAAGUAAGUUCAAACAUAUCAUUUCAAUUCCAUAGCAAUUCAUAUUACCAUUUCAUCCAUUGUAUUCAACUUUUCAAUAACUUUAACUAAAUAUCAACAAGUUAUACAAACAUCUACCAUUACCUUUAUCAUGCCAUAAUGAAUCAUUUCAUUUCAAACAAUCAUCACAUUAGUUCUUUAAUUUUUCUUUUUUAGUCAACAUAUGCAAACCAACUUAAAUAGAUCACAUUCCAACUUUCCAAAUGCAUCAAAUAUUUCAUAUUCAUGUACUAACAAAGAUCAUGCCAAGAACCCACAUGCAAAGUCAUUAUAUACCAAAUUUAACUCAACAAGACUUUUACACAACCAAAGAUUACUCCAAAUGUUUAUAUGCAUGUCGCAAUCCUUGACUCAAAUGAUAAAAAAAAACUACCAAUUUGACGAUAAAAUAGUUUAAGCUUAAAACGAUCCAACUGACGUGUUUUUUUUUUUGCUCAAUCAAGAUAUUAUAGCUUUCAGCAUUUGUAGAAAUGCUAGCAUUCUACAAAUACAAGAUAACCCUUUCCCAAGAUCAGCAAACCGAGCACAAUCAAGUUGAGCCGACGUGUUCUGCAAGGUAACAACCUAAAAGAAAAAAAGAAACAACGGGAUACGCAUAUGAUAUGUUUAGUAAGCUCAUAUGGAAACUAAAACUUACCUAGAUCAAUUGAACAUAAAAAAUUACUCAAUAAGCUAUUGAAUUAAUUUUUCCUUGGCACUUAUAUACAUAUAGUACAUGUAACAACAUUUCUGUUAAAGAAAAGUAAUUUGACUUUUUUUCUGAAAAGUUAAUGGCUAAAUUUAGCUCAAAUAAAAAAGAAAAAACAAAAGCCAAUUUGGCAGAAAAUAUAAAUAUUGAGGAUAAAAUUUAUCAUUAUGUCUUUUUUUUUUAAGUAAUUAUUUGUGGUGGGCCAUCAUGUUUGACAAUGAUUUUUAAAUACUGUGUUAAUUGUAUAUAGCACAUCAUGUUUGACAAUAAUUUUUAAAGACUUUUAAACAUCGCGUUAAUUGUUUAUGGCCCAUUGCCCAUAUUGCUUUUAUUAAAUUUUGGGUAAACUUCAAGUUAAUCAUUUAAUUUUUAUAAAAUUUCACUUUGGUGAAAAAAAAAUUGUAUGGGAUGGGAGUCUCAGGAUAAAACAAAAAUUAGGAUAAAUGUAAUGCUGAAAUGAAUAUACUGGGAAUCUUUAAUGUUUAUGGCCAAACCCCACCUCUCCUAUCCUAUACUUCAUCUAUAAUAAUGGUUCUUGGCUUCUUCUAUUCUAUACCUCAAUUAUUUGGAUUAGAUUGAAAAACAAUUGACACUUGAUUUGAUUGUGAAAGAAGUUUUAGUUUAAUGAUAUGAUUGAGUUAAAAUUUAAAUUUAUAAUAUUUAACUUGAGUGUGAGUGAAUUUUUGACUUAAUUCAAAAUUUAAAAUAAUAAGUUCGAGUUUUAUUUAAUUAUGUGUGUAUAUCAUGUAUAAAUUUUAUUUAAAUUUAUUUUGAUUUAAUUCUCAUACUAUAUAUUCUUAAUUAAAUUCGGAAUAUAUUUUAAUUAUCAAUUUAAUUAUACAUUAUAACGAUGGAUUUGGAUAACAAAAUUCAGUUUACAAAAAGACAAAGUAAAGAACACUUACUUCGGUUGAUGUAUGGUAUAAUAAGUCUGCAAAGCACUAAGAGUAAGUGCAGCAAGGGCACCCAAAAAUGCCAAAAACGUCCAAGGCCUCCUAAAAUAAGUAUGAUAACCUUGAGCUGCAUGAUUAAUCCACAUAGUCUUACAAUGAUUAUGUAUUUUCUCUUUAACCCCACUGUAAAUCAUCUGACUAGGAACUAAAUCAGUGUUCAUCUUAUUGAAAAGUUUAGCCACCACUUCAUCACUCCCCAAUCUAUUGUAUAGUAUACCGGCGUCUCUUAGGUCUUUAACAUCUUCGGCUUCAUCGAUCAAUAAAUCAAGGAAACACAUAUAAGAAGUGACGGUGAAAUCGUUGUCGAAAUCCGGACACAUUUCGUAAGCUAUUAAGUUCAUGGUUGAAUCAUCAACGGUGAUUGGCGAUAACCGUAAUUUUCCAAAGAAGAUAUGGUUGAAACUGAUGUCGGUUAAACAACUUGUUUUGCUGCCUUUUAACAGUAUCCCGGCCUUUUUAAGCUCUUUUACGUUACCAAUGGUGUGUGAAUGGUGCCGUUUUGUUCUUGCUUCGUUGCUAGAUCCGUGUUCAGUGAUUGACCACAAACGGCACCACCACGGUUUUCCUUUUCCUACAAGGAGUCUUACUCGUAGUACAUUCAAUAAGUGAAUUCGCUCUCCUUGGUGCAGCUCCCACCACCAUUCACUACACCAAAAUCUGUGUUAGUCGGAAGCCAAGUUAUAAUUUAUCUUUUCAUUUUUUUCUUUUUGUUUGGAUUUGCAAUUGUUAAUUUUCAUGAAGCUAAAAUUAAUAUUUUCAAAAUAGAUAAUUCAACGAUUAAGUUAUUGAUUUAUAAAUUUCAAUUUAUUUGAUUUAAUUAAAUAAAUUAUUAAAAAUUUCGAUUCAAUAACACGGUUUAAAUAAAAAUUUUUACUCUAUUCAUAUAAAUUUUUAAAUCGGCCCGUCUAAUGACUUUCUCCUAAUUGAUGUCUCAAUUAAUUUUCAAUCCAAAUCGAUAUUAGCUAAAAUACAAUUUUUUAUUAUUGUAUUAAUGCAAAAAUCUUACCAUUUUUAAGAUAUUAAACUUUUCCAUUUUGGAAAGUUGGAUUUGAAAUCAUAAUUUUUCAUUUCUAAAUAAUGUACACUCAACAGGAUAAAUGCAAACCGACAGGCAGGGGUCGUUCCCAAGAAAUAAAAAUUUACACUUUAAUCCCUUUAAAAAUUAUUAAAUUAUAAUAAGUCAUCAAAUUAAAAAGAAAAAAAUUUAAGGAUCAGACUAUACUUGUUAAUCAGGUUAGUUAGAUAAAAAAUCGAGUAAAAUUAGAAUUAGACUAAUUGAAUCAAAGAAUCGAAUCACUUUUUUUAUAUUUUUAAUAAUUUCAAAAAAUUAUAUAAUUAAACUGAAUCAACUUAUAAUCCAGAAAAGAGAGUCUAAUAUUUUUAAUAAUUUCAAAGAUUCCAUCACCCAUCUAGUUAUAAAAACCUUUUAACAUUUAUAAACUCCACAAAAAUGAUUCUUUAAUUCCGUAAAUUGGCACAAGAUGCGCCCCAUGGAGGUCUAUCGAUUAGAUGGGGGACAUUUAGCCCACAAGAACUGGCCUGAUUCGGAGAGCUACUAAAGAAGCCUAUCAGAUUAAAGCCUGGUUGGCCCAAUGAUGAAGACAUGACAACUUAGGCAAUUUUGGUAACUAAUCUUAGAAGAUAGAAUAGAAUCAUAUCUUGUAAGAUUAGAUUAGAUUUGAUAUGGCAAAUCUUGUAAAUCCCUAAAAUCAAGGGAUAUAGUGAAUCUCAUCCGUCGAUGUACAUGUAUCUUGAUCGUCGGUUCUGGGGGAGCUCAACUAUAAAUAGAGAGCCUCCCCCUCACUUGUAAAUCAUCCAUUGUAGCUUGAAUUCUUAAGAGUAAUAGAAUUCUUGAGCAUUUACUCAAACACUUUGUGAGCUUUCUUUCUUUAGCUUUCUGUUGUUCUCUUGUGGCUUCUUUUGGCACAAUCGCUUCCGCUAUACAAAUUGGUGCCUUGGAGGAGUUCUAAAAGAAUCCUCUCUUUUGGGAGUUAAGGCUGACUUGGGCAAGUUUGGAUGAACGGAUCGCCUAAGGCCGUACGGAUUGCGAGACGAAAGGUCUAGCCCCGUGACAAGUGGUAUCCGAGCCAAGUUUUGAACCAAGUUAUAUUCGAGUGGUUCGAAGGCACUGUUGGGAUGUCGAAAGAAGUCGUCGGUCAGAGUGAACCAAUGGAGACCCGUGGGAGGGCUAGAAAAGCCAAUCACUCGAGGGAAAUGCUGACAGCUUUGGAGAACCGAGUGGUCAAUCUCGAGGAAUCCGUAGGAAAUGUGAAAGAGACGCUUGAAUUGGUCGAGGGACGCACAGAUGGGUUGGACUCAAUGGAGGAGCAACUCAGAGAUUUUGUGUUGGAUUCUCUUGGUGCAAAUAGGGAAAAGAUAACGGAAUUACUCGAGUCCACUGAGGUAAAGCUAGCAGAGAGGGAUGAAGCUCUCGAGGAUAUGGUGCUAGCCAUGCAAAAAGAAAUGGAGGAGCUUAAGGGGGAGCUCACGAUCUACAAAGCCGCUUUGAGUAAUGGGAUGUUGUCUUCAAGGCCGAAGCAACAAGCAAUGGAUGUGAAUCAAAAUUGGGAUGCUGAUGAUGAUCGUGGAAGGACACAGGAACGACAUCCUCGUGAUAAAUUUAAGGGUAGAUUGAAGUCUUCAAAUAGAGGUAAAACUUGUAACUUCUGCAAAAAGAAAAGACACGUUAAAUCUGAGUACUAUAAGCUACAUAACAAUAUCAAAAGGGGGGCUGUGAAUCAAAAUGGAAAACAACUAGAAAAUUUUGGUAAAGUUGAUGUUGUAGAAAACUACAACGAUGGUGAACUUCUAGUUGCUUCUGCCAACAAUUCUAAAGUUAGCGAGGAGUGGAUCCUUGAUUCGGGCUGCACCUUCCACAUAAGUCCCAAUUGGGAUUGGUUUACAACUUACAAAACAGUGUUUGAAGGUGUUGUUUUAAUGGGAAAUAAUACUUUAUGUUGAAUCAUAGGUGUUGGAAGAAUUAAAGUUAAGAUGUUUGAUGGAGUUGUCAGAACACUUAGUGACGUACGACAUGUUCCAAAAUUUAAGAGAAAUUUAAUUUCGUUGAGUACUCUUGACUCAAAAGGGUACAAAUAUACAGCUAGAAGUGGGGUUUUGAAGAUUUCCACAGGUUCCCUCGUUGUGAUGAAUGGGUAGAGAAAGACUACCAAGUUAUAUGUUUUGCAGGGUUUUACUGUUACUGGUGAUGCAACUGUCGCAUCCUCUUCUUUGUCAAAUGAUGAUAUUACUAAACUAUGGCAUAUGUACCUAGGGCAUAUGAGUAAGAAUGACAUGGUAGAAUUGAGCAAAAGAGGACUUCUUAAUGGGCAAGGAAUUUGCAAACUGAAAUUCUGUGAGCACUGCAUUUUUUGGAAGCAAAAGAGAGUUCGAUUCACUAGAGGAAUCCAUAACAUGAAAGGAAUGUUAGAGUAUAUUCAUUUUGAUUUUUGGGGGCCAUCUAGAGUGCAUUCGAGAGGUGGAGCUAAUUAUAUGCUAACUUUUAUUGAUGAUUUUUCCAGAAAAGUGUGGGUGUUCUACCUGAAGCAGAAAAGCGAUGUGUUUUUCACUUUUGAGUCUUGGAAAACUAUAAUUGAAAAACAGACGAGAAAACAAAUAAAAUACCUCCGCACAGAUAAUGGCUUAGAGUUCUAAUCUGAUGAGUUUAAUAAACUGUGUAAGUCAGAAGGGAUAGUGAGACACUUGACAGUUCGUCAUACUCCACAGUAAAAUGGUGUUGCAAAAUGAAUGAACAAAACUAUCAUGGAGAAGGUUCGAUAUAUGUUGUCAAAUGCCAACUUACCAAAGUCAUUUUGGGCCGAAGCAGCCUCUACUACAUGUUUUUUAAUCAACUGAUCUCCAUCUGUUGCCAUUAAGAAAAAGACUCCACAAUAGGUAUGGUUUGGUAUUCUUGCUAACUAUUCUGAUUUAAAGAUUUUUAGGUGUCCUGCAUAUGCUCAUGUUGAUAAUGGAAAAUUGGAAUCGAGAUUCAUUAAAUGUAUUUUUCUUGGUUAUAAAGCUGGUGUAAAAAGGUAUAAGUUAUGGUGUCCUGAAAAUAGAAAAGUUGUGAUUAGCAAAGAUGUUGUUUUUGAUGAAACUGCUAUGCUACCUAACUUAUCUCUUAAAGACUCUUCCAAUAAAAAAAAAUCAAAAGCAGGUGGAGCAUCAGAUUAAUCCAGAACCCACAACAGAGUCAACUCCUCAAGCCAGUACAAAAAUUCAAAAUAGAGUUGCUUCUUCACCAUAAUACUCAAUCGCCAAAAACAAAACUAGAAGAGAAAUUAAACCUUCAAAGAAGUAUGCCGAGGCUGAUUUAGUUGCUUAUGCUUUAAAUGUGGCUGAAGAUAUAGAUGCAAACUAAGAGCCAUCUAAUUAUUCUGAUGCUUAUGCUUUAAAUGUGACUGAAGAUAUAGAUGCUUUAAAUUUCGGGAGUGGACUUCACAGAUAUGUUUUCUCCAGUUGUGAAGUAUAGGUCUAUUCGAGCUUUUGUUGGUAUUGUGGCAAUGCAUGAUUUGGAGUUUUUACGUGUAAAAACUGCUAAUUUAUUUUCGUCCCCAAAACAUUUUUGGCUUAUACCUUGAAUGUGGAUCAAAAAAGAAAGUCUAGAGACUGAUAAGUGCUAAAAGUAACAUGUUUUAAUCUCAUUUUUAGUGUGUUUUUGGAUAAUUAUUCGAUUUAAAAUGGUGAAAUUUAUGCUCCUAAUCCUUUAAUUUAUGUUUCUAUACUUAGGAAAGGAUUUGGGAGCAAAAGGAACGAAAAUCGAAAAAUUGGAGCAAGUUUCAAGAGACAACUGGUUGGGCCAUUCUACAUGGCCAGGACACACGGCCGUGUGAGCUACACAGGCUUCCACACAGCCAAAUGCCAGACCAUGUGCAAAUCACAAAUCGCACUCCAAACCUACAGGAAAGCACAUUUUUUUAGGUAAGCAUAUUUUAUAGGUUUUUCAGGCAUUCUAAGACUUAUAUAUGAAAAAAAUAAGAAGAUGGGAGGGAACCGCCAUAGAAUAUUGAAGAAACAAAACUCAAAAAACACCAUUAAAGCUGACUCUGAAGCAGAUUUUCAUCAAGAUUGAAGAUCUCCUUUUGAUUUCUUUGAAGUUUAUUAUGAGUUCCUUUAUUUCUUGUGGUUAUCCUGUUUUUAGGAUGUUUUUAUUUGCUAUCAUGAACUAAUUUUCUAAAUACCUAUAGAGAUGAACCCUAGGAUGGAUUCUGUUAUUUGAUUUCUAUUUUUAUGCAAUAAAUACUUGAAUCUUGUUCUAAAUUUUGAGUGUUUAACUAUUGGUUUAAUAUUUCUAGGCUACUAGUCCAUGUUUGAUGUGCUUAAAUCAGAGGAUGGAUAGACCUAUUUAAGAGUAGAUCUAGCGUAAUUGAGUGAAGUUGCAUACAAUCUUAGAAAUAGGAUGGCAUAAAUAUACCAUAUUAGAGUCAAAUCUAAUAGGGGGAUCCAUAGAUCGAAUUAAUGUGAUAAUAGGAGUUUUAAUUAAAAAGAAAUUUCAAUUAAUCAGCCUAGAGUCAGUUGCUCUUAGUCUUGAAGAGAGAUAUUAUAAUAUUUAGGGAUUUCUAUGGAUCAAGCUACUAGUACUUUUACUAUGAAUCUCUUAGAAAAGAGUUGAAUUAAUAUUUUUUAACAAAAUAGUGACUGAAAUAUUAAAUUUUAAACAUGAUAACUCAUAUGACAAUCUACGUGUAUAUGUUUUCUUAUUUUAAAAUUAUUUGUUGACGUGGUAUAUAAGAAAAGUCAUGUUAUGUUAGCAUGAAAUGCACAUGGAUUGUCACACGAGUUGUAACACGAGCACUGUUAAAAAUUUAAUGUUUUAGUCAAUAUUUAUGUUAAAGAAAAGUAAGUUGACUAUUUUUUGAAAGGUUAAUGGCUAAAUUUAACUCAAAAUAAUAAUAAUAAAGAAUAGAGACUAAUUUCACAAAAAAUGUAAAUGUCAAAGGCUAAAUUUAAAAUUCUUAAAUGAUGACAUGACAUAAUCUCAAAGUGUCACGCUAUCACUCUUUGAUAGAAUUCAAGUUCAUGGACUAAAUCAAAAAAAAAUUGUUAAGUUCUGUUAUUAACCAUUUCUUUGUUCUUCAUUUUUUUCCUUUUGCUUUUUAGGUUCCAUAAUAAAAAAAUGGAUGGGAAAUUUCUAAAAUCAUUAGAAACAAGAAAAUAUGAUCUCAAAUCCAAUAAAUUACCCAAUCAAGUUACAGAGACUUAGGACCUGGCUAUGGGUGAAUUCAUCCCCUACAUUUUAGUAGGCACAGGUGGAUUUCAAGAACACAAAUAAUUAAAUUGGCUAAAUUUAUUCAUAUCCACCAAAUUAUUGGAAUUUUCAAAUAUAUUCAAAAAAUUAGAAGAGACAUUGGAUGAAACCACAAACAAAAUCAAAUUGAAAGAAAAGCAAAAUGACAUGGAAGGAGUAAAAGAAAAUAUGACUAAAUUGCCUGAAAAAUUAGCACGUAUGUUAAGCAACAUUAAUGAUAAAACACAUAGGAUACAACAACUACAUAUUUUUCACAUGCCAACCAACCAAUUUAUUUUUGUCCUUUUUGGUGUAAUUAAGGUAAAAUGAAUUUAAUUAUCUUUCAUAGAGUAAAUAAUCUUACCAACCAACCAACAACCAAUUUAUUAUUCACAUGCCAACCAACCUAUCUAUUUUUGUCCUUUUUGGUGUAAUUAAGGUAAAAUAAUCAGAUCCUAAGAGAUUGUUUGCAAGUCAAGUUAAACAAAAUAUAUCUUCUUUCUAGAAGAUUUAGUAUUUAUGAGUAUAAUAUAUUUAGCAUUUAUUAGCAUAAUAUAUUUGACUUUGAUUAGAAUUAGAUUUUUUUCAACCUAUAAAAGAUAUAAUCGAAACUCCUCUUGAAAUCAUUCGAAUUCGACAUAGUGAAUUUUCUUUUCCUCUGCCGGUGGUUUUUUACCCGAACGGGUUUCGACGUAAAAAUUUGUGUGCUUUUUAUUUUAUUUUUCUUUUCUUUGUGAUAUAUUAUCAUUGCUGACGUUCUAUUUUUUACAAAUUGGUAUCCGAGCUUCCAGGUUGUUCAUCUCAAUCAUGGUAAUGGCGUCUUUAAAGUUUGAAAUUUCACUGUUGGAUCGCAACACUAGAUUUGUGUUGUGGCAGAUAAAGAUGCAAGUAGUUCUUGCACAGAUGGACUUAGAGGAAGCCUUGCUGUGGUAGAUAAGAUGCCUUCAACAUUGACGGUGGAAGAGAAGAAGCGCAAGGAUCGAAAGGCGUUAACACAGUUACAUCUGCAUUUGUCUAACGAAAUUUUACAGGAUGUGAUAAAUGAGAAGACCGCCGCUGGAUUAUGGAAGAGGUUGGAACAAAUAUGUAUGUCGAAAACUCUAACUAGCAAGCUGCAUAUGGAGCAGCGUCUUUAUGCUCAUUGUUUGGAGGAAGGUGUAUCUGUGCAUGAACACUUAACAGUGUUUAAAGAAAUUCUCUCAAGCUUGGAGGCCAUGGAGAUUUAGUAUGAUAGGGAAGAUCUAAGGUUGAUUCUACUUUAUUCGUUGACCCCGUCUUAUUCAACCUUUAGAGAUAUGAUUUUAUAUAACCGCUAGUCUCUCACAGUUGAUAAGGUUUAUGAUUCUUUAACCUCGUAUCAUAAGAUUAAGUAUCUUGUUGUUAAAAUCAACUCUUAGGGAGAGGGUCUCAUGGUUCGUGAGAGACACAAUCGGGAUGUUGAUGAUGAUCGUGGAAGGACACAGGAAUGACAUCCUCGUGAUAAAUUUAAGGGUAGAUUGAAGUCUUCAAAUAGAUGUAAAACUUGUAACUUCUGCAAAAAGAAAAGACACGUUAAAUCUGAGUACUAUAAGUUACAUAACAAUAUCAAAAGGGGGGUUGUGAAUCAAAAUGGAAAACAACUAGAAAAUUUUGGUAAAGCUGAUGUUGUAGAAAACUACAACGAUGGUGAACUUCUAGUCGCUUCUGCCAACAAUUCUAAAGUUAGCGAGGAGUGGAUCCUUGAUUCGGGCUGCACCUUCCACAUAAGUCCCAAUUGGGAUUGGUUUACAACUUACGAAACAGUGUUUGAAGGUGUUGUUUUAAUGGGAAAUAAUACUUUAUGUUGAAUCAUAGGUAUUGGAAGAAUUAAAGUUAAGAUGUUUGAUGGAGUUGUCAGAACACUUAGUGACGUACGACAUGUUCCAAAAUUUAAGAGAAAUUUAAUUUCGUUGAGUACUCUUGACUCAAAAGGGUACAAAUACACAGCUAGAAGUGGGGUUUUGAAGAUUUCCACAGGUUCCCUCGUUGUGAUGAAUGGGUAGAGAAAGACUACCAAGUUAUAUGUUUUGCAGGGUUUUACUGUUACUGGUGAUGCAACUGUCGCAUCCUCUUCUUUGUCAAAUGAUGAUAUUACUAAACUAUGGCAUAUGUACCUAGGGCAUAUGAGUAAGAAUGACAUGGUAGAAUUGAGCAAAAGAGGACUUCUUGAUGGGCAAGGAAUUUGCAAACUGAAAUUCUGUGAGCACUGCAUUUUUUGGAAGCAAAAGAGAGUUCGAUUCACUAGAGGAAUCCAUAACAUGAAAAGAACGUUAGAGUAUAUUCAUUUUGAUUUGUGGGGGCCAUCUAGAGUGCCUUCGAGAGGUGGAGCUAAUUAUAUGCUAGUUUUUAUUAAUGAUUUUUCCAGAAAAGUGUGGGCGUUCUACCUGAAGCAGAAAAGCGAUGUAUUUUCGCUUUUGAGUCUUGGAAAACUAUGAUUAAAAAACAAAAGGAAAACAAAUAAAAUACCUCUGCUCAGAUAAUGGUUAGAGUUCUGCUCUGAUGAGUUUAAUAAACUGUGCAAGUCAGAAGGGAUAGUGAGACACUUGACAGUUCGUUAUACUCCACAGUAAAAUGCUGUUGCAGGAUGAAUGAACAAAACUAUCAUGGAGAAGGUUCGAUAUAUGUCGUCAAAUGCCAACUUACCAAAGUCAUUUUGGGCUGAAGCAGCCUCUACUACAUGUUUUUUAAUCAACCGAUCUCCAUCCGUUGCCAUUAAGAAAAAGACUCCACAAUAGGUAUGGUCUGGUAAUCUUGCUAACUAUUCUUAUUUAAAUAUUUUUGGGUGUCCUGUAUAUGCUCAUGUUGAUAAUGAAAAAUUGGAAUCGAGAUUCAUUAAAUUUAUUUUUCUUGGUUAUAAAGCUGGUGUAAAAAGGUAUAAGUUAUGGUGUCCUGAAAAUAGAACAGUUGUGAUUAGCAAAGAUGUUGUUUUUUUAUGAAACUGCUAUGCUACCUAACUUAUCUCUUAAAGACUCUUCCAAUAAAAAAAAUCAAAAACAGGUGGAGCAUCAGAUUAAUUUAGAAUCCACAACAAAGUCGACUCCUCAAGCCAGUACAAAAAUUCAAAAUAGAGUUGCUUCUUCACCAUAAUACUCUAUCGCCAAAAACAAAACUAGAAAAGAAAUUAAACCUCUAAAGAAGUAUGUCGAAGGCUGAUCUAGUUACUUAUUCUUUAAAUGUGACUGAAGAUAUAGAUGCAAACCAAGAGCCAUCUAAUUAUUCUGAUACGAUUAGCUUGAAGACUCAGAAAAGUGGAUGUUUGUUAUGUAAGAGGAGAUGAAAUCACUCCACAAAAAUCAAACAUUGGAUCUUAUGAAACUUUCUAAAAAUAAAAAGGUUGUUCGUUGUAAAUGGGUGUUUAAAAAGAAAGAGGGGACUCUAGGAGUUGAAGAACCCAGAUAUAAAGCAAGGCUUGUUGCAAAGGGUUAUAGUCAAAUUUCGGGAGUGGACUUCACAGAUAUGUUCUCUCCAGUUGUGAAGCAUAGGUCUAUUCGAGCUUUGCUUGGUAUUGUGGCAUUGCAUGAUUUCUUAAGCAGUUAGAUGUAAAAACUGCAUUUUUACAUGGAGAAUUUGAGGAGGAUAUUUACAUGCAACAACCAGAGGGUUUUACAAUCUCAGAAAAAGAGGACUAUGUUUGCUUGCUGAAACAGUCCAUUUACGAUUUGAAACAGUCAUCAAGACAGUGGUAAAAGAGGUUUGAUUCCUUUAUGACUUCUUAUGAUUUUAAAAGAAGUAGCUUUGAUAGUUGUGUUUACUUUAAGAAAAACAGUGAUGGUUCUUUUGUUUAUCUACUCCUUUAUGUUGAUGACAUGUUGAUAGUAGCGAAAGAUAAAUGAGAGAUAAGAAAUGUCAAAUUCUAAUUAAGUGAAGAAUUUGAGAUGAAAUAUUUGGGACUAGCAAAGAAGAUAUUUGGCAUGGAGAUUCUUAGAGAUAGAAAAGCAAGUAAAUUGUACCUAAGUCAGAAGGGGUAUAUUGAGAAAGUUCUUUGCAGAUUCAAUAUGCAGAAUACUAAGCCUGUUAGUACUCUUUUAGCAGCCCAUUUUAGAGUUUUAUCGACUUUGUCUCCACAAUCAGAUGAUGAGAUUGAGUACAUGUCACAUGUUCCAUACUCUAGUGUAAUGGGAUCUCUCAAGUAUGCUAUAGUUUGUCCACGUGUAGAUUUAUCAUAUGCAGUCAGUGCAGUUAGUAGAUACAUGGCGAAUCCCGAUAAAGAACAUUAGAAAGCAGUUCAGUGGAUUUUAAGAUACUUACGAGGUACUACUGAUAUUUGCUUAUAGUUUGGAAGAACUAGAGAUGGAGACAUUGGGUAUGUUGAUACUGAUUUUGCUGGAGACCUUGAUAGAAGAAGAUCUCUCACAGGUUAUGUAUUUACAAUCGAAGGUUGUGCAAUCAGUUGGAAAGCCACUUUGCAACCCACAGUUGCUUUGUCUACCAUUGAAGCUGAGUACAUGACGAUUACUGAUACUUGUAAAGAAGCUAUUUGGUUGAAGGGACUUUUUAGUGAACUCAAUGAAAACCUUCAAAUCAGUACAGUAUUUUGUGACAGUUAAAGUGCCAUCUUCCUUACAAAAGAUCAAAUGUUUCGUGAGAAAACAAAACACAUCGAUGUUCGGUAUUAUUUUGUUCGUGUUAUUAUUGCUCGUGUUGAAAUUGUUGUGACCACAAUUAGUACUCAUGAAAAUCCUACAGAGAUGAUGACUAAGUCAUUUCUUAUAACCAAUUUUGAGCAUUGCUUAGACUUGAUUGGUGUUCAUUGUUGAAAUUAAACCCUUAAGGGGUUUUAUGGAAGAGGUGGAGAACUUGUUCGUUGAGAGUUCGCGAUAAAGAACUUGUUCAUUGAGAAUUCGUGUCAAGGUGGAGAUUGUUAGAGUUUUGUGACCCAAAUUCUAAAAGAUUGCUUGCAAGUCAAGUUAAACAAAAUAUAUCUUCUUUCUAGAAAUUUUAGUAUUUAUGAGUAUAAUAUAUUUAGCAUUUAUUAGCAUAAUAUAUUCGACUUUGAUUAGAAUUAAGUUUUUUUCAACCUAUAAAUAGAUGUAGUUGAAACUCCUCUUGAAAUCAUUCGAAUUCGACAUAAUGAAUUUUCUUCUCCUCUGCCCAUGGUUUUUUUCCCGCAAGGGUUUCCACGUAAAAAUCUGUGUUCUUUAUUUUAUUUCUCUUUUCUUUGUGAUAUAUUGUCAUUGCCAAUGUUUUAUUUUUAACACAUAGAUUAAAUAAUCUUACCAACCAACCAAUUUAUUUUUGUCCUUUUUGGUGGGCUUUCGAGUCUACAAGACAGGUAGCAAUAGUUAUUGAGGAGCUAGUCACGUUUUAAAUAUUUUCUUCUAAGUAAGCACAACAACAUUAAGAAAUUUAUUUUUUAGAGUCUAUAUAAGGAAAAGGGCCUUAGGAUUUUCUAGUGCCACACUCACUUCAACAACAGACACUUCAAAUUUUCAAGCAUACAACAGCAGCAGCAGCCAGCGAACUAAUCAAUUGUUUUUAAGUACUAAUAUUUAGGGAUAAAGUAAUAGUUAAUUAUCUGAAUAUUUUAUAAUAGGGACGAAGUUAUAAAAGAAGUUGAAUUAGAUAUCUUUAUACAAGUUAAAAUACAAUUUAAUCAUAUUGGUUUGUAAUUUUACAUAUUUUAAAGGGAUUAGAUCAAAAUUUUAUCAUUUUGGAGGUUGAGAUGAAAUUUUACCGUGUAUUAACAUGUAAAAUUAUAACUUUUAAAGGCACCCAAAACAUAAAUUUCCAUUUUAGGUGGCCGAAGCCUUGGUUAUUUAUCUACUUUGAUCUUUGAACUUCUUUUUGUCUAAAUUAAUUCGAAAAUUUGAUAGUUUUUCCUAGUUUAGUCCUUGAACCUUGGGUUAUGCUACAUCAUCACUUGUAUUUUUUAUUAAAAAUAAUAAUAAUUUCUUUUUCAUUCUUUUUAGAUUUUAUUUAAGUUUUUUAAAAUUUUCAAAUGAUGACGUGACAAAAUCUUAAAGUGGCAUGCUAUCGCUCUUUAACGGAAUCCAAGUCCAUGGACUAAAUAAAAAAAUUGUUAAGUUCAAAGACUAAAUAUUAUUUUAUCCCUAAUAUUAGUUACCCUGUUUUAGAAGUUGAUUGAAUUUCUUGCUUGCUUACUUUUGUUAUUAACCGUUGCUUUGUUCUUCUUCUUCUUCUUCUUUUUAAUUUUAGGUCCCGUAAUUGAAAAAAGAUGCAUGAGAAAUUUCUAAAAUCAUUAGAAACAAGAAAAUAUGAUCUCAAAUCCAGUGAUUUACCCAUAUCAAGUUACAGAGACUUGGGCCCCGGCUAUGGUGAAUUCAUCCCCUACAUUUUAGCAGGCCAAGGUGGACUUCAAGAACACAAACAAUUAAAUUGGCUAAAUUUAUUCGUAUCCGCCAACUUAUUAGAAUUUUCAAAUAUAUUCAAAAAAUUAGGAGAAACAUUGGAUGAAACCACGACGGAAAUCACAAACAGGAUCAAAUUGAAAGAGAAGGAAAAUGACAUGGAAGGGAUAAAUGAAGAGAUGGCUAAAUUGCCUAAAAAUUUAGCACGUGUGUUAAGCAACAUUGAUGAUAAACCAUAUAGGAUACAACAUAUGGAGUGUAGCUUGGAAAAGAACAUGUAUAAGAUCAAUAAGGAUCAAAUUAAAAUUAUGAAAGAAUUGAGGGACUUGAAAAGGGAAAUAAAAGAGUUAAAGGAGGAUGUGAAAGAAGUUAAAAUAAAAAUUGAAAUUUUUAAAAAUUUCAAAAGUUUUCUUUGAUUUCUUAAAAUUUUUUAUUAAAUCUCUUAAAUUUUAUUUUCAAAAAAAAGAAUUUCAUUAAACACCAAAAAUGAAAUAGAUUGAAUCCAACAUCCAUGAGUUACAAAAUUAUCAUAUAUAACAAGAGCUUACAAAAAGACUAGUGUUACGGAAAAUGGCUUACGGAAAAUGACUUACUUUUCUGAAAAAGCUAAUAUUUUCUAGUGUUUGGAUAAAUCUGUGUAAAAUAUUUUCUUUUGUUUGGAGGUUCUUUAAAAAUAUUUUAUAAAAGUCAUUUUCAAUUAAACAAACAUACAUUUGAGAUUUUUUUUAUUUUUUUAUUUUUUCAUUGUUUAAUUGAGUUUAUUUUAUACCUAUAAUUUUAUAUUGUACAUUGUUUUUACAUAUAUUAAAAAUAUUUUGUUAAAUUUAGGUUCAUUGCAACAAUCAUUUUUUAGUUACAUGACUACCAAUUGAGUUUUUUUGUUUAAAAAUGUUACAUUAACAAAAUUGAUAAAAAAAUUAACAAUGUCAGCAGUUGGACUUGAUUUUCAAAUCUAGAAAGGAGAGGGACUAAAUUCUUGAAAAUAAAAGUACAGAAACUAAAUUGCAAAUUUGUGAAGAGUAUAUAAACUUAUGAUAUAUCUUAACAUUUAUACUACAAAACAAUUAUUAUUAAUAUAUUUAUAAUUGUAAUAAAUAUUUAGUAUUAAAGUAUUAAUAUUGAUAUUUUCAAUAAUAUGUGAAUAAUAUUAUUUAAAAUUACUAUUAAAAUAAAAUUUAAAUAUUAAAUAAUUUAUUAAAAAUAAUAAAUUAUAUUAAUAAUUUAUUAUAUGACUAAAUAUAAAUAAUUAAAUACGUAUUUUAAUAAUAUUAAAAAAUAUAAUAUUUUAUAUUAAUAUUUUAAAUAUUUUAAAAAUAAAAAUAAAAUUUAUUAUCAAUAUAAUAAUAUUAAACUUGAUUUAAGUUAAUUUUUAUAUAAAAGUAAAAUUAUCUAUUGAGGAGCUCUUUUCCGGAAAAUGACUUACGCUUUUCAAGAGGAUAAGUAAUUUUACAAGGAAAAAGGCUUAUUUCCAUUGACCUGUAAGUUAUUUUCCGUUGACCAAGCUGUUUUCUGUGAAACAAACACAGGAAAAUGCAGAAAAUAUUUUCCGUAAAACCUUUUACAUGUAAACAAAUGGACCCUUACUUUGGUUGAUGUAUGGUAUAAUAAGUCUGCAAAGCACCAAGCAAAAGUGCAGUAAUGGCACCCACAAAUGCCAAAAACGUCCGAGGACUCCUAAAUUAAGUAUGAUAACCUUGAGCUGCAUGAUUAAUCCACGUAGUCUUACAAUGAUUAUGUAUUUGCCCUUUAACCCUACUGUAAAUCAUCGGACCAGGAACCAAAUCAGUGUUCAUCAUGUAAAUGAUAUAAUGUCCAAAUUGUCUAGUGUUACUUCACAUGGUUGAUUUCAUUUGUGAAUUAAUGAUUGUGGAUUGACAACAUUGACUAUUCUAUGCACGGGGAGUGUAACACCUCAAACCCGGCCUAGACGUUAUGGUCGAAUCCUGGAGUGUUACAAAGAAGGGUUUUGAAAUCAGUGUUACUUCGAUAAAACUUUGUAUAGUCGUUCGAUAAAUCAUCCAAGUUUUAUAAUCCAUAUUCGUUUAUAUAACUAUUACUGAAAGCGUUAUACAAUUAAUUCAUUUGCCAAAACAUAAUUUACAGCGGAAGUCAUUUUCAUAAAUCGUUUUGACAAACCAAACAGGAUAGAAAACAAUCGAAACCAAAACCAACAGUUAAAAUCAUACAGUCCAGAGAGUCCCAAAAAUGACAAACUCUCAAAUAAAUUCAUAAUUUUAAUUAAAACCGUUAGUUAUUAAGUAAAAAUAGUUCUCAAUCGAGUGGUCAUCGCUGAGCCUCUGUCGUACUGACCUGCCGAAGUUUGUGGAUUACCUGAACAGAAUAGACAAAAAGAUGUGAGUUUUCAUAAACUUGGUGUGUAACCCAACAAAAAUAGUCAUGCAGCAUACACAGAAUCUCAUAUACAGUCAGAUACAGAUUCGGACCUAUGUCCAUGACAGAUACAGAUAGCAGAAUCAGAUAAGAAGAAUCAUACCCCCAUCCUCUACACACCAUCUCCGACUAUCCCAUCACACCAUGUGGGGUUAAAAACACCCACCCAACCCUACACACCAUAUAGAGUCAAUGCGACGCAUAACAGAUAAUAUGCAAUCAAUCUGCUAGAAUAAAGGCAAAGAAUCGCCAUACAAAUCACUUCCUCCACAUAUACAAUUCCCACCCCAAACACAGAUACAGAAUACAGAUGCAAAAAUAUCAGAGUAAACAUGCUUAACAUGCUCGUAUACAAAUGGAUACAUACUUAAACAGUACAGUCCGACAUACAUAUAGUAUCCUAAUCAAAUUAGUCUAUCAGAAUAUCAUAGCACAUAAAUUAGGGUUUUGGUUAGCCCUUACUGACCCUACGGCAGGUCCACAGUCGAUCGGAAUGACACCUGUGACCCUAGGGAAUAUUUCAGAAUUAUGGGCCCACAUGCCUAUAUGGGCCCACACGUCCAGAUUGGCCUUACCUGCAUGGGAACAUUAGAAGGUUCAAAAUACAAUUUUAUUAUUAUAUUAAUUUAUAAUUUCAUAAAUUUUAAAAGGAUUAAAUGAUAAAUUUACUAAUUUAAAAAGACAAUAGGGAUGGUAAAAUCUAAUUGAACCUAUCUGCGUUCGGAUCGGGAUGGAUUUUUUUUAAUUUAAAAAAUUAAAUAGAUUGAAUCGAAAAUCUAGGAGUUACAAAAUUCUCAUAAAUAACAAGAGUUUACAAAAAGAACACUUACUUGGUUGAUGUAUGGUAUAAUAAGCUUGCAAUCCACAUAUACAAUUCCCACCCCAAACAUGAAUAUAGAAUACAGAUGCGGGAAUAUCAGAGUAAACAUGCUUAAAAUGCUCGUAUACAGAUGGAUACAUACUUAAAUAGUGCAAUCAAACAUACAUAGGUCCACAAUCUAUUAGAAUAUCAUAGCACAUGGGUCCACAUGCCCGUGUGGGCCCACACGCCCAGAUUGGCGUUGCCCAUGUGGCCCACAUGGCCUGGCCCAAAACCCACACGGCCGUGUGGGCCUACAUGCCCAACUUGGCCUAGCCCGUGCGACCCACAAGGUCACACUCACACAAUCACACGACCAUGUCUUGUGCGCGGCCAUACCUUCGUCAGUCACAUGGCCGUGUCUCGCACAUGGCCAACCACAUGGCUUGGCUCACGCCCUUGUGGCAUUGACAGUGCCCUUUUUUAGCUUUUGUCGAACCUCAAUUUUUCAUGUUUAAGGUACACACAUGGUUCAUUUUAGAUGCCUAGCAAUCCUGAGCCCUCUGAAACCUAAGAAAUAGCAUCCCAUUGACCAAUUAGCAAUCAAUUUACGAAUCGACACUUAACCCGAAAUAACGCACAUAACUUACCGAAGACACGAAUUGGCACGAGCGCGAUCUAGGCUGUCGAAGUAAAAAUUCAUUGCUCACAACCUUCUCCUACACCACAAAUUUGCAGAAAUCAAACCCCCUAUCUAUGCUACUACGCUACCACGAAAAGAAAAUAAACUGAUAGCUUACCCAAAUCACAUAAAAAUGUCAAGUCCAGAGUGCAACGUGAAGAACAAAAGAUGAAAAAACAAGUUUGAAGGAAAAGAAAACGAACGAAAAAAUCAGAGAUUGAAGAGGAGAAAAAGGAAGAAAUGUAAAAGAAUAAAUAAAUAAAUAAAAAGAGUAGAAACUGACGUCAGAAUUUUUAGAGAGAGAGAACCUAAAUUUUGAAAAAUAAAAAUAAAAUAAGAUAAAAACAAUAUCACAACUCCCCCCACUCAAACCAGCAAAUUCAUUCUGAUAUAAUUAAAUUUACAAACAAUAUUCCAUAAACUUGCCUAAUAGGGAUAAGGCUAAGACCAAAAAAAUAACAGAAUUUUCAAAUGUGAGACUUGAAUACUAGACCUCAAACACAUACCGAAAACACUUAGCCACUAAAGUAAAAACAUAUUUAUAUUAGGAUUUACAGAAACAUAUUUAUAUCAAGAUUUACAGAAAUAGAAAUAAAUUAUUCAUGGCGUUACAGAUGGGUAGUACUCCUUUUUCUACCAUUUCACUACCCAUUGCAUUCAAUUUCUCUGCCCUACUACUCCUCUGCACUGCACUGUCCAAUUGCAUUUAAAGAUAAUGUAUACAUAUAGAUUGUAAAUUUUCUUGGCUGGAAGCUCACUGGAAGCCAAAAUCAAAACAAACUUUUGAUGGUUUAAUUGUUUUUUAGCCCUUGAAUUUCAGGUGCUAUGAGAAAUGAAUUACAACCUCAUCUUGUCAUUAUCCCAAAAUCAAAACAAGCAACUCUUGGUUGAAAGUUGAAACCAAGGGCCAAGUCAAAAUUGUUUUAGGACGAGUCCAAAAUGAACAAUGAUUUUGAAGGUUCAAAAUACAAUUUUAUUAUUAUAUUAAUUUAUAAUUUCAUAAAUUUUAAAAGAUUAAAUGAUAAAUUUACUAAUUUAAGAAGACAAUAGGGAUGGUAAAAUCUAAUUGAACCUAUCUGCGUUCGGAUCGGCAUGGAUUUUUUUAAUUUAAAAAAUUAAAUAGAUUGAAUCGAAAAUCUAGGAGUUACCAAAUUCUCAUAAAUAACAAGAGUUUACAAAAAGAACACUUACUUGGUUGAUGUAUGGUAUAAUAAGCCUGCAAAGCACCGAUAGAAAGUGCAGCAAUGGCACCCACAAAUGCGAAAAACGUCCAACGAGUCCUAAAACAAGUAUGAUAAACUUUAGCUGGAUAUUUACUCCACAUAUUCUCACGAUGAUUAUGUAUUUGCAGUUUAACAUGUCAUGUAAAUCAUCGGACUAGGAACCAAAUCAAUGUUCAUCUUCUUGAUAAGCUUAGCCACUUCUUUAUCACUCCCAAAUCUAUGGUAUAGUAUGCCGGCGCCUCUCAGUUCCUUAACAUCUUCGGCUUCAUCGAUCAAUGAAUCAAGGAAACCCAUAUAUGAAGUGACGGUGAAACUGUUGAAGAAAUCCGGACACAUUUCGUAAGCUAUUAAGUUCACUGUUAAAUCAUCGACGGUGAUCGGCGGUAACCAUAAAUUUCCGAGGAAGAAGAAAGGGCUGAAACUGAUGUCUGUUAAACAACUUGUUUCGCUUGCUUUUAACCUUAUCCCGGCUUUUUUAAGCUCUUUUACGUUCCUUAAGGUGUGUGAAUGGUGCCCUUCUAUUCUUGUUUGGUUGCUGCGAUUUUUCAAGUUCAUGAAAAAUCGAGUGCAAAACCUACAAUGCCGCCUUGGUUUUUCUUUUUCUUUUUUCUUUAUUGAAAGGAGUCUUACUCGUAGUAGAUGCAAUAAGUGAAUUCGCUCUCCUUGCUGCGGCCACCAUUCACUACAGCAAAAUCUGUGUUAGUCGGAAGCCAGCUAAAAUUAAGGUUUUCAACAGUUGAAUCUAUAAGAUCAUUGAUUUAUAAGUUCAAUUUAUCCGAUUUGAAUAAAAAAUUUAAUCCUUUUAAAAAUUAUUAAAUUAUAAUUUUUUAUAUAUAAUAAAAUUAUACUUUGACUCCUUAAAAAAUGAAGAAAAAAAUUGUUUAACUCUUUCGGAAAAUGAUAAAAUCAUAAAUUAAUGUAUAAAGAAAAUUUAAGAAUCAAACUAAAUUUAUCGGUGGGCCUGGUUAAACAGAGAAUCGUGCAAGGUAUUAAUCUAGAAUAAUGAGUUAGACUCAUUGAAUCGAGUGGUCGAAUAGAUUUUUUUAUAUUUUUAAUAUAUCUUUAAUAUUUUUAAAAUUUUAUAUAAUUGAAUCCAAUUAACUAAUCAACCAAAAAUAGACUCUAAUCGAUUCUAUCACCUAUUUUACAUUUAUACACUCCACAAAAUGAUUCUUUUGUACAUUCCUUAAAUUACCUGUCCUGCUGAUGUGAUUGUGGCCCUUUAACAGUGACGUCGAUGAACCUUAUGAUUGCCUUCAUGAACUUUUUGCCAUUAUUGCUCAAGCUUGUAAGCAAUUCAAGAACACGAAAAGGUAUUUGGUUCUCCAACAAUAACAGAUCCGAGUACACCAAUGUCAGCAAAUCGUUUUUAAUAACCAAUUGGCCAUAAACAGCAUAAAAAUCAUCAUUAGUACCGUAAUGCAUAUAAAUUAAUUGUAAAAUUGCGCAGCCGUCAACGAAGAACAUCCAAGCCAGUUUCUCGUUAUCGUUGCCAUACUCCUCUAAUUCCGUUGGAUCAUAGCAUUUCCUCAAGCCAUCGAUCUCUUUCUUCAUGUUUCUGUACAAGGAAUCCUUAUCGACGCCAAUGUUUUUGACGAAAUGUGCUGCUAAUUUGAGCUUGAGCUCCUUGGAUUCAUGGAGGGUGGGAUCAUCGUGGUGGAGUGGGCCGAUUGAGAUCACUUUCGGCUUGAAAUACUUCAUGAAAUCUUCGGUACGGCAAAGGGUUGAUGGUACUUUUCGUAUCAAUGGAUUGGCUGUGAAGUUGGGUUGGCCGCCGUCCAAAGCUUUGUCUAAUGACUGGAGAUUCGCUAAUUCGUCAUUGCUGAGAGGGACGUCCGUGCACCGCAUAUCAAUGCUCACGGAAUCGUUGUUGGUGUUGUUGUUGAUGGUUGUUUGAUCAGUGGAAACUGCUCCGACGGCGCCGCCUCCUUCCUCCGUGGACGACAUUUUCAGGGUGAGCGGUUGGAAGUAAUAAACAAGGUGAUUUUGUAAACUGUGCUUGGCUGAGUGAGUGAUGUUGGAGAAAAGGUGGCAAAAUGGCUACGAUGAUGGCAAAUAUUUUAUAGCUUACAUAAUAAACAUAUAUGGGAAAUACUUGAGGUGUAAUUUAAAUUUACCCCUUAGUGUUUAUAUUUUUACUAAUAUAAUUUUUAACUUUUAAUUUUUUAAUUAAAUUUAAUUUUCUUUUGAAAGAGUCAAUCUUAAAAAAGAAAAGUUAAAUUAAUGUUUUUUUAACAAAAAUAGUGACAAAUAUAAUAAUUGUCCUUAAGAAGUAAGACCCUAUGAUUGGGAGAAUUUUACAUUUUCAACACUUCUUAAAUUUCAUACACUUAAAAAUACCUCCAUGCUUCUUUACGUAUAAUAAUUGCAUUUGUUAUUCUACCUAACUCAUGAAAAAUCUCAAAUUUGCAACAAAAUAUUAUUCACAUGCCAACCAACCACUUUUUUUUUAUUGAAGUUAUUAUACUUAUAAGCUUUAUGCUUCUUGUAACAGAUUCGAUCUACAGGGCACUAUAGUUAUUGUCGGAGCAACUACAGUCAGAAUUACAAUAAGAUAAUUUUUAUUUAAACAUCAAUCAUGAUGCAAUUAAAGUAAUACAUCAAUUAUGAGCUUUAAUCGAGCUUACGAAAACUUUUUUGGCUGUCCGAGCAAGAAUUAGGACCAAACUGCAAAGUAAUUGCAUUUGUUAUUCUACCUAACUCAUGAAAUAUCUCAAAUUUGCCAACCAACCAAUAUAUCAUUCCAACCAACCAAUUUAUUAUUCACAUUCCAACUUUCUAAAUGCAUCAAAUAUUUCAUAUUCAUGUACUAACAAAGAUCAUGCCAAGAACCCACAUGCAGAGUCAUUAUAUACCACAUUUAACUCAACAAGACUUUUACACAACCAAAGAUUACUCCAAACGUUUAUAUGCAUGUCGCAAUCCUUGACUCAAAUGAUAAAAAAAAACACCAAAUUGACAAUAAAAUAGUGUAAGCUUCGAACGAUCCAAUCGACAUGUUCCACAAUGUAACACCUAAAAGGAAAAAGAAAACAAUGGGGUAAGCAUAUAAGAUGCUUAGGAAACUCAUAUGUAAUCUAAAACUUACCUAGAUUAAUUGAACAUAAACAAUUACUCAAUAAGCUAUCAAAUUUAUUUUUCCAUGGCACGUAGAUAUCGUAUAUGUAACAACAUUUCAAGUCAAAAAUGUUAAAUACAAUGUUGAAUCAUUAUGUCUUCUUUUCUUAAGUUUCACUUAUAGAAAUACAAUAUAGGUUCAAGUACAAAUAUAUGUCUCGAUUAAUCUAGAAAGAACUAGACAAAAUUCACAUAUGAUAUAGGCAUAUAAUGAGUGUGAGACUCACACAUCACAAUUGAGAAUAAUGUUAUAGAAAACCUUUGCGUUAAGCAAGAAGCUAAGACCCUAUCGGAGGGAGAAUUUUAUAUCUACAACACUUAUUAAAUUUCAUUAGCUUAAUAAUAGCUAUUCAAAUAUUUAACAUUGUAACCAUGCUUGUUUACAUAUCGUAAGCGCAUUUGUUAUUCUACCCAACUUAUGAAAAAUCUCAAAUUUGCAAUUUAUUAUUCACAUGCCAAACAACCAAUUUAUUAUUCACGUGCCAACCAAUUUGUUUUAUCGAAGUUAUUAUACUUAUAAGCUUUCACAUAUAACCAUGCUUCUUUACAUAUAUUAAUUGCAUUUAUUGUUGUACCUCAUGAAAAUUUUCAAAUUUGCAACAACAUAUUAUUCGCAUGCCAACCAACCACUUUUUUUUUAUUGAAGUUAUUAUACUUAUAAGCAUUCACAUUUAACCAUGCUUCUUGUAACACUUUUCAUUGGAUCCAAUCGUUGGGUCCGAUCUACAAGACGCUAUAGUCAUUGUCAAAGCAACUACAGUCGAAAUUACGAUAAGAUAAUUUUCAUUUAAACAUUAAGCAAGAUUCAACUACAGUAAUACAUUAAUUAUGAGUUUUAAUCGAGCUUACAAAAGCUUUUUUGGUAGUUCGAACAAGAAUUAGGACCAAACUAUAAAGAUUUGAAAAGUUUGGAGCGACGUCACAACUUCAGCUUUUCCUCAUCGCAACAUGACCAUCUCAGUAUGUCACAUCAUAUCGAAAAGCCUAUGCUCGUCGCGGCGAGACUCUUUGACUUGGCAAUGUCGCAAUGUCAAAAUUUGUAGCCGUUAUGUAAACCCUAUAUUUGACAAAAAUAUACAAUUUGGUACCUAAAUCAAAGCUCCAACUAAAAUCAUGCAAGAAAAAUACAUUACAUGCCAUUUCUAAAUGACUUAAAACUUACCUAAAACAUGCUAAGUAAGUUCAAACGUAUCAUUUCAAUUCCAUAGAAAUUCAUAAAACUUACCUAAAACAUGCUAAGUAAGUUCAAACAUAUCAUUUCAAUUCCAUAGCAAUUCAUAUUACCAUUUCAUCCAUUGUAUUCAACUUUUCAAUAACUUUAACUAAAUAUCAACAAGUUAUACAAACAUCUACCAUUACCUUUAUCAUGCCAUAAUGAAUCAUUUCAUUUCAAACAAUCAUCACAUUAGUUCUUUAAUUUUUCUUUUUUAGUCAACAUAUGCAAACCAACUUAAAUAGAUCACAUUCCAGCAUAGUCAACAAGACUUUUACACAACCAAAGAUUACUCCAAAAAUGUUUAUAUGCAUGUCACAAUCCUUCACUGAAAAUGAUAAAAAAAUCUACUAAAUUGACAAUAAAAUAGUUUAAGCUUUGAACGAUCCAACCGACGUGUUCUACAAGGUAACAACCUAAAAGAAACAAAAGAAACAACAGGAUAUACAUAUAAUAUGUUUAGUAAACUCAUAUGGAAACUAAAACUUACCUAGAUCAAUUGAACAUAAAAAAAUUACUCAAUAAGCUAUCGAAUUAAUUUUUCCUUGGCACUUAUAUACAUAUAGUACAUGUAACAACAUUUCAAGUCAAAAGUGUUAGAUACAAUGUUGAAUCAUAAUCCCGUCAACAUUUAAAACAUAAUCACAUAGCAAUCUAUAUAUCAAAUUUCAUCAAUACCAAUUCAUUUUCAAUUCAAGAUUUAAUUCCAUUUUCAACCAUUUAAUCAUCCUCUGAUGGAACUAUAGUAAAAAAGGUGCAUGGGAAUAUUUUGCUGAACUGACUCACACAAGUUGACUUUAUAUUAGAAUUGUUCACACACGUUAACUUUGUAAUUUAUAUUAUGUAAAAUUUAAGAUUUUUAUAUUAUGUAAAUCAAAGCUUAAUUAGUAUAGAAUUUUCAAAAUAAUAUGGCUGUAUAAAGAUAAAAUUCUUGAUAUAAGUCUCAACAAGGGAAAAAUUAAGGAUAGAAAAAUUGUGGUGGAAAGGGGAUCAAUUUCUCCUAAACAGGUGGAGAGCCGGAGAAUGAUAAGUGAAGGAAGAUGGUUGAUGUGAAGGCUAAGAGUAAUUGUUAAAGGUUACUAACAGGGGAAGAUCCCUUUCUCAUGAAGAUGAUUUUUAAACACCAUGUUAAUUGUUUAUGGGCCAUCAUGUUUGACGAUAAUUUUUAAAUACCUUGUUAAUUGUAUAUAGUACAUCAUGUUUGGCAAUGAUUUUUAAAGACUUUUAAACGUCACAUUAAUUGUUUAAUUGUUUAUGGCCCAUUGCCCAUGUUACUUUUAUUAAAUUUUGGGUAAACUACAAUUUAAUCACUUAAUUUUUAUAAAAUUUCAUUUUGGUCAUAAAAAAAUUGUAUGGAAUGAGAGUCUCAGGAUAAAACAAAAAUUAGGAUAAAUGUAAUGCUGAAAUGAAUAUAGUGGGAAUCUUUAAUGUUUAUGGCCAAACCCCACCUCUCCUAUCCUAUACUUCAUCUAUAAUAAUGGUUCUUGGCUUCUUCUAUCCUAUACCUCAAUUAUUUGGAUUAGAUUGAAAAACAAUUGACACUUGAUUUGAUUGUGAAAGAAGUUUUAGUUUAAUGAUAUGAAUGAGUUAAAUUUUAAAUUUAUAAUAUUUAACUUGAGUGUGAAUGAAUUUUUGACUUAAUUGAAAAUUUAAAAUUUUAGCUUCGAGUCUUAUUUAAUUAUGUGAGUAUAUCAUAUAUAAAUUUUGUUUAAAUUUAUUUUGAUUUAAUUCUCAUACUAUAUAAACUUUAUUCUUAAUUAAAUUUAGAUAUAUUCUAAUUAUCAAUUUAAUCAUAUAUUGUAACGAUGAAUUAGGAUUAUAGUUAAUUAUAUAUUGAAACAAAAUAAUGAGUUUAAGGAAUUAAAAGAUAUUAUUAUAUUUUAUAAAAAUUGAAUAGAUUAAUAAUUAAUUCGAGAUUAAAAAAUUGUCUAUCUUUAUUUCGCCCCUCAGUUUAAUUUAUUAUUUUCCCUAAUUUUAAAUCCAAAUAAUAAGGAGAAGAAAAAGAUAAAAGCAAACCUUUUUUACGGUCUGAACUAAACCCCAUGGGGUGUGGAAAAUUGCAAGUUUCCAGAAUAACGAAGUUCAGUUUUCGUCGGUGUUUCUAUGUGACUGUGUUUCUAUGGUAAGGAAUGGUGUAAAAAAGUUUACGGUUUAAGGUUUUGUUAUAUACGGAAGGAAAGCGCCUUUCAAGAUUAUUAGUAGCACUUAUUCUCGUGUUGUGUUUUGUAUUGAGUUGUACCUUUUUUUAGUGUAUGUAUUGUGGACCUGUGGUACAAGUUUAGUUCUUUUGAGUGUCUUGUGAUGUUAAGUAUGUUUUGUUGGGGCUCUUGGCUCCUAUGAUAAUAAAAUAUAUUUCAAGCAUAGUACUUUUUUUAUAUUUAAAAUUUAAUAUUAUACUUUUAUUUUAAGGUAAUCUCUCUACUACAACAAUGUUUAAUAUUAAUAUGAACUCAUGUUGCGAUUUACUAUUACCAACUAAUUGGAAUGCAACAUCUAUUUAAACUUCAACAUGAAACUAAAUUCUUCUAUAUAAACUAGAAAAAUAUCAUUAGUUCUUAAGUAAUUUCACCUCAAUCCAAUGACCAUUGUAUAGUCUCAAUUUUAUUCGGCCCAAACAAAUAAAAAGUCCAUUAACAGUCGCGGCAAGACUCUCUGACUUGGCAAUGUCGCAAUGUCAAGAUUCGUAGCCGUGAUGUGAACCCUAUAUUUGACAAAAAUAUACAAUUUGGUACCUAAUUCAAAGCUCCAACUAAAAUCAUGUAAAUGACUUAAACUUACCUAAAACAUGCAAAGUAAGUUCAAACAUAUCAUUUCAAUUCCAAAGCAAUUCAUAUUACCAUUUCAUCAAUGAAUCAUUCCAUUUCAAACAAUCAUCACAUUAGUUCUUUCAUUUUUUCCAUUUUAGUCAACAUAUGCAAACCAACUUAAAUAGAUCACAUUCCAACUUUCCAAAUACCAAGCUAAGACCCUAUCAGAGGGAGAAUGUUACAGCUACAACACUUCUUAAAUUUCAUUAGCUUAAUAAUAGCUAUUCAAAUAGUUAACAUUGUAACCAUGCUUCUUUACAUGUAGUAAUUGCAUUUGUUAUUCUACCUAGCUUAUGAAAAAUCUCAAAUUUGCAAUUUAUUAUUCACAAGCCAAACAACCAAUUUAUUAUUCCAACCAACCAAUUUAUUAUUCACAUGCCAACCAAUUUGUUUUAUUGAAGUUAUUAUACUUAUAAGCUUUCACAUAUAACCAUGCUUCUUUACAUAUAUUAAUUGCAUUUAUUGUUGUACCUCAUGAAAGAUUUUCAAAUUUGCAACAUAUUAUUUGCAUACCAACCAACCACUUUUUUUUUAUUGAAGUUAUUAUACUUAUAAGCUUUCACAUGUAACCAUGCUUCUUGUAACACAUUUCAUUGGAUCCGAUUGUUGGGUCCGAACUAUAGGAUGCUACAGUCAUUGUCAAAGCAACUACAGUCAGAAUUAUGAUAAGAUAAUUUUCAUUUAAACAUCAAUCACGAUUCAAUUACAGCAAUACAUUAAUUAUGAGCUUUAAUCGAGCUUACGAAAGCUUUUUUGGCAGUCUGAACAAGAAUUAGGACCAAACUGUAAAUUGGCUAAAUUUACUUAUAUCCACCAAAUUAUUAAAAUUUUAAAAUAUAUUCAAAAAAUUAGGACAAACAUUGGAUGAAACCACAAGGGAAAUUACAAACAGGAUCAAAUUGAAAGAAAAGCAAAAUGACAUGGAAGGAGUAAAAGAAGAGAUGGCUAAAUUGCCUGAAAAUUUAGCACCUAUAUUAAGCAACAUUGAUGAUAAAACACAUAGGAUGGAACCUAACUCAUGAAAAAUCUCAAAUUUGCAACCCCAUAUUAUUCACAUGCCAACCAACCAAAUUUUUUUGUCCUUUUUAGGGUCUACAAGACAGGUAGCAACCAUUAUUGAAGAAUUAGUCACGUUUUAAAUAUUUUCUUCUAAGUAAGCACAACGACAUUAAGAAAUUUACUUUUUAGAGUCUGUAUAAGGAAAGGGCCUUAGGAUUUGCUACUGCCACACUCGCUUCAGCAACAAUCGCUUCUAAUUUUCAGUCUGAGCGGUUCGAAGUAAUUAACUAGGUGAUUUUGUAGACUGUUUUUGGCUGAGUGAGUGAUGUUGGAAAAAAGGUGGCAAAAUGGCUACGAUAACGACAAAUGUUUCUAUAGCUUAUAUAAUAAACAUAAGGAAAAUAUUUUUGGUGUAAUAUCAAAUUUCGCUUCUAAUUUUUAUUAUUUUCAAUUUGAUUUUUAUUUUUUAGUAAAAUUUAGCUUUUUACUUUUGAAAGAGUUAAAUUGAUUAUCAAUCCUUAAACUGAAUUAAUAUUUUUCAAAAAUAAUGACUAAAAUAUUAAAUUUUAAACAUGAUAACUCAUAUGACAAUUCACGUGUACAUUUUUUAUUAUUAUUUUAAAAUUAUUUAUUGACAUAGCAUAUAAGAAAAUGAUUAUUAUGUUAGCAUGAAGUGCAUAUGGAUUGUCACACGAGUUGUAACACCAACAACGUAAAAAAUUAAUAUUUUAAUCAAUAUUUCUGUUAAAGAAAAGCAAUUUGACUUUUUUUUUGAAAGGUUCAUAGCUAAAUUUAGCUUAAAUAAUAAUAAUAAUGAUAAAAAAUAAAAGUCAAUUUGACAGAAAAUGUAAAUGUGGAGGACUAAAUUUAUUAUUAUGUCAUUUUUCUAAGUUUCACUUAUAAAAAUACAAUAUAGGUCCAAGUACAAAUAUGUGUCUGGAUUAAUCUAGAAAGAACUAGACAAAAUCUAUACAUGAUAUACGCAUAGAUGAGAGUGAGACCCAUUUUUAUAUCUACAACACUUCUUGAAUUUCAUACUCUUAAUACUAGCUUUUUUGUUGUUUGUUUCGCUUCAUUUGAUCUGUUUUGUUGUAAAAAAACAUAAAGAAAAACAUUCAAAAGUUUAACGUUAUAACAUUCCAAAAGAAAACACAUUCAAUAACUAACAUAUCUUGUAUUCUUGUAUUCUUUGAUCAAAUAGUGCAAGUGUAUUUAUACAGACUUUUGGAGGGUAACUACUGAACUGCUACUAACAACUUUUUAGCAGAAAGUUUAACAACUUAACCACCUAACAGAUUGCAUUUACCUAUGCUCUAAGAUUCUGUAAUGCGAAAUCAUACUUCAAAUUGUAAUUAUUACUUCAUAACAAUACAAGAUUUUCGUUACAAUGCUAGGAUUACUUAUAAACCUCAACCAUUAAAUGAGAGGAUAAAGACACUUUAAUAAGUUCGAAUCUUCGUCCUUUUGUAUUGACAAUAAUACUGAUAUCAAUCGAACUAAAACUCAGUAUAACAAUGGUUAAAUGAAUUUUAAGUACACAUAUUACUCUUACUAUGUAAGUAUUUAGGAUAAAUCACCCUCCAUGGUCAAACAAAUGGACCCAGGCUAUAAUUUGUAUAUAAAAAAAAUUAAAAAGCAUUAGUAAAACAAAUGGACCCAGGCUAUAAUCACCCUCCACUCAUUAACAAUUGUCAUCACAGGCUUAAUGUGGCAUGUUAACUAAUUGAUGUGACUAGUUAACUUGCCACGUUGGACAAGUAGUCAAAGGGUCAAAAAGAAAAAAAGAUGAUUGGUUAAGGGUAAAAAGAAAAAUAAGAGAAAUGAAGAAGAAGAAGAAGAAGAAGAAAAGAAGAACAGGGAAGGAAGAAGGGAAAAUGGAAGUAAAAGGGUCAAAAAGAAAAGAAAAGAUGAUUGGUUAAGGGUAAAAAGAAAAAUAAGAGAAAUCGAGAAGAAGAAAAAAUGAAGAACAGGGGAGGAAGAAGGGAAAAUGGAAGGAGCUUCCAAGCUUCAUACCAACGAUUCCCAAGGGUCAAAAUCUGGGAACUUGGAUUUUGAUCCUUGGGAAUCACUGUUACGAAGUCCUUCCAUUUUCUCCUUUUCUUCUUUUUCUCCAUUUAUUCUCUUAUUCUUCUUUUUUUUUUGUUCUUCUACUGCCCAAACUUCUUAAAUGGGUUUGUUUAAAUGACAGCUAGCCUACCCUUAAAUGCCAUUCACUUUUUCGUUACGUUUUGUUAAAAAGAUUGUUUAAAUGACAGAAAAUGGUUAAAAAGAUUGUUUUGUUAGCUACCCCAAAAUUGAGUGAUUGUUGCUGUAAUUUACCCCAUUUCUUAUUUGAAAUUGUAAAUUUUUAACAAGCUAAAUUUAAGGUUUUCAAAAUUCAACUCAUUAAGUUAUCGAUUUAUAAGUCUAAUUGGUUUGACGAAUUCAUCCGAUUAAUUAAAUUAAUUAUUAAAAAUUUUUGAUUUGAUUGCCCAAUUCAAUUAGUUUUUUUUUGGUUCAACCUGUUCAUAUAGAUUCCCAAGUCGAUUGGUCCAAUGAUUUCCUUCGGACUAAUACCUUAAUUAAUUUCCAAUCCAAAUCGAUUCAAAUAAUAUUAACUAAAAUACAAUUUUUAUUAUUUUAUUAAUGCAAAAAUUUUACCAUUUUAAAGAUAUUAAAAUAUAAAAUUUCUAUUUUAAAAAGUUGGAUUUGAAAUCAUAAUUUUUUUCCUAAAGAAAUGUACACUCAACAGGACCAAAGGAAUUCACAGGGAAAUUUUGUUUUAUGGACAGUCUUCAUCACAAAUGAUCCUAUCAAAUUAAAAGAGGAUAUAUCACCUUUUUUUCAUAUCAUAUAUACAUUGGGACUAAACUUCUAAAUAAAAAAUGAUGUGUCUUUUUUUAAUUGAGUGGGACCAUAGAUGAUGUGGUGAAAAUGGUCCAUUAAAUAAUUUAUCACAAGCAAGAGUAAUUCCAAAAAUAGAAAACUACAUUUUAAUUCUUUAAAAAUUAUUAAAUUAUAAAUUUAUAUAUUAUAAAAUUACACUUUGAUCCUCAAAAUGGAAAAAAUAUUUUGUUCAGUCUUUGACCACACCUAAUAAAAAGGAUUGGUGGUGACUCCAUUUUCGUUUUUUAAAUAAAAAGUCAAUUCCCAAAAAAAAGAUUUCGACAACCAUCACUUGGAUAACUUUGGUUAUCAGCUCAUGACACUUAGAGCUAUACAAUAUAUUUGGUGUUUGGCACAAUAUGGCAUACAUAGUAGUUUUCACUACUAAAAGAUAUGGUGCCUUACUCAUUCUUCUCUUAUCUUCCAAAGUUUUAGGAUUCAUAUCAUUCGAGUGAUGUACACUGUCAAUACUAUUUUUUUUGUAAAAGAGGUCGACUUUUUGUUUAAAAAUGAAAAUGGAGUCACCACCAAUCCUUUUUAUUUAGGUGUGAUAGGAUCACCUCGUAAUUUAAUCAUUUUAAUAAAAGUUUAAAUUUACUAAAAAAAUAAGUAAGUUAGUUUCUAUACAUCAGAUCAAAGAGCAAAUUGAUCAUUUUAUUACAUUUUUAAUCUUUUUCUAUCAUUAAAAAUUGAUUCAUAUACAUAAGUUUGAGGUACAGUGUCACGUCACAUGUUAUGAUUUGGUUAUUCCGUUAGUCACACCAGUUUUUAACAUUACAAAUAGAUGAAAAUUUUAACAGAAAUGACCAAGUUACUUUUUGAUCUAACAUAUAGGGACUAAUUUACUCAUUUUUCAAUAUAGAGAGCAAAAUGUAAUUCAACUCAAUGUACAAGGACUGUUAUUUUUUUUUCCAAUUUCACAUUAUUUUAUCAUAUUAUAUAUAUUGUUAGGAUCGUCCCGAUUAAGCAACGAACAAGUAAAAAUAGUAGAAGAAAUUGAGAAGAUGAACACACAAAUUUAACGUGGAAAAACCCCUCAAAAGAGGAUAAAAAACCACGGGCAAAGAUAAUUUUACUAUAAUGGCAAAAGAAUGAAGAGUACAAAAGAUGGAGAUAAAAACUAAACCCCGAAAACUCGAAAAACAAAGAACCCUCAAACGUAAACACAAAAUUCUCUGAAUGUGUUAUGAGUUCUAAUCUAAUGGGUGUCUCUUUUUAAUUCUAAGAUUGUAAAGGAGCCUAUUUAUAGGCUAAAUUAGUAAGUCAAAUAAACUAUACUAAUAAAUGCUAAAUAUAUUAUACUAAUAAAUACUAAAUCUUCUAGAAAGAAAAUAUAUUUUUGUUUAACUUGACUUGCAAGCAAUCUCUUAGAAUUUGGGUCACACAAUUCUAACAAUCUCCACCUUGACACGAAUUCUUUCAAUGCCAUCUUUGCCAAAACCCGCCACGAGCCUAUCUUGAACUAUGCAGGGAAUUAACUGAGUCGAAUCUAUGCUUAGAAGCUAGAAGACUUCUAGCCUUCGACUUGUGCACUGCCAAAUCAAAACUAACCCGGGUCUGAUUUUCACGAAUACAGUGCCCUAACUUUUCAAAACCUGCAUCCAAAAGAGAACCUCUCUUCAACGAAACGGUCAUACCUUUUUCCCUCCUAUGACCAAGUUGCCUCCGCUUCAAAUGAGUUGACUUUGACUCCGUAACGGACGAGGGACGUCCGAUUUCACCGGUCACUGUAGAACCUUCCAGAAUAUAAAGACUGCCGGUUCUUUUACCUUUUAACAAAACGAGAGCUCCACGAGAUACUUUAAUGUCGCUCGACUCGAUGUUGAUUCUGCAUCCUUUCAAGUCUAAAAUACUCAAGGAGAUGAGAUUCUUUCGUAAAUCGGGUACAUACCUGACAUCUGAGAGUGUCCUAAUCGUCCCAUCGUGUAUCCUAAUUUUAACAGUACCAAUACCGAUUAUUUUACUAGAUGAAUCGUUUCCCAUGUGCACAACUCCACCUUCAACUGAACUGUAUGUGGAGAACCAUUCUCUAUUGGGACACAUGUGGAAAGAACAUCCUGAAUCUAGGAUCCACUCAGACGUAAGCUUGGAGUUAUCGCUCGUUGACACUAACAAGAAAUCAUCACCGCCUUCAUCGACCAAAUUAGCACCAGCUACAUCUUCCUCGUUACUCUCAGCAGCUCUUUUAUUUCGCAGUUUAAAACAAUCUGCUUUGACGUGACCUAACUUUUUGCAAUAGCGACACCUUUUGUCUCGUUUCUUUGAUGCUACCAAAACGGAAGCUUGUCUAUCUGCUUUGCUAUUCAAAUCAAACUCAUUGUCGAGUUUGUCUCUACUCAACAAAUAACCUUUCACAUCUUCAAACGAGAGUUUGUCUCUGCCAUAAAUCAGGGUCUCCCUGAAAGACUUGUAUGAAGAGGGUAAAGAGCACAAUAAUAGCAUAGCUUGAUCUUCAUCGUCAAUAUGAACCUCAACGUUCUUUAAAUCAUUUAAAAGAGUAAUGAAUUGAUUGAUGUGAUCUUUAAGAAGCUCACCUUCGUUCAUGCGAAACGUAAAUAGACGUUGUUUCAACACUAAACGGUUAGCCAGAGACUUAGUCGCAUAAAGAGUUUCUAACCUUUUCCACAAGGCGAAUGAGGUCUUCUCCAUCAAUACCUCCUGCAAUACUGUAUUCGCGAGACACAACUGGAUUGCAGACAAGGCCUUUUCAUCAAGCUCUUCCCAUUUUGUUUGAUUUAGAUUCUCAGGCUUUUUCCCUGUAACAACCUUUUUCAAGCCAUUUUGAACUAGAAUUGCCAUCAUCCGAACUUGCCACAGAUUGAAAUUUGUCUCACCAUCGAACUUCUCAAUUUCAAACCUUGUUGCUGCCAUCUCUGACCGGGCUGAUCUAUGAAAGUUAAACUAUCUCUGAUACCACUUGUUAAGAUCGUCCCGAUUAAGCAACGAACAAGUAAAAAUAGUAGAAGAAAUUGAGAAGAUGAACACACAAAUUUAACGUGGAAAAACCCCUCAAAAGAGGAUAAAAAACCACGGGCAAAGAUAAUUUUACUAUAAUGGCAAAAGAAUGAAGAGUACAAAAGAUGGAGAUAAAAACUAAACCCCGAAAACCCGAAAAACAAAGAACCCUCAAACGUAAACACAAAAUUCUCUGAAUGUGUUAUGAGUUCUAAUCUAAUGGGUGUCUCUUUUUAAUUCUAAGAUUGUAAAGGAGCCUAUUUAUAGGCUAAAUUAGUAAGUCAAAUAAACUAUACUAAUAAAUGCUAAAUAUAUUAUACUAAUAAAUACUAAAUCUUCUAGAAAGAAAAUAUAUUUUUGUUUAACUUGACUUGCAAGCAAUCUCUUAGAAUUUGGGUUACACAAUUCUAACAUAUAUAUAUUAGCAUACGCCUAUCAUGCAAAUGGUAUAAUGUCCAGAUUAUCUGGUCUUUGAUUUCAUUUGUCAAUUAAUGAUUGUGGAUUGACAAUAUUGACCAUUUUAUGCACGGGGACUACUCAUCUACUCCUCUUCUGCCAUUCUCACUACCCAUUUGCAUUCAUUUUCUCUGCCCUACUGCUCCUCUGCAGUGCACUCUCCAAUUGCAUUUAAAGACAAUAUAUACGUAUAGAUUGUAAAUUUUCUUGGCUGGAAGCUCACUGUAAGCCAAAAUCAAAACAAACUUUUGAUGGUUUAAUUGUUUUUUAGCCCUUCAAUUUCAGGUGCUAUGAGAAAUGGAUUACAACCUCAUCUUGUCAUUAUCCCAAAAUCAAAACAAGCAACUCUUGGUUGAAAGUUGAAACCAAGAGCCAAGUCAAAAUUGUUUUAGGAUGAGUCCAAAAUGAAUAAUGAAUUUGAAGGUUCAAAAUAAAAUUUUAUUAUUAUAUUAAUUUAUAAUUUCAUAAAUUUUAAAAGGAUUAAAUAAUAAAUUUACUAAUUUAAGAAGACAAUAGGGAUGAUCAAAUCUAAUUGAACCUAUCAGCGAUCGGAUCGGGAUGGAUUUUUUAAAUUUAAAAAAUUAAAUAGAUUGAAUCGAAAAUCUAGGAGUUACAAAAUUCUCAUAAAUAACAAGAGUUUACAAAAAGAACACUUACUUUGGUUGAUGUAUGGUAUAAUAAGUCUGCAAAGCACCGAUAAAAAGUGCAGCAAUGGCACCCACAAAUGCGAAAAACGUCCAACGAGUCCUAAAAAAAGUACGGUAAACUUGAGCUGGAUAUCUAAUCCACAGAUUGUUUUGAUGAUCAUGUAUUUUCCGUUUAACCCCACUGUAAAUCAUCGGACUAGGAACCAAACCAGUGUUCAUCUUGUUGAAAAGCUUAGCCACUUCUUUAUCACUCCCCAAUCUAUUGUAUAAUAUGCCGACGUCUCUCAGUUCCUUAACAUCUUCGGCUUCAUCGAUCAAUGAACCAAGGAAACACAUAUAUGAAGUGACGGCGAAAUCGUUCUGGAAAUCCGGACACAUUUCGUAAGCUAUUAAGUUCAUGGUUGAAUCAUCGACGGAGAUCGGCGGUAAACAUAAUUUUCCGACGAAUAAGAUACGGUUGAAACUGAUGUCGGUUAAAUAACUUGUUUCGCUUGCUUCUAACCAUAUCCCGGUGUUUUUAAGCUCUUUUACGUUAUGAAUGGUGUGUGAAUGGCACCGUUUUGUUCUUUCUUCUUUUCUAUCUUCGUGUUCAAUGCAAAACGGAAAACACCACCGCCGUAGUUUUUCUAUUUUGAAAAGGAGUCUUUUAUGAAUUCCCCACCCCCGUGGUUUUUCUUUUUUGAAAAGGAGUCUUACUCGUAGUAGAUGCAAUAAGUGAAUUGGCGUUCCUUCUUGCUGCGGCCACCAGUCACUAGAGCCAAAUCUGUGUUAGUCAGGAGCCAGCUAAAAUCAAGGUUUUCAAUGGUUGAAUCAAAUCAUUAUUAUUUUAAUAAAAAAUUAUUUAAAUUAUUAAAUUACAUUUUAAACCUUUUAAAAAUUAUUAAAUUAUAAAUUUAUAUACAAUAAAAUUAUACUUUGACUCCUCAAAAUGAAUAAAAAAUUGUUCAAACACUUUUGAAAAAUGAUGAAAUUAUAAAUUAAUACAUAAAAAAAAUCUAAGAAUCAAACCAAACUUGUGGAUCGGCCUAAUUAGAUAGAGAAUCGAGCAAGGUACUGAUCCAGAAUAAUAAGUUAAAUCCAUUGAAUCCAAUCAUCGAAUCGAUUUUUUAUAUAUUUUUAAUAUUUUUAAAAAUUUAUAUAUAUAAUUAAACUGAAUGAACUUAUCAACUAGAAAUGAGAGUCUAAUAGAUUCCAUCACCCAUCUAGUUAUAAAAACCUUUUAACUUUUAUAAACUCCACAAAAAUGGUUAAAAAGACUGUUUUGCCAGCUACCCCAAAGUUGAGUGAUUGUUGCUGUAAUUUACCCCAUUUCUUAUUUGAAAUUGUAAAUUUUUAACAAGCUAAAUUUAAGGUUUUCAAAAUUCAACUCGUUAAGUUAUCGAUUUAUAAGUCUAAUUGGUUUGACGAAUUCAUCCGAUUAAUUAAAUCAAUUAUUAAAAAUUUUCGAUUUGAUUGCCCAAUUCAAUUAGUUUUUUUUUUGGUUCAACCUGUUCAUAUAGAUUCCCAAGUCGAUUGGUCCAAUGAUUUCCUUCGGACUAAUACCUUAAUUAAUUUCCAAUCCAAAUCGAUUCAAAUAAUAUUGGCUAAAAUACAAUUUUUAUUAUUUUAUUAAUGCAAAAAUUUUACCAUUUUAAAGAUAUUAAAAUAUAAAAUUUCUAUUUUAAAAAGUUGGAUUUGAAAUCAUAAUUUUUUUUCUAAAGAAAUGUACACUCAACAGGACCAAAGGAAUUGGCAGGGAAAUUUUGUUUUAUGGACCGUUUUCAUCACAAAUGAUCUUAUCAAAUUAAAAGAGGAUAGAUCAUCUUUUUUUUCAUAUCAUAUAUACAUUGGGACUAAACUUCCAAAUAAAAAAUAAUGUGUCUUUUUUUAAUUGAGUGGGACCAUAGAUGAUGUGGUGAAAAUGGUCCAUUAAAUAAUUUAUCACAAGCAAGAGUAAUUCCAAAAAUAGAAAAUUACAUUUUAAUUCUUUAAAAAUUAUUAAAUUAUAAAUUUAUAUAUUAUAAAAUUACACUUUGAUCCUCAAAAUGGAAAAAAUAUUUUGUUCAGUCUUUUUUUUUUAAAAAAAUAUGAACUUAUAAAUCAAUACAUGAAAAAAUUUAAGCGUCAGGCUAGUUGGAAAGAAAAGAUGAUUGGUUAAGGGUAAAAAGGAAAAUAAGAGAAAUGGAAAAGAAGAAGAAAAGAAGAACAGGGGAGGAAGAAGGGAAAAUGGAAGGAGCUUCCAAGCUUCAUACCAACGAUUCCCAAGGGUCAAAAUCUGGGAAUUUGGAUUUUGAUCCUUGGGAAUUACUGUUACGAAGUCCUUCCAUUUUCUCCUCUUCUUCUUUUCUUCUUUUUCUCCAUUUCUUCUCUUAUUCUUCUUCUUUUUUUUUGUUCUUCUACUGCCCAAACUUCUUAAAUGGGUUUGUUUAAAUGACAGCUAGCCUACCCUUAAAUGUCAUGUCACUUUUUCGUUACGUCUGUAACGAAAAAUGGUUAAAAAGACUGUUUUGUCAGCUACCCCAAAGUUGAGUGAUUAUUGCUAUAAUUUACCCUAUUUCUUAUUUGAAAUUGUAAAUUUUUAACCAGCUAAAUUUAAGGUUUUCAAAACCCAACUCGUUAAGUUAUCGAUUUAUAAUUCUAAUUGGUCUAAUGAAUUCAUCCGAUUAAUUAAAUUAAUUAUUAAAAAUUUUCCAUUUGAUUGCCCAAUUCAAUUAAUUUUUUUUGGUUCAACCUGUUCAUAUAGAUUCCCAAAUCAAUUGGUCCAAUGACUUCCUUCAGACUAAUACCUUAAUUAAUUUCCAAUCCAAAUCGAUUCAAAUAAUAUUGGCUAAAAUACAAUUUUUAUUAUUUUAUUAAUGCAAAAAUUUUACCAUUUUAAAGAUAUUAAAAUAUAAAAUUUCUAUUUUAAAAAGUUGGAUUUGAAAUCAUAAUUUUUUUUCUAAAGAAAUGUACACUCAACAGGACCAAAGGAAUUGGCAGGGAAAUUUUGUUUUAUGGACCGUUUUCAUCACAAAUGAUCUUAUCAAAUUAAAAGAGGAUAGAUCAUCUUUUUUUUCAUAUCAUAUAUACAUUGGGACUAAACUUCCAAAUAAAAAAUAAUGUGUCUUUUUUUAAUUGAGUGGGACCAUAGAUGAUGUGGUGAAAAUGGUCCAUUAAAUAAUUUAUCACAAGCAAGAGUAAUUCCAAAAAUAGAAAAUUACAUUUUAAUUCUUUAAAAAUUAUUAAAUUAUAAAUUUAUAUAUAAUAAAAUUACACUUUGACCCUCAAAAUGGAAAAAAUAUUUUGUUCAAUCUUUUUAAAAAAAUAUGAACUUAUAAAUCAAUACAUGAAAAAAUUUAAGGAUUCGACAAAACUUAUCGGUCAGGCUAGUUGUUGAGAAAAUUGAACAAGAUAUUGAUCCAGAAUAAGAGAUUAGAUUAGAUGAAUUGAGUCAUCGAAUGGAUUUUCUUUAUAUGUUUAAUAUAUCUUUAAUAUUUUCAAAAACUUAUAUAACUGAAUCGAAUAAACUAAUCAAUCAAAAUUAAGAGUAAUCAAUGUAAAAACCUUUUAACAUUUAUAACCUCGACAAAAUGAUUUUUUUAUUUAUUUUUAAAUUCCUUAAAUUACCUGUCCUCGGCUGGGGUGAUAACAGUGUCGUCGAUGAACCUUUUGACUGCAUUCAUGAACUUUUCGCCAUCACUCGAGCUUGUAAGCAAUUCAAGAACACGAAAAGGUAUUUGGUUCUCCAACAAUAACAGAUCCGAGUACACAAAUGUCAGCAAAUCGUUUUUAAUAAACAACCGGUCAUAUUCAGAAGAAAUAUCAUCACCGUAACGCAUAUAAACUGCUUGUAAAAUUGCGCAGCCGUCAACGAAGAACAUCCAAGCCAGUUCCUCGUCAUCGUCGCUAUAGUUCGCUAAUUCCUGUGGAUCAUAGCAUUUCUUUAAGUCAUCGAUCUCUGCCUUCAUGUUGCUGUACUCCUCAUUGUCGUCAAUGUUUCUGACGAAAUGUGCUGCUAAUUUGAGCUUGAGAUCAUUGGAUUCUUGGAGGGUGCCAUCAUCGUGGUGGAGUGGGCCGAUUGAGAUCACUUUCGGCUUGAAAUACUUCUUGAAAUCUUCGUUACGGCUAAGGGUUGAUGGGACUUUUCGGAUCAAUGGAUUGCAUGUGCCGUUGGAAGCUUUGACUAAUGACGCGAGAUUCGCUAAUUCGCCCUUCCAGCGUAGCAAGUCAAUACGAAUGCUCACGAAAUCGUUGUUGUUGGUGAUUGUUUGAUCAGUGGAAACUGCUCCGACGGCGCCGCCUCCUUCCUCCGUGGACGGCAUUUUCAGGCUGAGCGGUUGGAAGUAAUAAAGAAGGUGAUUUUGUAAACUGUUUUUGGCUGAGUGAGUGAUGUUGGAGAAAAGGUGGCAAAAUGGCUACGAUGAUGACAAAUAUUUUAUAGCCUACAUGAUAAACAUAUAUGGGAAAUACUUAAGGUGUAAUUCAAAUUUACCCCUUAGUGUUUAUAUUUUUAUUAAUAUAAUUUUAAUUUUUUAAUUAAAUUUAAUUCUCUUUUGAAAGAGUCAAUGAUAAAAAAGAAAAGUUAAAUUAAUAUUUUUUAACAAAAAUAGUAAUAAAUAUUAAAAUUAAGAAUAAUAUUAUAGAACCUAAAUACUCAACACAACCCAAAACCUUCGCCUUAACCAAGAAACUAAUACUUCCUAAAUUUCAUUAGCUUAAUAAUAGCUAUUCAAAUAUAUUUUUUCAUUGUAUUACUUAAAUUAUUAUUACUUACUUUAACAUUUAAAUUAUCAUUAUAUUACAUGAUUAGUUCCAAAUAUUUAACAUUGUAACUAUGCUUCUUUAAAUAUAGUAAUUGCAUUUGUUAUUCACAUGUUAUUCACAUGCCAACCAACCAAUUUAUUAUUCACAUUCCUAACUUUCUAAAUGCAUCAAAUAUUUCAUAUUCAUGUACUAACAAAGAUCAUGCCAAGAACCCACAUGCAGAGUCAUUAUAUACCACAUUUAACUCAACAAGACUUUUACAUAACCAAAGAUUACUCCAAACGUUUAUACGCAUGUCGCAAUCCUUGACUCAAAUGAUAAAAAAAAAAACACCAAAUUGACAAUAAAAUAAUGUAAGCUUCGAACGAUCCAAUCGACAUGUUCCACAAUGUAACACCUAAAAGGAAAAAGAAAACAAUGGGGUAAGCAUAUAAGAUGCUUAGUAAACUCAUAUGUAAUCUAAAACUUACCUAGAUUAAUUGAACAUAAAAAUUACUGAAUAAUCUAUCAAAUUUAUUUUUCCAUGGCACGUAGAUAUCGUAUAUGUAACAACAUUUCAAGUCGAAAAUGUUAAAUACAAUGUUGAAUCAUUAUGUCUUCUUUUCUUAAGUUUCACUUAUAGAAAUAUAAUAUAGGUUCAAGUACAAAUAUAUGUCUCGAUUAAUCUAGAAAGAAUUAGACAAAAUUCACAUAUGAUAUACGCAUAUAAUGAGUGUGAGACUCACACAUCACAAUUGAGAAUAAUGUUAUAGAACCUAAAUACUCAACAACCCAAAACCUUUGCGUUAAGCAAGAAGCUAAGACCCUAUCGGAGGGAGAAUUUUAUAUCUACAACACUUCUUAAAUUUCAUUAGCUUAACAAUAGCUAUUCAAAUAUUUAACAUUGUAACCAUGCUUCUUUACAUAUAGUAAUUGCAUUUGUUAUUCUACCCAACUUAUGAAAAAUCUCAAAUUUGCAAUUUAUUAUUCACAUGCCAACCAACCAAUUUAUUAUUCACGUGCCAACCAAUUUGUUUUAUCGAAGUUAUUAUACUUAUAAGCUUUCACAUAUAACCAUGCUUCUUUACAUAUAUUAAUUGCAUUUAUUGUUGUACCUCAUGAAAAUUUUCAAAUUUGCAACAACAUAUUAUUCGCAUGCCAACCAACCUCUUUUUUUUUAUUGAAGUUAUUAUACUUAUAAGCAUUCACAUUUAACCAUGCUUCUUGUAACACUUUUCAUUGGACCCAAUCGUUGGGUCCGAUCUACAAGACUCUACAGUCAUUGUCAAAGCAACUACAGUCGAAAUUACGAUAAGAUAAUUUUCAUUUAAACAUCAAGCAAGAUUCAACUACAGUAAUACAUUAAUUAUGAGUUUUAAUCGAGCUUACAAAAGCUUUUUUGGUAGUCCGAACAAGAAUUAGGACCAAACUAUAAAGAUUUGAAAAGUUUGGAGCGACGUCGCAACUUCAGCUUUUCCUCAUCGCAACAUGACCAUCUCAGUAUGUCACAUCAUAUCGAAAAGCCUAUGCUCAUCGCAGCGAGACUCUCUGACUUGGCAAUGUCGCAAUGUCAAGAUUCGUAGCCGUGAUGUGAACUCUAUAUUUGACAAAAAUAUACAAUUUGGUACCUAAUUCAAAGCUCCAACUAAAAUCAUGCAAGAAAAAUACAUUACGUGCCAUUUCUAAAUGACUUAAAACUUACCUUAAACAUGCUAAGUAAGUUUAAACAUAUCAUUUCAAUUCCAUAGCAAUUCAUAUUACCAUUUCAUCAAUUGUAUUCAACUUUUCAAUAACUUGUAACCAUGCUUCUUUACAUAUAGUAAUUGCAUUUGUUAUUCUACCUAAUUUAUGAAAAAUCUCAAAUUCACAAUUUAUUAUUCACAAGCCAAACAACCAAUUUAUUAUUCCAACCAACCAAUUUAUUAUUCACAUGCCAACCAAUUUGCUUUAUUGAAGUUAUUAUACUUAUAAGCUUUCACAUAUAACCAUGCUUCUUUACAUAUAUUAAUUGCAUUUAUUGUUGUACCUCAUGAAAAUUUUCAAAUUUGCAACAACAUAUUAUUCGCAUGCCAACCAACCUCUUUUUUUUUAUUAUUGAAGUUAUUAUACUUAAAAGCUUUCACAUGUAACCAUGCUUCUUGUAACACUUUUCAUUGGAUCCGAUCAUUGGGUCCGAUCUACAGAACGCUACAGUCAUUAUCAAAGCAACUACAGUCAGAAUUACGAUAAGAUAAUUUUUAUUUAAACGUCAAUCACGAUUCAAUUACAGUAAUACAUUAAUUAUGAGCUUUAAUCGAGCUUACGAAAACUUUUUUGGCAGUCCGAACAAGAAUUAGGACCAAACUGUAAAGAUUUGAAAAGUUUAGAGCGAUACUGCGACUUCAGCUUUUCCUCAUCGCAACAUGACCAUCUCAGUAUGUCACAUCAUAUCAAAAAGCCUAUGCUCGUCGCGGCGAGACUCUCUGACUUGGCAAUGUCGCAAUGUCAAGAUUCGUAGCCGUGAUGUGAACCCUAUAUUUGACAAAAAUAAACAAUUUGGUAUCUAAUUCAAAGCUCCAACUAGAAUUAUGCAAGAAAAAUACAUUACGUGCCAUUUCUAAAUGACUUAAAACUUACCUUAAACAUGCUAAGUAAGUUUAAACAUAUCAUUUCAAUUCCAUAGCAAUUCAUAUUACCAUUUCAUCAAUUGUAUUCAACUUUUCAAUAACUUAAACUAAAUAUCAACAAGUUAUACAAACAUCUACCAUUACCUUUAUCAUGCCAUAAUGAAUCAUUCCAUUUCAAACAAUCAUCACAUUAGUUCUUUCAUUUUUCUUUUUUAGUCAUCAUAUGCAAACCAACUUAAAUAGAUCACAUUCCAACUUUCUAAAUGCAUCAAAUAUUUCAUAGCAAAGAUCAUGCCAAGAACCCACAUGCAAAGUCAUUAUAUACCACAUUAAACUCAACAAAACUUUUACACAACCAAAGUCUACUACAAAUGUUUAUAUACAUGUCGCAAUCCUUGACUCAAAAUGAUAAAAAAUAAACUACCAAAUUGAUGAGAAAAUAGUUUAAGCUUAGAACAAUCCAACCGACGUGUUCUGCAAGGUAACAACCUAAAAGAAAAAAAGAAACAACGGGAUAAGCAUAUGAUAUGCUUAGUAAGCUCAUAUGGAAACUAAAACUUACCUAGAUCCAUUGAACAUAAAAAAUUACUCAAUAAGCUAUUGAAUUAAUUUUUCCUUGGCACUUAUAUACAUAUAGUACAUGUAACAACAUUGCAAGUCAAAAGUGUUAGAUACAAUGUUGAAUCAUAAUCCCAUCAACCUUUAAAACAUAAUCACAUAGCAAUCUACAUAUCAAAUUUCAUCAAUUUAUUUUUCAAUUCAAGAUUUAAUUCCAUUUCCAACCAUUUAAUCAUCCUCUGAUAAAACUAUAGUAAAAAAGACCUAGGUACAUGGGACUAUUUUGCUGACACUUUAACGAACUUUCUCACACAAGUUGAUUUUAUAUUAGAAUUGUUCACACAAGUUGACUUUGUAAUAAUUGCUCACACAAGCUAACUUUAUAUAAUGGAAUUGUUCACACAUCCUGACUUUGUAAAAUGCUCACACAAGCUGACUUUGUAAUACUUCCAUACAACUAAUAUUUAUGAUUCAAUUAAAUUCAAGACAAUUGUGCUAAAUUCUAACAAUUAUAUAUAUAUAUAUAUCCUUUUUUUCGGGAUCAUUCCAAAAAAAACCGUUUUUAAUUUUUGGUGCGGAACAAAAAAAAAGUGAAUUGAAUUUAAAGUUGGAUCGAGUGAAUAAAUGGAUAGAGCUCCACGGCCCCAAUUAUAGGGAAACAAAAAGUAACAAGCUUCUGUUCUCAAUUUGAAUAAUUACCUAAUCUAAUUAAACUUUAAAAAAAAAAUUAGUGCCUAAUGUGGUAAAGGUUUUUCUCAUGAGUAAAUUAUCGGUUUUUUUUUUGAGUCCUAAUUAUUAUUAUUAGGCAUUCCCUUUAUGGGUUAGCCAUGAAUGUGUAGAAGAAGCAGUAUAUUGAUAAAGAAAAUAACUUUUUUUCUAAAAUCAAAAGAGCGAUUGGGUUGAAAAAAUAAAGGAUUUCUAACCGUCAUAUAUGUUGAUUCAAAUAUAAUUCAUACCAAAAUAAAAUUGAUUAUUAAGUUAAAAUAAAAUUUAGGAUGUGAAAGAAGUUCAAAAAAAAAAUUAAUGCAAAAGAAAGAUAAGGGUAUUUUUUUUAGGUCAUGGAUGUAACAACGAAGCUCGGUUAUUGUUGGUGUUGUAUGGAAGAAUCGAAGAUGUAGUGAAUGAGUUUUUAGGGUUUUAAAGUUUAACAUUGAAAGAUUGUUGUUUGUGGGUAUGUGACUGUUUUCGAUGUAAGGAAUGGUAUAAAAAAAUUACGAUUUAGGGUUUUAUUAUAUAAAUAAAGAAAGCGCCUUUUAAGAUUGUUAGAGGCACCUAUCUUUGUUUUUAGUGUAUGUAUCAUGGUCCUGAUGAUGCGGUACAAGUUUAGUUCUUUUGAGUGUGUCUUGUGAUGUGAAGUCUGUUUUGUUGGGGCUCUUGGCUCCUAUGUUUCAAUGAUAAUAAAAUAUACGUCAAACAAAAUUCUCACAAAAAACAGAGUUUACAAAACGACUAGUAAACAACACUUACUUUGGUUGAUGUAUGGCAUAAUAAGUCUGCAAAGCACCAAGCAAAAGUGCAGUAAUGGCACCCACAAAUGCCAAAAACGUCCAAGGACUCCUAAAAUAAGUAUGAUAAGCUAGAGCUGCAUGCUUAAUCCGCAUAUUCUUACAAUGAUUAUGUAUUUUCCGUUUAACCCCACCGUAAAUCAUCGGACUAGGAACCAAAUCAGUGUUCAUCUUAUUGAAAAGGUUAGCCACUUCUUCAUCACUCCCCAAUCCGUUGUAUAGUAUGCCGGUGCCACUCAGGUCUUUAACAUCUUCGGCUUCAUCGAUCAAUAAAUCAAGGAAACACAUAUAUGAAGUGACAGUGAAAUCGUUUUUGAAAUCCGGGCACAUUUCGUAAGCUAUCAAGUUCAUGGUUGAAUCAUUGACGGCGAUUGGCGGUAAACAUAAUUUUCCAACGAAGAUACGGUUGAAACAGAUUCGUAGUAGAUUCAGUAGGUGAAUUGGACUUGCAGCUUCCACCAUUACCAUUUUCUAGAGCUAAAUCUGUGUCAAGUCAUCGAUUUAUAAGUUUAAUUGAUCCGAUGUAUUCAUAUUUGUUGAUUAAAUAAAUCAUUAAAAAUUUUGAUUUUAUUAUUUAGUUCAAUAAGUUUUUUUUUUUUUUUACAAUUCAACCUGAUUCUUAAGUCAAUCGAUCUAAUGACUUUCUUUAAACUCAUACCUCAAUUAAUUUUCAAUCCAAUAUAAUCCAAACAACAUUUCGUAAAAUAUAAUUUUAUUUUACCAUUUUGAAAAGUUGGAUUUGAAAAUGCACACUCAACAGGAUCAAUACAAAGGGACAGGCGAGGUCGUUCUCAAAAAUAGAAAAUUAUAUUUUCAUCCUUUUUAAAUUAUUAAAUUAUAAAUUUAUAUAAUAAAAUUACACUUUAACCUUUUAAAAUGAAAAAAAAAAUUGUUCAACCUUUUUAAAACUGAUGAAAUUAUAAAUUAAUAAAUGAAAAAAAAAGAGAAUGAGACGAAACUUGUUGAUCAAGCUAGUUGGAUAGAGAAUUAAGUAAAGGUGCUCAUGGGUAAGGUUGAACCCAAUAAAAGAUUUAUGCCUCAGCUUGGCCCACUCGUUUUAAUUUUUUUAAAUUUUUUUAAAUUUUUUUAAUAUAAUUUUUAAAUAUAUAUGAUACAUUAAAAAUACUAAAAAACAUUAAAAUAAAUAUUUCCCAACAAACUAAUUUUUUUUUAAAAAUAUGUAUACUUAAAUAACAUUAAAGUAGACACUGUAAAAUGGUAAUAAAAUAGGAAGAAAAUGACAAGAAACUAGCAUUAAAACAAUAAAAAAAUAACAUAUUUUUUUGUCCUUUUGUGAUUCGGGCUAGGGUUGGGCCAAAAAUGUCUUACCCGAGACUCGGCCUAUUUUCAAAACUAGAUUUUUUUUUGCCCAAGUCAAUUUUUUAGGUCUAUAUUUUUACUUAAACCCUUAUAUUUCUCGGACGAGCCAAAUGACCCAAUCUAUGAGUAAGUCUAGAAUCAAGCAAGAUACUGGUCCAGAAGAAAAGGAUAGACAAAUUGAAUCGAAUAGUAAAAUCGAUUUUUUUUAUAUUUUUAAUAUAACUUUAAUAUUUUUUAAGAUUCUAUAUAAUUUAAACGAAUGAACUAUUCAACCGAAAAUGAGGAUCUAAUCGAUUCCAUCACCUAGUUAUAAAAAUCUUUAACACUUAUAAACUCCACAAAAUAUUCUUUUUAAAAUUCCUUAAAUUACCUGUCCCGCUGAUGUGAUUGUGGCUCUUUUAUCUCGGCUGGGUUGACAACAGUGUCGUCGAUGAACCUUUUGAUUGAAUCCAUGAACUUUUUGCCAUCCCCCGAGCUUGUAAGCAAUUCAGGAACACGAAAAGGUGAUUGGUUUUCCAACAAGAACAGAUCCGAGUACACAAAUGUCAGCAAAUCGUUUUUAAUGAAAUUCGUUCGACUUACGAUCAUAAUCUUGGCCGUAACGCAUAUAAACUGCUUGUAAAAUUGCGCAGCCGUCAAUUCCUUUGGAUCAUAGCUUUUCUUCAAGCCAUCCGGCUCUGUCUUCAUGUUGUUGUACAAGGUAUCAUUAUCGAUGCCAAUUUUUUUAACGAAAUUUGCUGCUAAAUUGAGCUUGAGCUUCUCGGACUCGUGGAGGGUGGGAUCAUCGUGGUGGAGUGGGCCAAUUGAGAUCACUUUCGGCUUGAAAUAUUUCCGGAAAUCUUCGUCACGGCGAAGGGUUGCUGGGACUCUUUUGUCAAUAGUUUGGCUUUGGGGUCGAGAUGGUCCCCUUCGAAAGCUUCGUCUAAUGACCAGCAAUUCCGUGAUUCGCCAUUGCUGUGAGUGAAGUCUGUACCCGGUAUUGGAAUGAUCGUCUCUAGGGGAUUGUUGUUCGUGUUGUUAUUGAUGACUGUUUGAUCAGUGGAAACUACUCCACCGGGAGCUCUGACGGCGCCGCCUCCUUCUGUAACACCCCUAUACCAUGUUUGACUUAAGGAACCUAAUAUAAGAAUAUUACAUUUGAUGCCAAAGUAAUUCUUGGCUAAUUACUAUUAUAUUUGAACAUAAAAACAGACAAAUAAUAAAUUUAAAUAAUUUAUAUUUAAAUCCAUUACUACUACUUGGGACAUAAUUUUUUUUAAGUACAUGCCAUUCUAUUCAAAAUUUUAAAACAUACCCGUUGUUGCUUGAAGAUGUGAUGAGAUGAAAGCUUACAAUCUCAAAUUCGACUCUCAAAAAUUUAUGUACCUAAUUUGCGCAAGGAAACAAAUCGUACAAUGAGUAUACACCCAGUGUUAUUACUAUAAUUCAAAUACUUAAGGUAAAAACAAUAUAUAUACACAUUAAAUCUUACCACUAUUUUACCUUCAAUAAAUCAUUCAUGCAUUUAAACUUUAAAUUUAUUCUAAUAAUAUGUAUCUUAAAUAGCUUUUCUUUAUUUUAAUUUAUAUAUCUACUUAUUAUAUCAAUAUUCAUUUCAUGCAUUUCAUCAAUAACCAUUUCAUAAAACUAUUAUUUCAUAUAUUUCAUUUCUAUAUCCUAAUUCAAUAAUUUAUUCUAUUCCAUAUCUAAAACCUUACAACAUUAGUCUUUCAAUAAUUAUUUAAACCAACAUUUUUCAAUAAAAAUAAUUAUAAUUAAUUCAUAAGAUUAUAUCCAACUAACUCAUACACUAUUUCAUUAUUUCCUAUUCAUUCUAUUUUCACUUCUUAUUUCGAUAUCUCAAUUUCAAUUCACAUUUCAAUUCAUAAUUUCACUUUCUCAUACUUUCAAUAGCUCAAUCCAUCAAUUCAUUUGAUUUUUUCAUUUCAUUUAUUCAACUGAUUUCAAAAUCAAUAAUUCGAUAUUUUAGCAAAUUCAUGAACCUUAUGUUCAUGCUUCAAAUCUCGCAUCUUAAUGCCGUUCACAAUUCAACUCAUAAUUUCUUUCUCAUAUCUCUAAAAGUACGAUCAAUCAAAUUUAUUUAAUUUUCUCAUUUCAGUUAUUCACCUUAUUAACAAACCCGGACUUUGACGGAUACACGAAUUCCAACCCAAACACACCAGUACGGCAUAUUGUGCCUAAAACGGUACAUAGUACCUGAUCAGUAUACGACACAUAAGUGCCUGAAAUGACACACGAGGUGCCUAAUAUGACACACGAGGUGCCUGAAAUACGCAAAGCCGAUAUAUCCCGGACUCUUAUAAAUCCUAUGGCAUGCCAAUUAUAUCCGACUCAGCCCGACUAGAUAAUAGGGUAUUUCAAUUCUCAAUUCACUUUCAUUUCCAAUUCAAUAUCACUUUUCAAUUACAAUUUCUCAUUCAAAUCAAUAUACAAUUCAAUUGUACAUACACAUUCAUCAUUCAAUUCAAUUCUCAUUCAUUUCAAAAUCAAUUUUUCACUUUCUAAUCAAUAAACAAUUCAAUACCAAUACAUAUUUCAGAUAAUCACAUAUAAUCAUAUUUCGAUUCAAUUCAAACCACUUUUCAAUCAAUACACAAUUCACAUAUUCACACAUAUUCAUAAAUUAAUUCACUUUUAUUUAAUUCAUAUUUUUAAUUCAUUUUCCAAUCAAAUUCAAAUCACUAAUUACUUUUCAAUCAAUAUACAUUUCAAAUACUCACAUAUUUUCUUCAUUCAAUUCAAUUUGAUUCAAUUAAAAUCACUUUUAGUUUCCAAUCAAUAUAAUUUCAAAUAUUCACAUAAUUCGUAAUUCAAUUACUUAAAUCACUUUUAAUUUCCAAUUUGUUCACAUUCAAUUUCAAUAGCCAUAAACAUUUUUGAAUCAAUUUCAUUCAAAUCAAUAUCAUCAUUUCAAUUGCUUACCUAAUUUUAUUUGCCAUGCAUUUUAAUUCAAAUAUAACAAUUAAUAAUAAAUAGAUUUGAAUUAUAGUAGUACAAACCCGGAUUUGUUCGAUUACUCCUCGAUAACGUUUCCUUUCUUUUCGGUGCCGAUGCCUCGAUUUCUUUGGUAACUACAAAAAUAAUAAUAAUAAUUUACACUUAUUAAUAACAGCACUAAUUUAUAAUAAUGAUUGAAUUUCUAUUCAAUUUAUAUCCUAAUUCCAAUUUAAUCCUAAUUAACUCAUUUACUUUUAUAAUUCAAUUCAUACUUCAUUUCGAUUCAAUUUCCUUCCAUAUUUCACUUAACUAUCUAAUGUUCAUAAUAAAAUUAUAAUUUAAAAUUUCUUUCAAUUUAGUCCUUUCAACACAAAACUUAUAGCUUCUUUUACAAUUCAAUCCCUUACCAAAUAUAACUUGAAAUUCAUUCAAUUAAAUCCCUAAUUCAUCUUUUUGUUCAACAUGAACUAUACUUAUAAACCUAUGAACUUUCAAAGUAUCAACUUAAUUUCAUCAAAACCUUGUUCUAAAGCUUGUAAAACAUCAAAAUUAAGUAAAAAUGACUUAAUUGACUUACCUAUUAAAGUUUUAACCUUCAAACCCUAGUUUUUCCCCAUUUUCUUUUCUUUCCCUUUUCUUUCUUCUUGUUUUCGAAUGGCUUCUGCUAUUCUUUCUUUUGCUUUCUUUCUUUAUUUCAUUUCAUUUAUAUAUAUAUAUAUAAUAUUAGUUAAUAAUGAUAAUAAUGAUAAUAAUAAUUAUAAUAAAUAUCUUUUAAUAACACAUAUUUACAUUACAUUUGUCACCACUUAAUUUGUUUAUCGUACACAAAAAUCUUAUAAUAUAAUUAUUUAAUUAAUAACUAUCUUUUACUUAAUUUUCAAGUAAAUAAAUAAAUAUAAUACAAAUGUAUAUAUUUACAUUAUUUCAAUUGUCACUAUCCAAUUUUUUUAUUAGUUAUCUAAUAAAUAUCUUUUACUUAGUAAUAAUAAAUAAUAAAUAUCUAUUUACUAAUUAAAUAUAAGUAUUACAAAUGUACAUAUAUUUUUUUUACAAGUGUACAAUAUCAUCACCACCCAUUUGGCAAAAUUUUGAUUUAUUCAUAUAAUAUAAUAUAAUAUUUUUAAUUUAUAACUAAUAUAAAUUGCCAUAUAAUAAAAUAAUUAUAUACAUAAUAAUUUAAUAAUAAUUAAACAAUAAAAAUUUUAGAUUUUUAUCAACAUUUGCCGCCUCAUUUAUGGUGAAUGGUAUAUUUUCCAUUUUGGUCCCCCUUUCUUUUUAUUAAUCUAAUUUAGCCCUUAAUAUUUAUAAUUUUACCAAUUUGAUUUUUAUUCUUUUUAGUUAAAUUUAAUUCUCUACCUAGUGUCAAAUUUGACUAUUGAUCUUUUAGAAAAUUGUCGAAUUAAUGUUUUGUUCUUUGCUUUCAAUUUGGUUCUGUUCUUAAGCAAAUUUCUGCUUUGUUUCUUCUCCAAGUCACGAGUCUUGUUGUUCAAGUCAUAGCUGAACUAGCUUGCUUGUUGUUCAUAACACCAACAACCUGUUCUCGGCUGGGUUGAUAACAGUAUCAUCGAUGAACCUCCGGAUUGCAUUCAUGAACAUUUUGCCAUCACCCAAGCUUGUAAGCAAUUCAAGAACACGAAAAGGUAAUUGAUUUUCCAACAAGAACAGAUCCGAGUACAAAAAUGUCAGUAAAUCAUUUUUAAUUAACAAAUUACCAUCAUCAUCAUCAUUAUCGUAACGCAUGUCAACUGCUUGUAAAUUUGCGCAGCCGUCAACGAUGAACAUCCAAGCCAGUUCCUCGUUAUCGUCUCUAUACUUCUCUAAUUCCUGUGGAUCAUAGCAUUCCUUCAAGCUAUCCAUCUCUUUCUUAAUUUUUCUGUACAAGGAUUUCUUAUCGACGCCAAUUUUUUUGACGAAAUGUGCUGCUAAUUUGAGGUUGAGCCCCUUGGAUUCACGGAGGGUGAGAUCAUCGUGGUGGAGUGGGCCGAUUGAGAUCACUUUCAGCUUGAAAUACUUCUUGAAAUCUUCGUUACGGAGAAGGGUUGAUGGGACUUUUUGUAUUAAUGGUUUGUAUCUAAGGGUGGGUUGGCCACCAAAAGCUUUGUCUAAUGACUGGAGCUUCGCUACUUCGCCAUCGCUGAGAGGGACGUCGGUGAACCACAUAUCAAUUCCCACGUAAUCGUUGUUGGUGUUGUUGUCGAUGAUUGUUUGAUUAGUGGAAACUGCUCCGGCGGCGCUGCCUCCUUCCUCCAUGGACGACAUUUUCAGGCUGACCGGCUCGAAGUAAUUAACAAGGUGAUUUUGAAAACUUGUUUUGGCUGAUUGAGUGAUGUUGGAAAAAAGGUGGCAAAAUGGCUACGAUGAUAACAAAUCUUCUAUAGCUUACAUAAAGAGGCGAAUAUAGGGGAAUGUAAAAUUGUUAUUUAGGCCCUUAAUAUUUUUUAAAAUUUUAAAUUAGUAAAAGUGAAAUUACAUUUUGGCCUUAUAAAAUUAUAAAAAUUCAAUUUAAUCUUUUAAAAAUUAUAAAGAUAUAGACUACAAAAAAUUAAAAUCUCAUUCGAUCCACCCUAAAAAAUUAUUCGGGCUUCGCCACUGCUUACAUAAUAAACAUAUGGAAAAUACUUUUGGUGUAAUUCAAAUUUACCCCUUAUAGUCAAUUUAAUUUUCAUUUUUUUAAUUUAAUUUUCUAUCUUUUGGAAGAGUUGAAUUUAACUAUCAAUUUAAAUUAAUAUUUUUUAACGAAAAUAGUGACUAAAAUAUUAAAAUAUUAAACAUGACAACUCAAACGGCAAUCCACAUCUAUAUGUUUUUUUUAUUUAUUUCUUAUUUUUAAAUUAUUUAUUGAUGUGACAUAUAAUAAAAGUAUUGUUAUAUUAGCAUGAAGUACACAUGGAAGGCCACACGAGUUGUGACACCAAUAUCGUUAAAAAUUAAUAUUUUAGUUAGCAUAUCUGUUAAAGAAAAGCAAAUGAACUCUUUUUUCAAAGGUUAAUGGCUAAAUUUAGCUCAAAUGAAAAAAAAAAAAGGCCAAUUUGAUAAAAAAGGUAAAUGUCAAGAGUUAAGUUUAACAUUUAUACAAGUACAAAUAUAUGUCUGGAUUAAUCUAGAAAGAACAAGACAAACUCUACAGGUGAUAUACAAAUGUGAUGAGAGUGGAACCUGCACAUCACAAUUGAGAAUAAUAUUAUAGAACCUAAAUACUCAAAAACCUAAAACCUUCCCCUUAACCAAGAAGCUAAGACGCCAUGGAUAAUUUUAUAUCUACAACACUUAUGAAUUUCAUAUGCUUAAUAAUAGUUUACAAAAAGACAAGUAAAGAACACUUACUUCGGUUGAUGUAUGGUAUAAUAAGUCUGCAAAGCACUAAGAGUAAGUGCAGCAAUGGCACCCAAAAAUGCUAAAAACGUCCAAGGACUCCUAAAAUAAGUAUGAUAACCUUGAGCUGCAUGAUUAAUCCACAUAGUCUUACAAUGAUUAUGUAUUUUCUCUUUAACCCCACUGUAAAUUGUCGGACUAGGAACCAAAUCAGUGUUCAUCUUAUUGAAAAGCUUAGCCAUUUCUUCAUCACUGCCCAAUCCAUUGUAUAGUAUGCCGGAGUCUCUAAGGUCUUUAACAUCUUCGGCUUCAUCGAUCAAUAAAUCAAGGAAACACAUAUAUGAAGUGACGGUGAAAUCGUUGUCGAAAUCCGGACACAUUUCGUAAGCUAUUAAGUUCAUGGUUGAAUCAUCGACGGAGAUCGGCGGUAACCGUAAUUUUCCGAAGAAGAAGAUAUGGUUGAAACUGAUGUCGGUUAAAUUACUUGUUUCGCUGGCUUCUAACCAUAUCCCGGCCUUUUUAAGCUCUUUUACGUUACCAAUGGUGCGUGAAUGGUACCGUUUUGUUCUUUUUCUUCUUGCUGCUGCUUUGCCAAAUCCGUGUCGAGUGAAUUCCCAAAGAAAACACCAGCACCGUAUUCGUACUUUUCUGAGAAGGAGUCUUUCUCGUAGUAGAUGCAAUAAGUGAAUUCGCUCUCCUUCUUUUUGCUGCUUCCACCACCAUUCCCUACACCAAAAUCUGUGUUAGUCGGAAGCCAAGCUACAAUUUCUCUUUUCUCUUUUCUUUUUUUCUUUUUUGUUGUUAAUACAAAAAUAUUAAAAAUCAAUCUAUACUUGUUAAUCAAGUUGGUUGAAUAAAAAAUUAAAUAAAAUUGAAGUUAUACCAAUUGAAUUAAAGAAUGGAAUAAAUUUCUUUUUAUAUUUUUAAUAUUUUUAAAAAUUUAUAUAAUUAAACUGAAUUAACUAAUCAAAUGGAAAAGAGAGUCUAAUAGAUUCCAUCACCUAUGUAGUUAUAAAAACCUUUUAACAUUUAUAAACUCCACAAAAAUGAUUCUUUAUUUAAUUCCCUAAAUUACCUGUCCUCGCCUGGGUUGAUAACAGUUUCGUCGAUGAACCUUUGGAUUGCAUUCAUGAACUUUUUGCCAUCCCCCGAGCUUGUAAGCAAUUCAAGAACACGAAAAGGUAAUUGGUUUUCCAACAAGAACAGAUCCGAGUACACAAAUGUCAGCAAAUCGUCUUUAAUAAACAAUUUACCAUCAUCAUCAUCAUCAUCAUCAUCACCGUAACGCCUGUAAACUGCUUGUAAAAUUGCGCAGCCGUCAACGAAGAAAAUCCAAGCCAGUUUCUCGUUAUCGUUGCUAUAGUUCUCUAAUCCCUUUGGAUCAUAGCAUUUCUUUAACUCAUCGAUCUCUGUCUUCAUGUUGUUGUACAAGGUAUCCUUAUCGACGCCAAUUUUUUUGACGAAAAGUGCUGCUAAUUUGAGCUUGAGCUUCUCGGAUUUAUGGAAGGUGGGAUCAUCGUGGUGGAGUGGGCCGAUUGAGAUCACUUUCGGCUUGAAAUACUUACUGAAAUCUUCGUGACGACCAAGGGUUGAUGGGACUCUUUGUAUCAAUGGUUUGGCACGGAGGUCGAUUUCGUCGCCGUCGAAAGCUUCGUCUAAUGACCGGAGAUUCACUACUUCGCCAACGCUGAGAGGGACGUCCAUAUCAAUGCUCACGGAAUCGUUGUUGUCGGUGAUUGUUUGAUCAGUGGGAGCUGCUCCGACGGCGCCGCCUCCUUCCUCCGUGGAGGACAUUUUCAGGCUGAGCGGUUGGAAGUAAUAAACAAGGUGAUUUUGUAAACUGUUUUUGGCAGAGUGAGUGAUGUUGGAGAAAAGGUAGCAAAGUGGAUAAGAUGAUGACAAAUAUUUUGUAGCUUACAUGAUAAACAUAUAUGGGAAAUACUUAAGGCGUUAGUGUUUAUAUUUUUACUAAUAUAAACAAUGAUAAAAAAGAAAAGUUAAAUAGUGACAAAUACUAAAAUUGAGAAUAAUAUUAUGGAACCUAAAUACUCAACACUACUCAAAACCUUCGCCUUUAACCAAGAAACUAAGACCCUAUCUGAGGGAGAAUUUUAUAUCUACAACACUUCCUAAAUUUCAUUAGCUUAAUAAUAGCUAUUCAAAUAUAUUUUUUCAUUUUAUUACUGACUUUAAUAUUUAAAUUAUCAUUAUAUUGCAUGAUUUAUUCCAAAUAUUUACAUAUAGUAAUUGCAUUUGUAAUUCUACCUAACUAUGAAAAAUCUCAAAUUUGCAACAUGUUAUUCACAUGCCAACCAACCAAUAUAUUAUUCCUACCAACCAAUUUAUCAUUCACAUUCCAACUUUCUAAAUCCAUCAAAUAUUUCAUAUUCAUGUACUAACAAAGAUCAUGCCAAGAACCCACAUGCAAAGUCAUUGUAUAGUACCACAUUUAACUCAAUCGGACUUUUACACAACUAAAGAUUACUCCAAACGUUUAUAUGCAUGUCACAAUCCUUCACUCAAAAUGAUAAAAAAAACUAUUAAAUUGACGAUAAAAUAGUUUAAGCUUCGACCGAUUCAACCGACGUGUUCUAGCAUAUAAUAUGUUUAGUAAGCUCAUAUGGAAACUAAAACUUACCUAGAUCAAUUGAACAUAAAAAAUUACUCAAUAAGCUAUCGAAUUAAUUUUUCCCUGACACUUAUAUACAUAUAGUACAUCUAAUAAAAUUUCUGUUAAAGAAAAGCAAUUUGACUCUUUUUCUAAAAAGUUAAUAACUAAAUUUAGCUCAAAUAAAAAAAAAGAAUAAAAGUCAAUUUGAUAAAAAAUAUAAAUAUUAAAAAUUAAAUUUAUCAUUAUAUCUUUUUUAAGUAAUUAUUUGUGGUGAGCCAUCAUGUCUGACGAUGAUUUUUAAAUACUGUAUUAAUUAUAUAUAGCACAUCAUAUUUCACUAUAAUUUCUAUAGACUUUUUAAACAUGGGGUUAAUUGUUUAUGGCCCAUUGCCCAUGUUGCUUUUAUUAAAUUUUGGGUGAACUUCUCAUUUUGGUCAAAAAAAAAUUGUAUUCUCAGUAUAAAACAAAAAACUAAUCUUUAAUGUUUAUGGCCAAACCCCACCUCUCCUAUCCUAUAAUAAUGGUUCUUGGCUUCUUCUAUCCUACACCUCAAUUAUUUGGAUUAGAUUGAAAAACAAUUGACACUUGAUUUGAUUGUGAAAUAAAGUUAAAUUUUAAAUUUAUAAUAUUUAAUUUGAGUGUGAAUGAAUUUUUGACUUAAUUGAAAAUUUAAAAUUUUAAGUUCGAGUCGUAUUUAAUUAUGUGUGUAUAUCGUGUAUAAAUUUUGUUCAAAUUUAUUUUGAUUUAAUUUUCAUACUAUAUAUUCUUAAUUAAAUUCGGAAUAUAUUUUGAUUAUCAAUUUAACCAUACAUUGUAACGAUGGAUUAAAAUUAUAGUUAAUUAUAUAUUGAAACUAAAUAAUUAGUUUAAGGAAUUAAAAGAUAUUAUUAUAUUUUAUAAAAUUUGAAUAGAUUCAUAAUUAAUUCGAGAUUAAAAAAUGGGAGAAGAAAAGCUAAAACCAAACCUUUUUUACGGUUGGAACUAAACCCCAUGCGGUGUGGAAAAUUGCAAGUUUCCAGAAUAUACCUACACUUACUAAUUAUAAUAAAUAUCUUUUACUUAGUAAUAAUAAAUAAUAAAUAUAUAUUUACUAAUUAAAUAUAAAUAUUACAAAUGUACAUAUAUUUUGUUUACAAUUGUACAAUAUCAUCACCAUCCAUUUGGCAAAUUUGAUUUGUUCAUAUAAUGUUAAUUUAUAACUAAUAUAAAUUACCGUAUAAUAAAAUAAUUAUGUACAUUAUAAUUUAAUAAUAAUUAAACAAUAAAAAUCUUAGAUUUUUUAUCAACAUUUGCCGCCUCAUUUAUGGUGAAUGGUAUAUCUCCCAUUUUGGUCCCCCUUUCUUUUUAUUAAUUCUUUUUCCUAAUUUCUCCUAAUUAAGCUAAAUUCACUUAAUUAAAUCCUAAUUAAACACACAACUAGCCUCACAAAUAUUCUUAAUAAAACAUUUACAAACUCGGUUUACUAAGACAGAAGCCCUAUAACUCACUUUUUCGGUGCCCGUGAAUUUUGGGCCAUUACACAUUCUUCCGUGGAUAACAUUUUUAGGCUGAGCGGUUCGAAGUAAUUACCAAGGUGAUUUUGUAAACUGUUUUUGGCUAAGUGAGUGAUGUUGGUGAAAAGGUGGCAAAAUGGCUACAAUGUUUCUAUAGCUUAUAUAUAAUGAACAUACGGAAAAUAUUUUUGUGUAAUAUCAAAUUUAGCCCUUAAUAUUUAUAAUUUUACCAAUUUGAUUCUUAUUCUUUUUAGUUAAAUUUAAUUCUCUACCUUUUGAAAGUGUCAAAUUUUCUUGGCUGGAAGCUCACUGCAUGGAAGCCAAAAUCAAAACAAACUUUUGAUGGUUUAAUUGUUUUUGAGCCCUUCAAUUUCAGGUGCUAUGAGAAAUGGAUUACAACCUCAUCUUGUCGUUAUCCCAAAAUCAAAACAAGCAACUCUUGGUUGAAAGUUGAAACCAAGGGCCAAGUCAAAAUUGUUUUAGGAUGAGUCCAAAAUGAAUAAUGAAUUUGAAGGUUCAAAAUAAAAUUUUAUUAAUAUAUAAAUUUAUAAUUUCAUAAAUUUUAAAAGGAUUAAAUGAUAAAUUUACUAAUUUAAGAAGACAAUAGGGAUGGUCAAAUAUUCUAAUUGAACCUAUCUGCGAUCGGAUCGGGAUGGAUUUUUUUAAUUAAAAAAAUUAAAUAGAUUGAAUCGAAAUUCUAGGAGUUACAAAAUUCUCAUAAAUAACAAGAGUUUACAAAAAGUACACUUACUUUGGUUGAUGUAUGGUAUAAUAAGCCUGCAAAGCACCGAUAAAAAGUGCACCAAUGGCACCCACAAAUGCGAAAAACGUCCAACGAGUCCUAAAAAAAGUACGGUAAACUUGAGCUGGAUAUGUAAUCCACAUAUUGUUAUGAUGAUCAUGUAUUUGCAGUUUAACAUGUCUGUAAAUCAUCAGACUAGGAACCAAAUCCAUGUUCAUCUUCUUGAUAAGCUUAGCCACUUCUUUAUCACUCCCAAAUCCAUGGUAUAGUAUGCCUGCGUCUCUCAGUUCCUUAACAUCUUCGGCUUCAUCGAUCAAUGAAUCAAGGAAACCCAUAUAUGAAGUGACGGUGAAAUUGUUGUAGAAAUCCGGACAAUUUCGUAAGCUAUUAAGUUCAUGGUUGAAUCAUCGACGGUGAGAGGCGGUAACCGUAAUUUUCCGACGAAGAAGUAAUGGUUGAAACUGAUGUCGGUUAAACAACUUGUUUCGCUUGCUUCUAACCAUAUCCCGGCGUUUUUAAGCUCUUUUACGUUACGAAACGGGUGUGAAUGGUGAGGUUUUAUUCUUGUAUGGUUUCUGCGAUUUGUGAAGGAUAUGCAAAACCUAGAAGGCCAUGGUUUUUCUUUUUUGAAAAGGAGUCUUACUCGUAGUAGAUGCAAUAAGUGAAUUGGCUCUUUAUUUUUUUCUUGCAGCUGCUGCCACCAUUCACUAGAGCAAAAUCUGUGUUAGUCGGGAGCAAGCUAAAAUUAAGGUUUUCAAUGGUUGAAUCAAAUCAUUAUUAUUUAAUAAAAAAUUAUUUAAAUUAUUAAAUUACAUUUUAAUCCUUUUAAAAAUUAUUAAAUUAUAAAUUUGUAUACAAUAAAAUUAUAUUUUGACUCCUCAAAAUGAAUAAAAAAUUGUUUAAACACUUUUAAAAAAUGAUGACAUCAUAAAUUAAUGCAAAAAAAAAAUCUAAGAAUUAAACCAAACUUGUCUAUCGGCCUAAUUAAACAGAGAAUCAAGCAAGGUACUAAUCCAGAAUAAUAAAUUAAAUCCAUUGAAUCUAAUCAUCAAAUCGAUUUUUUUUAUAUUUUUAAUAUAUCUUUAAUAUUUUUAAAAUUUUAUAUAAUUGAAUCGAAUAAACUAAUCAACCAAAAAUGAGACUCUAAUGGAUUGUAUCACCUAUAUAUGUAGUUGUAAAAAUCCUUUUAACAUUUAUAAACUCCACAAAUUGAUUCAUUUAUAAAUUCCUUAAAUUACCUGUCCUGCUGAUGUGAUUGUGGGUCUUUAACAGUGCCGUUGAUGAACCUUAUGAUUGCCUCCAUGAAUUUUGUGCCAUCCUUCGAUCUUGUAAGCAAUUCAAGAACACGAAAAGGUAAUUGGUUUUCCAACAAGAACAGAUCCGAGUACACAAAUGUUAGCAAUUCGUUUUUAAUAGAAAAUUCGUUCGACGUACGACAACGAUCUUGGCCGUAAAGCAUAUAAACUGCUUGUAAAAUUGCGCAGCCGUCAACGAAGAACAUCCAAGCCAGUUUCUCGUUAUCGUUGCUAUAGUUCUCUAAUCCCUUUGGAUCAUAGCAUUUCUUUAAGCCAUCGAUCUCUGUCUUCAUGUUGUUGUACAAGGUAUCCUUAUCGACGCCAAUUUUUUUAACGAAAAGUGCUGCUAAUUUGAGCUUGAGCUUCUCGGAUUUAUGGAGGGUGGCAUCAUCGUGGUAGAAUGGGCCGAUUGAGAUCACUUUCGGCUUGAAAUACUUACUGAAAUCUUCGUGACGACCAAGGGUUGAUGGGACUCUUUGUAUCAAUGGUUUGGCACCGAGGUCGAUUUCGUCGCCGUCGAAAGCUUCGUCUAAUGACCGGAGAUUCACUACUUCGCCAACGCUGAGAGGGACGUCCAUAUCAAUGCUCACGGAAUCGUUGUUGUCGGUGAUUGUUUGAUCAGUGGAAACUGCUCCGACGGCGCCGCCUCCUUCCUCCGUGGAAGACAUUUUCAGGCUGAGCGGUUGGAAGUAAUAAAGAAGGUGAUUUUGUAAACUGCUUUUGGCUGAGUGAGUGAUGUUGGAGAAAAGGUGGCAAAGUGGAUAAGAUGAUGACAAAUGUUUUAUAGCUUACAUGAUAAACAUAUAUGGGAAAUACUUAAGGUGUAAUUCAAAUUUACCCUUAGUGUUUAUAUUUUUACUAUAAUUUUAAUUUUUUAAUUAAAUUUAUUUCUCUUUUGAAAGAGUCAAUGAUAAAAAAAGAAAAGAAAAGUUAAAUUAAUGUUUUUUAACAAAAAUAGUAACAAAUAUUAAAAUUGUGAAUAACAUUAUAGAACUUAAAUACUCAACGCAACUCAAGAAACUAAUGGUGGGUCUGGAUGGGCAGUGCGGUGCGGUGCGUUUAGCCUACUUUUUGUCUCAUACUACAGUGUUGCUACAGUAUCUAAUCUCACCGCCACCACUGUUUUUACACUAACCACAGGUAAACGCACCGUCCAUCCAAACUCACCCUAAGACCCUAUCAAAGGGAGAAUUUUAUAUCUACAACACUUCCUAAAUUUCAUUAGCUUAAUAAUAGCUAUUCAAUUUUUUUUUUCAUUUUUUUACUUAAAUUAUUUUUACUUACUUUAUAUUAGAUAAAUUAUUCCAAAUAUUUAAUAUUUUACAUAUAAUAAUUGCAUUUGUUAUUCUACCUAACUCAUGAAAAAUCUCAAUUUUGCAACAUCACAUGCCAACCAACCAAUUUAUUAUUCACAUUCCAACUUUCUAAAUGCAUCAAAUAUUUCAUAUUCAUGUACUAACAAAGAUCAUGCCAAGAACCCACAUGCAAAGUCAUUGUAUAGUACCACAUUUAACUCAAUCGGACUUUUACACAACUAAAGAUUACUCCAAACGUUUAUAUGCAUGUCACAAUCCUUCACUCAAAAUGAUAAAAAAAAAACUAUUAAAUUGACGAUAAAAUAGUUUAAGCUUCGACCGAUCCAACCGACGUGUUCUAGCAUAUAAUAUGUUUAGUAAGCUCAUAUGGAAACUAAAACUUACCUAGAUCAAUUGAACAUAAAAAAUUACUCAAUAAGCUAUCGAAUUAAUUUUUCCUUAGCACUUAUAUAUAUAUAAUACAUGUAACAACAUUUCAAGUCAAAAGUGUUAGAUACAAUGUUGAAUCAUAAUCCUGUCAACAUUUAAAACAUAAUCACAUAGCAAUCUAUAUACCAAAUUUCAUCAAUACCAGUUCAUUUUCAAUUCAAGAUUUAAUUCCAUUUCCAACCAUUUAAUCAUCCUCUGAUGGAACUACAGUAAAAAAGACCUAGGUACAUGGGAAUAUUUUGCUGACACUGUAACGAACUUACUCACAAAAGUUGACUUUAUAUUGGAAUUGUUCACACAAGUUAACUUUGUAAUUUAUAUAAUGUAAAAUUUAAGAUUUUUAUAUUAUGUAAAUCAAAGCUUAAUAUUGCAUAACUAAUUAGUUUUGAGUUUUCAAAAUAAUAUGGCUUUAUAAAGAUAUAGAAUUCUUGAUAUAAGUCUUAACAAGGGAAAAUUUAAGGAUAGGAAAAUUGUGGUGGAAAGGGGGUCAAUUUCUCCUAAACAGGUGGAGAGCUGGAGAAGGGUAAGAGAAGGAAGAUGGUUGAUGUGAAGGCUAAGAGUAAUUGUUAAAGGUUGCUAACAGGGAGGAUCCCUUUCUCAUGAAGAUGAUUUUUAAACACCGUGUUAAUUGUUUAUGGGCCAUCAUGUUUGACGAUAAUUUUUAAAUACUGUGUUAAUUGUAUAUAGCACAUCAUGUUUGACAAUAAAUUUUAAAGACUUUUAAACGUCGCAUUAAUUGUUUAUGGCCCAUUGCCCAUGUUGCUUUUAUUAAAUUUUGGGUAAACUAUAAGUUAAUCACUUAAUUUUUAUAAAAUUUCAUUUUGGUAAAAGAAAAUCUCAGGAUAAAACAAAAAUUAGGAUAAAUGUAAUGUUGAAAUGAAUAUAGUGGGAAUCUUUAAUGUUUAUGGCCAAACCCCACCUCUCCUAUCCUAUACUUCAUCUAUCAUAAUGAUUCUUGGCUUCUUCUACAAUUGCCUUCACAAAAUGAAGCUGACAUUUGAGGUUGUCCUUCAUUUACUUUUGUUUUCUUCCUAUGAUAUAAAUGCAAGUAGAAUAUAAAUUAUACAUUUGUAAUUCCUCAAUUAUUUGGAUUAAAUUGAAAAACAAUCUCAAUUAUUUGGAUUAGAUUGAAAAAUAAUUGACACUUGAUUUGAUUGUGAAAGAAGUUUUAGUUUAAUGAAAUGAAUGAGUUAAAUUUUAAAUUUAUAAUAUUUAACUUGAGUGUGAAUGAAUUUUUGACUUAAUUGAAAAUUGAAAAUUUUAUAAAUUUUGUUUAAAUUUAUUUUGAUUUAAUUCUCAUAUUGUAUAUUCUUAAUUAAAUUCGGAAUAUAUCAAUUUAGUCAUACAUUGUAACGAUGGAUUCGAAUUAUAGUUAAUUAUAUAUUGAAACUAAAAAUCUUAGAUUUUUAUCAACAUUUGCCGCCUCAUUUAUGGUGAAUGGUAUAUUUCCCAUUUGGUCCCCCUUUCUUUUUAUUAAUCUAUAAUUCUACUUCUACCCCCAUUCAAUUUAGCCCUUUUUCCUAAUUUCUCUUAAUUAAGCUAAAUUCACUUAAUUAAAGCCUAAUUAAACACACAACUAGCCUCACAAAUAUUCUUAAUAAAUACUUACGAACUCGGUUCACUAAGACGGAGGCCCUAUAACUCACUUUUCUAGUGCCCGUGAAUUUUGGAUCAUUACACCUUCUUCCGUGGACGACAUUUUUAGGCUGAGCGGUUCGAAGUAAUUAACAAGGUGAUUUUGUAAACUGUUUUUGGCUGAGUGAGUGAUGUUGGUGAAAAGGUGGCAAAAUGGCUACAAUGUUUCUAUAGCUUAUAAAAUGAACAUACGGAAAAUCUUUAAUUAAGAUUUAAAUGUAUAAAAGUAUAAAUUAUAAUAGUAAAAUUGUACUUUAAUCUUAUAAAUCGCAAUACUUUAAUUUAGUUAUUUAAAAAAUUAGAAAUAUAUUAGUUAAUAUAAUGAUAAAAUUACGUUUUAACUUUAUCAAAAUUUAUAACUUAAUUUCAAUCCAAAUUCUUACUUCACCCUUAUUUCUGCACUAAUAAAAGUUAUAAUCUGUGUUAAAUAUCGGAUUAGUAUAUGGAUGAUAUUAAAAAUAUAUAUAAAAAUAUAAAAUCUCUAAAAGCUUAAUCAACACACAUUCAGGUGUACGCUUUUAUUAAACUUUGAUUUUUUUAGUACGAGAUUAUCUGGAUUCUUUAAAAUAAUGUUAUGGAUAAGUUUUUGUUUAAUGUAUUGAUUGGUUUUUUUUUUCCUUUUAGAUUUGAUGAAUGAUAGAUUUUUGUUUGUGAAGUUUAUCUAUGAAUAUUUAUAUAAUUAUUAAUAAUUUUAUAUUUAAAAUUUAUUUAAUAUUUUAAAAUUUUAUCGAUAAUUUUGAAAGGAUAUAUAAAAACAAAUCGAUAUUGAUAUGUAUCAAUUUCUGUAGAAAAACGGUGCGUCCAUCAGUGCAAUACUAACUACCUUGGAUAAGAAAACAUUUAAUCCUUAAAUUUGGCAACUUUUCUCAACUUAGUCAUUAAACUUUUUUUUUAUCUACACUAGUCUUCUAACUUGACAACUUUUCUAAAUUUUGAUGCAUGUGAUGACAUCGCAUUCUGAUUUUGUAUCAUAGGGGUGUUCGAAUUUCGAUUAAAAUUGAAUUAACUGACCGAACCAAUCUAAUUCAGUUAAUCAGUCAGUUAAUCAAUCUAGUUCUAUCAGAGGUCGGUUAAAAGUUUUUUGGAAUUUCGGUUAACGGUUAAUUCGAUUCGAAAUUAGGUAAUUAACUGAAUUACCCAAACUUAAUAAAUUAGACUUGUAGGCUAGGAAGCACAGACACGGCUCAUCCCUCCUCGUACCGGUAUCGUACGUGUGUCCGACACAGACACUCGACGGACAUGCCUAGAUACGUAUGGAACAAGCUGGAAUAUGCCAAAAAUUUUUUUUUUUAUUGCCAUAUCUUGCUGUAUCCGUGUCCUUAUUUUCUAAAAAUUACCAUGUUGCUGUGUCUGUAUCAUGUCGUACCCGUAUUGCGUGUCUGUAUCCAUGCUCCAUAGCUUGUAGGUAAGGGCCGAACAAAGAAUCCAGUAAGGCAGUAGUCUAGAAUAAGGAGUUAGACCAAUUGAAUCGAGUUAAUGAAUUGAUUUUCUUUAUAUUUUUAAUAUAUCUUUAAUAUUUUUAAAAUUUUAUAUGAUUUAACCGAGUGGUUAAUCAAUAAAAAUUGAGAGUCUAAUAGAUUUAAAAAAAAAAACCUUUUUAACAUAUAUAAACUCCAAAAAAAUAUUCUUUUUUAAAUUCCUUAAAUUACCUGUCCUGCUGAUGUGAUUCUGGCUUUUUAACAGUAUUGUUGGUGAACCCUACGGUUGCCUCCAUGAACUUUUUGUCAUCGUUCGAUCUUGUAAGCAAUUCAAGAACACGAAAAGGUAAUUGGUUUUCCAACAAGAACAGAUCCGAGUACUCAAAUGUCAGCAGUUCGUUUUUAAUAGACAAUUCGUUCGACAUAUGCUCAUAAUCUUGGCCAUCAACAUCAUCAUUACCGUAACGAUAUAAACUGCUUGUAAAAUUGUGCAGCCGUCAACGAGGAACAUCCAAGCCAGAUUCUCGUUAUCGUUGGUAUACUUAUCUAAUUCCUUUGGAUCAUAGCAUUUCUUCAAGUCAUCGAUCUCUGUCUUAAUGUUGUUGUACAAGGUUCCCCUAUCGACGCCAAUGUUUUUGACGAAAAGUGUUGUUAAUUUGCACUUGAGCUUCUUGGAUUCAUGGAGGGUGGGAUCAGCGUGGUGAGUGGACCGAUUGAGAUCACUUUCGGCUUGAAAUACUUCCUGAAAUCUUCGUGACGGCCAAGGGUUGAUGGGAGUCUUCGUAUCAAUGGUUUGGCUUUGGGGUCGAGUUGUUUGCCGUCGAAAGCUUCGUCUAAUGACCGGAGAUUCUCUAAUUCGCCAUUGCUGAGAGUGAGCUCCGUACCCGGCAUUGGAAUGAUCGUCUCUUGGGGAUUGUUGGUGGUGGUGUUUUUGGUGAUUGUUUGAUCAGUGGAAACUGCUCCGCCGGGAGCUCCGACGGCGCGGCCUCCUUUCUCCGUGGACGACAUUUUCAGGCUGAGCGGUUCGAAAAAAGGUGAUUUGGGAAACUGUUUUUGGCUGAAUGAGUGAUGUUGGAAAAAAGGUGGCAAAAUGGCUACGAUGACGACAAGUGUUUCUAUAGCUUAUAUAAUAAACGUAUGGAAAAUAUUUUGGUGUAAUAUUAAAUUUAACCCUUAAUAUUUAUAUUUUUUUAAUUUGAUUCUUAUUCUUUUUAAUUAAAUUUAAUUCUCUACCUUUUGAAAGAGCCAAAUUUGAUUACCAAUCUUUUAGAAAAGAGUUGAAUCAAUAUUUUUUAAUGAAAACAGUGAUUAAAAUAUUAAAUUUGUAAACAUGACAACUCAUAUGGUAAUCCAUGUGUACAUAUUUUUUAUUUUUUAUUUUUAAAUAAUUUGUUGACGUGUGACAUAUAAGAAAAGCAGUGCUAUGUUAGCACGAAGUGCACAUGGAUUGCCACACGAGUUGUAACACCAACACCGUUAAAAAUUUAAUAUUUUAGUUAAUAUUUUUGUUAAAGAAAAACAAUUUAACUCUUUUUUGAAAGGUUAAUGACUAAAUUUAGCUCAAAUAAUAAUAAUAAAAGAACAGAGGCCAAUUUGACAGAAAAAUGUAAAUAUCGAGGACUAAAGGCCAAUUUGAUAGAAAAAUGUAAAUAUCGAGGACUAAAUUUAUCAUUAUGUCAUUCUUUUUAAGGUUAACUUAUAUGAAUACAAUAUAAGUUCAAGUACAAAUAUAUGUAUGGAUUAAUCUAGAAAGAACUAGACAAAAUCCACACAUGAUAUACGCAUAUGAUGAGAGUAAAACUCACACAUCACAAUUAAGAAUAAUAUUAUAAAACCUAAAUACUCAGAGACUUAAAACCUUCGCAUUAACCAAAAAGUGAAGACCCCAUCAUAUGGAGAAUUUUAUAUCUACAUACGACAAUAUUUCUCGGAUUUCAUACGCUUAAUACUAGCUCUUCAAAUAUAUUCAUUUUUCAUUUUAUUACUUAAAAGUUAUUUUGAUUUACUUUAUAUUGAUUUCAAUCAUAUUGAUCCGUAGAUAUUGUUUCAAUAAGAAAUCGAAUUUUUUUUUUUUAAAUGAGAUGAUUUUGUUGUGGGUUUUUUAAAAUAGUGUUACGGAUAACUUUUUUGUUUAAUGUUUUGGUUGGCUUUUUUUUUUCUUUUUUUCGAAUUUUUGAAUGAUGAAUUUUGCAUGUAAAGAUUAUUGAUGAAUAUUUAUAUUUAUUUAAUUUCAUUCAUUUAAUGUUUUUAAAUCUUUUUUAUAUAUUAAAUAUUUUAGAAAUUUAUCGAUAAUUUCGAAAAGAUAUACAAAAACAGGCCAGUACUAAUAUGUAUCCGUUUUUGUAAAAAAAAUGUGCGUCCAUUAGUGUAGUACUAACUACCUUAGAUAAAAAACUGUUUAGUCCUUAAAUUUGGUAACUUUCCUCAACUUAGCACUUAAGCUUUUAUUUUAUCUACAUUAGUCUUCUAACUUUGACAGCUUUUCUCAAUUUCGAUGCAUGUGAUGACACAACACUAUGAUAUUGAGAUGCUAUCAUCUAAAAAUUAUAUUUUUAAUAAAAAUUAGGUGUUAACAUGGGAGAAAUAUUAUUAUAAUAACCAAAAAUGAGAAAAGUUGUCAAUUUUCAUGAUUGAUGUGGACAGUGGUGAAGAUAAGGGGCUGGUAGGGGCAGAAAUUUUUUUUUCAUUUACGUCCUUUUAUAAUUUAUAAAAUUUUAAAUUAUUAGUGGUAAAAUUAUAUUUUGUCACCCAAAAAUAAAAAAAAAUUAAUUUAAUCCUUUAAAAUGAUAAAGUUAUAGACUAUUAAAAUGGUAAAAUUACAUUUUUAUUAUCAUAAAAAUAUACAACUUAAUUCCGGCCCCUCCCAAAAAAAAUUUUGGCUUCGCCCCUGAAUGUGGACCAAAAAAGAAAGUCUAGAGACCAAAUUGAAAAAUUUUGUCAAAUUUAAGGAUUAAAUGUUGUCUUAUUAUUUUAUUUAACAAAAAGUGUGCUAUAUACACCAAAGUCUCGUAAUUGAAUAAUAAAAUUUUGAUGUUUUUAAGUAAAUCUUGAAUUUAAAUCUUAUGAAUAAAGAAAAUAAUACUAAAUAAAUUUUACUAUCUACUUACGAAUUCAACUCAAUUUCAAAUUUAACUACCAAAUAUCAAAGCUCUUAUAAAAAAAAAAAGGUAUUGUAAACUUUGUUGUAGUGUAUUUUAUUUUGAUCCAAAAUAGUGAAAAGGAAAUGCAUCCUAAAUUUAUUCAAACCAAAUUAUUAACUUUAAGUGUAAAUUGGGUAAGUGUAACAUAAUUGUUCUCUUUUUUUUUUUUAAUUUAGUCCUUUUCCUAAAUACAACAUAUAUUUUAUAAUAGAUAAUUGAAUUAAUUAAACCAUCAGUUCAUCGCUCAGUUCAACCUAAUGACGGAACGUAAGAGGAGAUUCCCUUCAAAAUUUUAGAAAAUUAUCACUAAAUUCUUCAAAAUAAUUUACAUUUUUACUUUUUACUUAGGACUCCUAAUUUUUUAAAAAUCCUAAUUAAGCCUCGCAAAAAGUGUUGAAAUUUUCAAAAAUUUCAAAACUUCUCGUUAAUUUUUUUUAAAAAUUUUGAUUAAGCCUCUUAAAUUUUAUUUUUUUUAAAAAAUCUCAUUAAACACUAAAAAUUAAUUUAAAUAGAUUGAAUCGAAAAUCCAGAAUUACAAAAUUCUCAUAAAUAACCAGAGUUUACAAUGAGAAUAGUAAACAACAAUUACUUUGGUUGAUGUAUGGUAUAAUAAGUCUGCAAAGCAGCAAUAAAAAGCCAGCAAUGGCACCCACAAAUGCGAAAAACGUCCAACGAGUCCUAAAAUAAGCAUGAUAAGCUUGAGCUAGAUAUUGAAUCCACAUAUUCUUACAAUGAUUAUGUAUUUUCUGUUUAACAUAACUGUAACUAGGAACCAAAUCAGUGUUCAUAUUCUUGAUAAGCUUAGCCACUUCUUCAUCACUCCUCAAUCUAUUGUAUAGUAUACCGGCGUCUCUCAGUUCCUUAACAUCUUCGACUUCAUCGAUCAAUGAAUCAAGGACACCCAAAUAUGAAGUGACGGUGAAAUCGUUUUUGAAAUCCAGACACAUUUCGUAAGCUAUUAAGUUCAUGGUUGAAUCAUCGACGGUGAUCGGCGGAAACCAUAAUUUCCCGACAAAGAACACAUGGUUGAAAUUUAUGUCGGUUAAACAACUUGCUUCGCUUGCUUUUAACCAUAUCCCGGCCUUUUUAAGCUCUUUUACGUUACGAAAGGUGUGUGAAUGGUGCAGUUUUGUUCUUGUUUGGCUGCUGCGAUUUAACGUGCACAUGAAACGAGUGCAAAACCUAUAAUGCCGCCAUGGUUUUUCUUUUUUUCCUUUUUUGAAAAGAAGUCUUUCUCGUAGUAGAUUCAAUAGGUGAAUUCGCUGCAGCCUCCAUUCACUAGAGUAAAAACUGUGUUAGUCGGAAGCCAAGCUACAAUUUCUUUUCUUUAUUUUAUUUUAUUUGGAAUUGUAAAUUUUUAUCAAAACUAAAAUUAAGGUUUUUAAAAUGGAUAGUAAAACCAGUCAAAACAUCUAUUUAUAAGUUUAAUUUAUCCGAUCAAUUCAUCCAAUUUGAUUAAAUAAAUUAUUUCAAAUUUCAAUUCGAUUGUCCGGCUUAAUUAAUUUAUUUUCCCGAUUCAACCUGUUCAUAUAGGUUCCCAAAUCAAUUAGUCUAAUAACUUUCUUUGGACUGAUACCUCAAUUAAAUUCCAAUCCAAUCCGAUUCAAACAACUUUAGCUAAAAUACAAUUUUUAUUAUUGUAUUAAUGCAAAAAUUUUACCAUUUUUAAAGAUAUAAUUUUUCCUUUUUGAAAAGGUGGAUUUGAACUAAUAAUUUGUUGGCUUAAGCGUCUAAAAUCCCUCGUUUGAAAAAGCAAUUAAACCUUCUUCUUCUUUUUUCAUUCAUUUGGGUGCUUGAACUUUUAAAAUACAUCAAAAAGGUCCUUAAACCUUUUUUUAAAUAAAAAAAAGCAAUUAAGCCUCUACUUUUUUUUGCACACAAUUGGGUACUUUGACUUUCAAAAUGCAUCAAAAAGACCCUCAAAUUUUUUCAAAAAAAAAAAGUUAAGCCCCUGCUUUUUAUUAAAAAUUAGAAAAAAUUUAUAAAAAGUUAAAAUUAAUAAAAGCUAUAAAUCUUGUCGAAACCGAUUUUUUGAAAAAAACAAAAUUUUUAGGUUGUCGACUUAAAAAAAAGAAAAUUGGGAGUCGCCACCAAUCUUUUAUUGAGGUGUGAUUGGAUCACCUAAAACGACUUUGGUUUACGAAUUUUAGAAAAACGGGUUCGGAAGUCGGUUACGUAUGAGGAAGGAUUAGCACCCUCAUUACGCCCAAAAAUUGGUACCUCGUUAAUUAAUUAAUGUCUUAAGGUCAAAAAUUUUAAAAAUAUAAUCUUUAAAAACUUAAAACGUUGCAUAUUAAGACCCUUUUCAAUUCAGAGAAGCAAAAAUGCUACACCCAAUACGUUAGGGAACAACAUUCUAAUUUCCCCCAAAAUGAAUUAGGUCAGAAUAUUUAUACAAUAAAACUUUAAAAGAACAUCCACUCAUCCAAGAUUUAAGAAAUCACACCCAAUACGUUAGGGCACGAUUCCUUUAGAAUCCCAAACUCGGAAUAUUUCCUUUACUUUAAAAGAACAUCCACUUAUCCAAGAUUUAAGAAAUCACACCCAAUACGUUAGGGCACAAUUCCUUUAGAAUCUCAAACUCGGAAUAUUUCCUUCAUGAUUUUUUUUUAAAAAAAUCUUCAUUUCGAGAAAUCAAUGCGUCACAUCCAAUACGUUAGGACACAACGUGUUGAAUUCCCAAUAAUGAGUUUUUAUUUUUUUGAUUGAAGAGAAAUGCUCGAUUGUCGGAUUUAACAAAAAAAAUCAGAACCCAAUACGUUAGGGCUCAAUUCCCUUGAAAAUCCUAAAUACGAAUAUUAUCUCAAUUUAAAAAAAUUUCUAUCUUUAAAUUUGAGUAAAAAAAUGAUGUAACAUGAUUUUAUACAUACAAAUGCUAUAAUAAUAAUAACAAUAAUAAAUACAUCAUCGACAUAAAAAUAAUAUAAACAAAUGAAUAAACAAAAUAAUAAAAAAAGGUAAUCCAUGACAUGCAAAAUAUUAAAUGUAAACACAAUCAUACAAUGGAUGGGAUAGCAUUUACAAAUAUACAUAUAAUUUACAAAUAAAAUUUUGGGUUAUAGAAUUUAUAUAUAAAUACAAUACAUAAUAUACUUAUGCAAAUAAAGAAAAAAUAUAAUUAUACGUACAUAUAUAAAAUAAUAAAAAAUAGGUAUAUUUUAAAAAAAGAAAAAGUGAGUAUUUAAUCAUUAAAAAACGUAAAUAUAUACAUAUAAAUAUGAAAAUAUUCAUUAAAAAAUAUAGGAUAAUAUUCGUUUUAAAAAAUAUAUAUACAUGUACAUAUAAAAGGAAUAUACAUGGAUAAAAAAAUUAAAUAAUGAGUACAUUAUCAAAAUUAAUUUUUUUAAAAAAAUAAAUAUACAUAUAUAUACAUAUAUAAAUGUGAGAAAAAUAUAAGUUAAAAAUAUGUGCAUAAAAUAUACAUGUAUAGAUUUUUAAAAAAAUAAAAAUAAAAAAUGAUUAUGUUAUUAAUUAAUAAAAUAAAUGAAAAGAACAAAAAAGGAAAAGAAAAACUAAAUUGAAUUGCAAUAAAAAAAACUGGGGUAAAUCCGCAAAUAAAUAAAAGUAAAAGGAUUAAUUUGAACGCGUGAAUUACAUAGAGGGGCUAGAAGGGAAAUUUUCCCUUCUCCUCUAAAACGACGCCGUUCAACUUAGACCCAAUUGAAAUAAAAAUAAAUAAAAGGGUAAAUCAAGAAAAAUAAAAAAAACUUAAUUACAAAAACAUUAAAAGGCGGAAGGGCUAAAUAAAAUAAAUAAAAUUCGCAGUGGUAUCACCUUCUCCCUCUUUAAAUUCAUAAAUAAGUAAAAUAAUCGAAAAAAAAAUAUAGUAAGCCACCUUUAAAAAAUUGCCAAUCGUUCUCUUUUUUAUUCCUCUUCCUCCUUUUUUUACAUUACAUUCAGUGGCUUUAUAUAGCCAUUCUAAAAAAAUCAUAUAAAGAAGAAACAAAUCUCUUUUAUUUGAUUUGUGAAUCUUUGAUUUCAUUUCCUUUUUUGCUCUUGCUUGAUAUGCUUGAUUUGAUUUUGCAAUCCUUGAUUUUCUUUCCUUUCUUGUUUGUUUCCUUGUAGGUGAAGAUCGAUGACGCUCGUGACUGCGGCGCAAAGUCUUCUUAGAAACCCUAGGGUUUCUGCAAAUGAUUUGAGUCACUGAAUUUGGGCCAUUUUCGAAAUUGGGCCACCGUUUUAAAUUGGUUUUGGGCCUUAUGGCCUGUUUGUAAUUUUAGGCCUUUUACCCGGGCCAAAAUCGGGUAUUACAGCUGCCCCUCUUUGCUCGUUGUCGUGUAACAAGAACAGAGCAAAGACUCAACACAACCCAAGAAAUUAAGACCCAAUAGGUUGUAAAUGAAUGAUGAAAUCAAUAGUUUGAAAUGAUGUGUAUUUGUAGUUUUAAUUUCUAUAUUAAGAAUAUGCAUGUUAGACUUUUUUAUGAAAAAUGCAAUAGAAUUUAUAUUUAGGUAAAGAGUUACAAAGAAUUUGUUACUAAAGUAAAAAUUAGAACAGUUAGAGAUUAUCGAUUAGAUAGGGAAACAUAUGGAUUUGAUGAUUAUUUUAGUUUUUAUAUUUUCAAAUGAAUAAUUGGAUGUAUUAGUUGAGAUGUACUAAAUGAUUUAAAUACAAUUUAUAAAUUUUGCUAAAAAACUUUAUUUGAUCAUGUUUUUUUUUUCCUAUCAUGCAAAUGGUAUGAUGUCCAGAUUAUCUGGUCUUUGACUUCAUUUGUCAAUUAAUGAUUGUGGAUUGACAACAUUGACCAUUCUAUGCACGGGGACUACUCAUGAUCUACACAUUUUCUGCCAUUCUCACUACCCAUUGCCAUUCAUUCUCACUACCUAAAUACUCAACACAACCCAAGAAAUUAAGACCCUAUCAGAGGGAGAAUUUUAUAUCUACAACACUUCCUAAAUUUCAUUAAGUUAAUAAUAGCUAUUCAAUUUUUUUUUCAUUUUUUUUACUUAAAUUAUUUUUACUUACUUUAGCAUUUAAAUUAGAUAAAUUAUUCCAAAUAUUUAACAUUGUAACCAUGCUGCUGUACAUAUAGUAAUUGCAUUUGUAAUUCUACCUAACUCAUGAAAAAUCUCAAAUUCGCAACAUGUUAUUCACAUGCCAACCAAAUCUACAAUUUGCCUCCAAGUAAUUAACAAGCUGAUUUUGUAAACUGCUUUUGUCUGAUUUGAGUGAUGUUGGAAAAAAGGUCGCAAUCUUCUAUGAAAGCUUUAAACGCGUGGCAAUUUUCAUCUCUUAUUUUAUUUUGUGUGGUACUUGUAGAUCAGAGUGUUGAUUAUAUCACUGCCUGACACAACACGUACGUGGAGGACAACGAUUUGAGGGGAAAUAGAGAGAUUAUCUUACGAAUAGCAGAACCGGAUAUUGUCGUAUUUGAUUAUAAAAAGGUGUCGGGGCUUUUUUUAUAAAAUAACUUGAAAUUUUUAUUAAUUAUAAAAAUGAUAUUUUGUUUAUCAUGUACGUAAAUAAUAAAUAGUAAAAAUGAUUGGCGUGACCUUUUUAUCACGUUAGCUAAUCAUUAACUAUUAAAAUUAAAAAAUUACUUUUUUAAUGAACCUAUUUCGCGUCACAUGCGGUAGAAAAUCAUCUAAGAAAGGCAUGCACUAAUCAAUUGUUUUUAAGUACUAAUAUUUAGGGAUAAGGUAAUAUUUAAUUAUCUGAAUAUUUUAUAAUAGGGACGAAAUUAUAAAAAAGUUUAAAAGUUGAAGUUGAAUUAUGUAUUUUUAUAUAAGUUAAAAUACAAUUUAAUCAUAUUAGUUUGUAAUUUUACAUAUUUUAAAGAGAUUAGAUUAAAAUUUUAUCAUUUUGAAGGAUGAGAUGCAAUUUUAUUUUAUGUAUUAAGAUGUAGAAUUAUAAUCUUUAAAGGCACCCAAAACAUAAUUUUUUCCUAAAUCAAUUGAACAUAAAAAAUUACUCAAUAAUCUAUGGAAUUAAUUUUUUCUUGGCACUUAUAUGCAUAUGGUACAUGUAACAACAUUUCUAUUAAAGAAAAGCAACUUGAACCUGCACUAUAGGGAAGCAACAGAAAUUUAUUGUGACAAUCAAUUUGCUGUUACAAUCGCAUAGAAUCUAGUGUUCCAUGGGAGAACAAAACACUUCAAGAUUAAGUUCCAUUUUGUUAGGGAGAUGGAGCAAGCUCGAGAAGUAGAGCUGACUCAUUGCAAUUCUAAAGAACAAUUGGUAAACAUCUUGACAAAGCCCCUUAGUGUGUCAAAGUUCGAUAAAUUAAGGAAGCAAAUAGGAGUUUACAGCAUGGAAGACAAAGAGGAGUGUUGAAGUUGGCCUCCAAGCAGCUCAUGCAGCAAGGAGCAGCACAUCCAGUCUGAGCCAAGCUUGCAGCAGCUGAAGCACGAUGCUACUGUUAAGUUUCAUUUUCAUUUUGUUACUCUAAUGAUCAUUUUGUAAUCAAGUUAGAUUUGAACUUAGUAACUCCUUCUUAAUGUAAUUAGGUGUUGAUUGGCUGAAAAUUCAGCAAAGCAACAUGUACAAGUUAAUUUAGCAAGUUUCAAUGUAAUUUAGUGGUGUUAGGUAGUUGUUUAGGUGAAAUCUUGUUUGUAUUGACCAGUUUGUCUGGUAUAUGUAAUGGCUUAAUGCCUUUGUUCAUAGUAGUUAAUGAAAAUCAAUUAGUUUUCAUCCAUAUACUCUCCAUUUUUCUUUGCUUUCAAUUCGGUUAUGUUCUCAAGCAAAUUUCUGCUUUGUUUCUUCUCCAAGGCACGAGUCUUGCUGUUCAAGUCACAGCUGAACUAGCUUGCUUGUUGUUCAUAAAACCAAUAACCUGUUCUCGGCUGCGUUGAUAACAAUAUCAUCGAUGAACCUCCGGAUUGCAUUCAUGAACAUUGUGCCAUCACCCAAGCUUGUAAGCAAUUCAAGAACACGAAAAGGUAAUUGGUUUUCCAACAAGAGCAGAUACGAGUACAGAAAUGUCAGCAAAUCAUUUUUAGUUAACAAAUUACCAUCAUUAUCGUAACGCAUGUAAACUGCUUGUAAAAUUGCGCAACCGUCAACGAUGAACAUCCAAGCCAGUUCCUCGUUAUCGUCUCUAUACUUCUCUAAUUCCUGUGGAUCAUAGCAUUCCUUCAAGCCAUCCAUCUCUUUCUUAAUUUUGCUGUACAAGGAUUUCUUAUCGACGCCAAUUUUUUUGACGAAAUGUGCUGCUAAUUUGAGCUUGAGCCCCUUGGAUUCACGUAGGGUGAGAUCAUCGUGGUGGAGUGGGCCGAUUGAGAUCACUUUUGGCUUGAAAUACUUCUUGAAAUCUUCGUUACGGAGAAGGGUUGAUGGGACUUUUCGUAUUAAUGGUUUGUAUCUGAGGGUGGGUUGGCCGCCGCCGAAAGCUUUGUCUAAUGACUGGAGCUUCGCUACUUCGCCAUCGCUGAGAGGGACGUCCGUGAACCGCAUAUCAAUUCCCACGUAAUCGUUGUUGGUGUUGUUGUCGAUGAUUGUUUGAUCAGUGGAAACUGCUCCGGCGGCGCCGCCUCCUUCCUCACUGGACGACAUUUUCAGGCUGACCGGCUCGAAGUAAUUAACAAGGUGAUUUUGAAACCGGGUUUUGGCUGAUUGAGUGAUGUUGGAAAAAAGGUGGCAAAAUGGCUACGAUGAUGACAAAUGUUUCUAUAGCUUACAUAAAGAGGCGAAUAUAGGGGAAUGUAAAAUUGUUAUUUAGGCCCUUAACGUUUUUUUAAAAUUUCAAAUUAGUAAAGGUAAAAUUACAUUUUAGCCUCAUAAAAUUAUAAAAAUUUAAUUUAAUCUUUAAAAAUUAUAAAGAUAUAGACUACAAAAUAUUAAAAUUUCAUUCGAUCCACCCUAAAAAAAUAUUCUGGCUUCGCCCCUACUUACAUAAUAAACAUAUGGAAAAUACUAAUUCAAAUUUACCCCCUUAUAGUCAAUUUAAUUUUCAUUUUUUAAUUUAAUUUUUUAUGUUUUGGAAGAGUCGAAUUUAACGAUCAAUUUAAAUUAAUAUUUUUUAACGAAAAUAGUGACUAAAAUGUUAAAAUAUUAAACAUCACAACUCAUACGCAAUCCACAUCUAUAUUUUUUUAUUUAUUUCUUAUUUUUAAAUUAUUUAUUAACGUGACAUAUAAUAAAAGUCUUGUUAUAUUAGCAUGAAGUACAUAUGAAUUGCCACACGAGUUGUGACACCAAUAUUAUUAAAAAAUUAAUAUUUUAGUUAGCAUAUCUAUUAAAGAAAAGCAAAUUACCUCUUUUUUGAAAGGUUAAUAGCUAAAUUUAGCUCAAAUGAAAAAUAAAUAAAGGCCAAUUUGAUAAAAAAAGGUAUAUGUCAAGAGUUAAGUUUAUCAUUUAUACAAAUACAAAUAUAUGUCUGGAUUAAUCUAGAAAGAACAAGACAAACUCUACACGUGAUAUACAAAUGUGAUGAGAGUGAAACCUACACAUCACAAUUGAGAAUAAUAUUAUAGAACCUAAAUACUCAAAAACCUAAAACCUUCCCCUUAACCAAGAAGCUAAGACGCUAUGGAUAAUUUUAUAUCUACAACACUUAAUCAAUUUCAUAUGCAAAGAACACUUACUUUGGUUGAUGUAUGGUAUAAUAAGUCUGCAAAGCACUAAGAGUAAGUGCAGCAAUGGCACCCAAAAAUGCCAAAAACGUCCAAGGACUCCUAAAAUAAGUAUGAUAACCUUGAGCUGCAUGAUUAAUCCACAUAGUCUUACAAUGAUUAUGUAUUUUCUCUUUAACCCCACUGUAAAUUGUCGGACUAGGAACCAAAUCAGUGUUCAUCUUAUUGAAAAGCUUAGCCAUUUCUUCAUCACUGCCCAAUCCAUUGUAUAGUAUGCCGGAGUCUCUAAGGUCUUUGACAUCUUCAGCUUCAUCGAUCAAUAAAUCAAGGAAACACAUAUAUGAAGUGACGGUGAAAUCGUUGUCGAAAUCCGGACACAUUUCGUAAGCUAUUAAGUUCAUGGUUGAAUCAUCGACGGAGAUCGGCGGUAACCGUAAUUUUCCGAAGAAGAAGAUAUGGUUGAAACUGAUGUCGGUUAAAUUACUUGUGUCGCUGGCUUCAAACCAUAUCCCGGCCUUUUUAAGCUCUUUUACGUUACCAAUGGUGCGUGAAUGGUACCGUUUUGUUGUUUUUGUUCUUGCUGCUGAUUUGCCAAAUCCGUGUCGAUUGAAUUCCCAAAGAAAACACCAGCACCGUAUUCGUACUUUUCUGAGAAGGAGUCUUUCUCGUAGUAGAUGUAAUAAGUGAAUUCGCUCUCCUUCUUUUUGCUGCUUCCACCACCAUUCCCUACACCAAAAUCUGUGUUAGUCGGAAGCCAAGCUACAAUUUCUCUUUUCUCUUUUCUUUUUUUCUUUUUUGUUGUUGGAUUUGGAAUUGUUAAUUUAUAUGAAGCUAAAAUUAAGAUUUUCAAAAUAAAUAAUCCAACGAUUAAGUUAUUCAAUUUACUUAAUUUAAUUGAAUAAAUUAUUAAAAACUUCGAUUCGAUAAUACGGUUUAAUUAAAUUUUUUUACCCUGUUUAUAUAAAGUUUUAAAUCGGUUAAUCUACUCCGAAUUGAUAAUUCAAUUAAUUUUCAAUCCAAACCAAUUCAAACAAUAUUAACUAAAAUACAAUUUUUAUUGUUGUAUUAAUGCAAAAAUCUUACCAGUUUUAAAACAUUAAACUUUUCCAUUCUGAAAAGUUGGAUUUGAAAUCAUAAUUUUUAAUUUCUAAAAAUGAACACUCAAGGAUAAAUGUAAAACGACAGGCAGGGGUCGUUCCCAAGAAAUGAAAAUUUACACUUUAAUCUCUUUUAAAUUUAUUAAAUUAUAAUAAGUCCUCAAAUUAAAAAAUAAUAAUUGUUCAAUUUUUUUAAAAAAAUAAAAUCAUAAAUUAAUACAAAAAAAUUAAAAAUCAAUCAGGUUGAAUAAAAAAUUAAAUAAAAUUGAAGUUACACCAAUUGAAUUAAAGAAUCAAAUAAAUUUCUUUUUAUAUUUUUAAUAUUUUUAAAAAAUUAUAUAAUUAAAUUGAAUAAACUAAUCAACCAGAAAUGAGAGUUUAAUAGAUUCCAUCACUCAUCUAGUUAUAAAAACCUUUUAACAUUUAUUUAAUUCCCUAAAUUACCUGUCCUCGCCUGGGAUGAUAACAGUUUCGUCGAUGAACCUUUGGAUUGCAUUCAUGAACUUUUCGCCAUUUUUUCUCGGCCUUGUAAGCAAUUCAAGAACACGAAAAGGUAAUUGGUUUUCCAACAAGAACAGAUCCGAGUACACAAAUGUCAGCAAAUCGUCUUUAAUAAACAAUUUACCAUCAUUAUCAUCACCAUUAUCAUCAUCACCGUAACGCCUGUAAACUGCUUGUAAAAUUGCGCAGCCGUCAACGAAGAACAUCCAAGCCAGUUUCUCGUUAUCGUUGCUAUACUUCUCUAAUCCCUUUGGAUCAUAGCAUUUCUUUAAGUCAUCAAUCUCUUUCUUCAUGUUGU